AUUAUUCUGCUGUUGUGGAAUCGGUUUCUGGCGAUGAUUUUGGUGUUGUUGUUGAGAAUGGUGAUGGUGAUGGUGAUGAGGAUGUUGUUGAGAAGGGAAACAGGUGCAUGCGACUGUUCUAGCAAAAGGGUAUUGCUCAGACGGGUUCGUGAACACUAAUUUGAUAAAUUUUUAUUCGAAUGGAGGUGGUGUUGAGCAAGAACGCCAUGUGUUUGAUGAUAUGACUCAAAGAAGUGUUGUUAGCUGGAAUUCCAUACUUGUUGGGUAUGUUAGGUGCGGUGAUUUUGAUGCAGCGGGAAAAGUUUUCGAGGAAAUGCCAUAUAGAAAUGUUGUGUCUUGGACGACCAUGAUUGUUGGGUGUGCUCAGAAUGGGAAAUUUGAACAAGCUUUAUUGUUGUUUGGUCAGAUGAGGAGAGCACAUGUGGAAUUCGAUCAUGUGGCGUUGGUGGCAGCUUUAUCAGCAUGUGUUGAAUUAGGGGAUCUGAAGUUAGGAAGAUGGGUCCAUUGGUAUGUUCAAAAGAGGCAAAACAACCCUUUGUCCGCUUGAACAAUGCACUCAUGCACAUGUAUGCAAGUUGUGGAAUUAUUGAUGAAGCUUAUCAAGUGUUUACCAAGAUGUCUCGGAAAACAACUGUGUCUUGGACUAUAAUCAUCAUGGCUUUUGCAAAACAAGGUCUUGGGAAGGAAGCUCUUGAUCUGUUUAAAGAUAUGCUUAGUGAUGAUUUGGGGGAAAAUGGCGUAAAACCUGAUGGAACAAUCUUCAUUGGAGUUCUUUGUGCUUGCAGUCAUGCAGGGUUUGUAGAGGAAGGACGCAAAAUUUUUGAAUCGAUGAUACAUACUUGGCGAAUCAGCCCGAGGAUUGAACACUAUGGAUGCAUGGUUGAUCUCUUGAGCCAUCAACCCAGAAUUUUUCAUUUGUUUAGGGUUUAUGAUUUUAGGUGUUUUUUCUUUUAACUUAAUUUUAAUAAUUAAAUUGUAUUUUUAAAAAUAUUGUCACAAUUAUAAUAAUAGUUUUUAAAAAUAUAAAUUAUAUUUUUUAAUCAGAAAUAAUAUAAUAAUGAGUUGAUUCCACAUAAGCGUCUACCACGUCACCCUUUUAUUGACACGUCAUUAAAAAAAUGACAAUUCAUCAUGAUUUGGACUCAAAUUCUGUUUGGGGGACUAAAAUUGGGGACAAACAAAAUGGGGGGACUACUUUCAAUUUUCACCUAUAAUAGGGGGACCAAAAGUGCAAUUAAGCCUAAUUUGAAUUACAACAUCCAUAUGUUCUUGGCAGGGAGAAUUUUAUAGUUGAUUUACCACACUGACAGCGAAAGAAAUUUCAGGACAGGUGACUGUGAGAUAGUUUAAUUUUCAAAAAUCUCCUAUAUCUUCUGGAAUUUGAUAAAGGUUCCUCUAAUUAGGUAGGAGUUUGACAUUUGAACCCAUAGGAGUAUAAUCUAGUUUGGCCUUUAAUAGACCUAUUUCUUCAAGAAUAUCAUAACAUAUUUUCUUUGUAAAAUUACAAGGCCAUCCUAGAAUCGGGCUACUUUAACACCUAAAAAAAUAACAGUUUAUUGAGGUCUUUAGUCAUAAACUGAUUUGAAAGAUGUUGUUUCAACUAUAGUAUUCCUUAAUGAUCACUACCAUUUAUGACAAUGUCAUCCACAUAAACAAUAAGACAGAUUCACCCUUAGACUGAGUAAUAAUAAAAUACAGAGUGAUCGACUUCACUACAGAUUAUACAAGACUCUUUGUACUACGGAUGACUCUUCAUCGUAUGCAUAUUUUUCAUUGUUUUUAGUCUUAUCUAUCUUUAAUCAUUAGUUGAUUCAAAGAGUUAUUUGAUAUAUUUUGUUGAUUUUAGUUCUUGGAUUUAAUGAAAUGUUUAUGUUCUUAUUUCCUUGAUUAAGUAGAGAUUUUUCGUAGUUUUGCGUUGUUUCCUUGUUUUAAUGCAAUGUUGAAUUUUGGUGAGAAAUCAACAUGAUCUAUGUGGAGUAUUUCAGUCAUAUAUGGAGUUGAAGAUGUCCAAUUGAAGUCAAACUAAGUAUAAAUGAAAGCUAAGAUCCAUAUAUACAACUUUCAUGAAGACACCAGCCAAAUUUGGACUCAAAAGAGGAGAAACAUGCAAUAUACGUCAAAAAGAAGAGGUUUUUCACCUGAAGCACAAAAACAUGCGUCUGGCGUGCAUUUUGACAUUCCUGGCACUAUUCAGGCAUGCCCAUAACGCAAAUCUUGCGCCUGAGCGUGUAGGGCGCUGCUGAAUGUAUAAAAACACGUUUUCUCACUUUCUAGGUAUCUUUUUGACUAUUAGAAAGUUUGGAGACUUGUGCCCUAGUAGAGAAACUCAAAGACGAACGUUUCUAACACCAUUGGAGUAGUUUUAAGAAUGCUUGACAUGAGAAAUUCAUGAUAUUAUAAUCAAGGGAUAAAUGCAGGUCAUGAAACCAAUUAAAUUAGUUGCAAAGACAAUAGUUUAACAAGAAAAUUCAUGUACGGUAAGACUUAAUUCUAAUCUUAAAUCCACUAAGGAAUUAGGGGUUACUUUAGAAUUAAAGGUUUUGUUAGUAAGACAUUAGAGCAAGAAUAAUAAAGAGAAUACGAAAAUAAUUCAAUAAAGGAACUAAGUAAGUAGGAUCAAAUUAGACCAAAUGUUGAAUUUUAAAUAAUAUUUAAAAUGUUAACGGUAAUAAAAUUGAUCCUUUAUAGUAAAAAACUGAGUAUAUCUAUUGGCCACCAAGCGAGAAGUGAGAAGAUGUCGUUGAAAUCCAACCCAAAAAACUGAGUAUAUCUAUUGGCCACCAAGCGAGCCUUAAAUCGAUCAAUCUUACCAUCAGGGUCAACCUUCACGUAUUGAGCCAACAACCAACUAAAUACUUCCCAUUACGUAAAAGAACCAGUUCCCAAGUAUCACUGCUUUGUAGAACACACGUUUCAUCAAGCAUUGCUUGCCUCCACUCAGGAUGGGAUAAUGUUUCACCUAGAGAUUUAGGAAUAGAAACAAAAGACAAACAAGACAAGCUAAUGAGGAGAUGGAUUACGUGUUGUGCGAAUAACCUUACGAAGAGAAAUGGGAAGGUCAUGCUCAAGUGGCAGGGCCGAAUCCGGUGGUGACGUCGGAGGAGAGUUUGUAAUGGGAACAAGAACAUGCACAACGGAGGGUGGGCGACGACAAUGAUAUGUUUGUAGUGGUCGUGGAGUUUGGGGGGCAGACUCAGCAGGUUCGAUAUGAAUAAGAGUAAGCGGAAUAGGGAUAACUACCUAAGGAGGUUCGGGAUUAAUGUCUUGAUGGGCCUCAAUAGUUAUAUGGGUCGGUUCAAAAUAGAGUACAUACUUGAAAAAGGUAACAUUAGCCUACGUAACGUAUCGAUGUAGUGCAUGAGAAUAACAACAAUAGCCCUCUUGGGACCGAUGAUAUCCGAGAAAGACACACUAGAGUGAUUGAGCUGACAGUUUGUCGUGACCAGAAGAUAAAUUGUGAACAAAAUACGUGGACUCAAAUACACGAGGAGGUAGUGGGUGAAGAAGGGUAUAGGGAAAUAGGACCGAAUGAGGGAUAUGGUCAUCAAAGACAGAAGAUGACAUAUGAUUGAUAAGGUAGCAUGUUGUUAAGACUGCAUCCCCCAAAAACAGAAUGGAACAUUACUAUGAAGAAGUAAGGUUCAGGUGGUUUCAAUGAGAUGUCGAUUUUUGGGUUUGGCUACUCUAUUCUGUUGAGGAGUAUGAGGACAUGACGUUUGGUGAAGAAUACCAUAGGAAGCCAUAAAAUUUUGAAAUUGAUAAGACAAAUAUUCCUAAGCAUUAUCCCUUCGUAAAGUAGGGAAUAGAAACACAAAAUUGAGUUUUAAUUUCUUGAUAAAAUUGCUCAAAAAUAUAAAACAAUUUAGAUCUAUUUUUCAUUAAAAACAACCAUGUACAACGAGAGUAAUCAUCAAUAAAAGUAACAAAAUAUUUAUACUCUAAAAUAGACACAAUACGAUAAAAACCCCAAAUGUCAUAGUGAACUAAAGCAAAGGGUGACAAAACUCUUUUAUUGACUCGAUCAGGAAAAUGAUUACGAGUGUGAUUCCCUAAUUGACACGACUCGCAAUGUAAAGUGGACAACUUAAACAAACUAGGCACCAAUUUUUGAAGUUUAGUAAGACUUGGGUGUCCUAGCUGAGCAUGGAUAGUGUGAGGAGAAUUUGUGGCAAAACAUGUCUUAGAUGAUAUAAAAAGGUUAGAGAGGCCUUAAGACUCGUAUCUGACGCCAAUCGUCCAUCCCGAACUCUGGUCCUACAUGGUAACAUUAUGUGAGAACUUAUGACAGGUCCAAAUCUGCAGCGUGGAGAACUUAUGUCCGCAAGGGUAAAAAAGAGAAUAAGCAGUCUAUUAAUGACAGGGCAGAGAAACUCACUAAAUUCUAGGGAUUUCAGUUACACAUAGGGGAAUAAAUUAAGGAGGGUAGGGGAGUAUUGCCCAUGAAUAAUUAUAAUUAUCAUUGAAUUAGGAGAUACUAUUUUCUCUGGAGGAGCUUUGCUCUGGGUUAUACAUUGUAUCAGAAUUUUCCCUUCUUCCAUAAAUCAAUAAAUUUCCAUUUUAUCUAUCAUUUUACGUUCACAGAUCCCUAUUUUUCUGUGAUUCUAUCAUUGGUCCGACCUGCCGGAUCUUCGAGAACUACCAGUGAUUUUUGUACGUUGUACAUGCCACCGAAACUGUCAGAUCAAAUGGAAGUAGUUGAAGCAAGAAUCACAGCGGUGGAAGAAUCUGUUCGCCAUGAGUUGAGGGAAUUUCGCGAAAUUAUGAUGAGCGAGUUCACGAGGUUGCUAGAGCAACGACCAAUUGGAACGGGGGAACAAUAUGCACAUUCUGAGGACUCAGUGACAGAGUAUAAGAUGACAGUGAAGAAAGUUGAGUUACCAUCAUUUGAUGGUGACGAUCCUGUGGCCUGGAUCACGCGAGCUAAAACGUAUUUUGAAGUUCAAGGGACGUCGGAGGAGGUGAAAGUCAGAUUGGCGAAGCUAAGCAUGGAGGGCACAACAAUUCACUGGUUUAAUUUGUUGAGUGAGACAGAGGACGAUUUGAAUUGGGCGAAACCGAAACGAGCAUUAAUUGAAAGGUAUGGGGGAAGACAAAGUGAUAACCCCUUUUAAGAGAUGAAAGAUUUGCAACAAACGGGAAUAGUUGAUGAAUACAUUACCACCUUCGAAUAUGUGUCGUCACAAGUAGCAAGACUACCGGAGGAGCAAUACCUUGGGUACUUCAUGGGAGGACUCAAGAACCCAUUCGCUUGGAAGGUGCGUACAUUGAAUCCACAAACCAGAUUGCAAGCAAUGAAGAUUGCUCGUGAUGUCGAAACAGAAUUACGUGGGUCUCUGAUUUCAAUAGGUGGUAGUGUGGGUGGGCUUCGCAGUUGGAAGGGAAGUGGGCCAAGUGGAUCCCAUCAUUUGAUGGUGACGAUCCUGUGGCCUGGAUCACGCGAGCUGAAACGUAUUUUGAAGUUCAAGGGACGUCGGAGGAGGUGAAAGUCAGAUUGGCGAAGCUAAGCAUGGAGGGCGCAACAAUUCACUGGUUUAAUUUGUUGCGUGAGACAGAGGACGAUUUGAAUUGGGCGAAGUUGAAACGAGCAUUAAUUGAAAGGUAUGGGGGAAGACAAAGUGAUAACCCCUUUUAAGAGAUGAAAGAUUUGCAACAAACGGGAAUAGUUGAUGAAUACAUUACCACCUUCGAAUAUGUGUCGUCACAAGUAGCAAGACUACCGGAGGAGCAAUACCUUGGGUACUUCAUGGGAGGACUCAAGAACCACAUUCGCUUGAAGGUGCGUACAUUGAAUCCACAAACCCGAUUGCAAGCAAUAAAGAUUGCUCGUGAUGUCGAAACAGAAUUACGUGGGUCUCUGAUUUUAAUAGGUGGUAGUGUGGGUGGGCUUCGCAGUUGGAAGGGAAGUGGGCCAAGUGGAUCGGGGCCCAACGGAAAGAAAGGAUCUGGAUUUCAUUACAACCCAGGUUCGACCAGAUCUGGAAGUGGGUUUAAUAAUAACUUAACCGGGUCAGAGCACAACAAAACCAGUUCGACUCAAUCUGACUCAAAUGCAAACUCAAACAUUUGUCAUAAUACAACGAGAUCUAGAAACGAUGAGGGGAGAAGAAUCAGCAAUGAGCGCAACUGUGGCCUCAAGCAUCUGCCGUAUUCGGAACUGAUGGAGCGGCGGACACGAGGGUUGUGUUUUCGUUGUGGGGAAAAAUACCAUCAUCUUCACCAGUGUGCUGAAAAACAGCUCCGAUUGAUGAUUUUGGGAGACGACGAGACGAUUAACGAAGAAGGUGAGGUGAUUUCCAUAGAAGUUAUGGAGGAUGAGGAUGAUGUUCUUGAUUGCAAUUCCAUGGGAUUGUUUGAUAUGAUUGAAGCAAAGAAAAAUUUAGAUAAAACGCCUCCAACUACUUUGCGCCUCAAAGGAAGUCUAAAGGGGGUUUCCAUCGUGGUUUUAAUCGAUAGUGGCGCCAGUCACAAUUUCGUUUCACCCCGUGUUGCUACUGCGUUGGGAUUAACAGUGGAACAAGGAAGAUCGAUGGGAGUAAAGUUGGGAGACGGCCACCGUGUGUCUACUAGGGGGAGGUGUAGAAAAUUGCAACUACAAUUAGAUGAUUUCAUCACUAAUGGUGAUACUUUUGUUUUGGAAUUGGGUGAUUUGGAUAUGAUUUUGGGGGUGGCUUGGUUGCAAAGAUUUGGGAAGGUGACUUUUGAUUGGGAGAAAAUGACCAUCAAGUUUCAAUGGGAAGGAAAAAUAGUGGAACUACAUGGUCAGUUCUUUACCAAAAAAUACUUGGCUAAUUCUAAGGCUCUUCAAGGGUAAAUUGAAACACUGUAUAGUUUGUUGGAAGAAGAAUUGAGUCAGACUUCAAAUGAAGAAUUACAGGAGCUAACCCAAGACCAACAACAAGAGCUUCAAGACUUGUUGGAGAAUUUUAAGGGGGUUUUUGAAGAGAAUAUUGGGCCGCCUCCUGAAUGAGAUAUAACUCAUGCAAUUGAAUUGAAGAAAGAUGCAGGUCCUGUGGCUGUUAGGCCAUAUCGUUAUCCUCACCACCAUAAGGAAGAGAUCGAAAAACAAGUUCAAAGCAUGCUGACCCAAGGUAUAAUUCGAAACAGCUCUAGCGCAUUUUCUAGUCCUGUCAUUUUAGUUAAAAAGAAAGAUGGGUUAUGGAGGAUGUGUGUUGAUUAUAGAGAAUUGAAUAAGGUUAGAAUGCCAGAUAAAUAUCCAAUUCCGGUAGUUGACGAAUUAUUGGAUGAACUACAUGGAACGAAAUUUUUCUCAAAACUUGAUUUGAAAUCCGGUUAUCACCAAAUAAGGGUGAAAGAAGGGGAUGUGCAUAAGACGACAUUUCGAACUCAUGAAGGGCAUUAUGAGUUUCUAGUGAUGCCAUUUGGGUUGACGAACACACCAGCCACUUUCCAAUCCACCAUGAAUCAGAUUUUCAAGCCACACCUCCGUAAGUUUGUCUUGGUAUUUUUUGAUGAUAUCCUAGUAUAUAGUAAGGGAUGGGAAGAACACUUAGCACAUUUAUAUCAAAGUGAUGGAGAUUUUACUAUACCACUGUUUUAUCGUUAAUAAAAAAAAAUGUAAUUUUGCUAGUAGGAAGGUGGAAUAUUUGGGUCUUGAAAUAUCGGAACAGGGUGUGGUUGUGGAUCCACCUACGAUUAAUAGCAUUUUGGAGUGGCCAAUCCCUCAUAAUGUCAAAGGAGUGAGGGAAUUUUUGGGGCUGACCGGUUAUUACCGAAAAUUCAUUGUUGGCUAUGAAAAGAUAGCUAAACCAUUGACAGAACUAACAAAGAAGGAAGGAUUUCAUUGGGGUACAGAAGAGUUGAAGGCCUUUGAGAAUCUUAAAAGAGUUAUCGUGCAAGCCCCAGUUUUAACACUACCAGAUUUUUCACAACCUUUUGAGAUUGAAUGUGAUGCAUUCGGAAGAGGAAUAGGUGUAGUUUUAAUGCAGAAAAAGAAGCCUAUAGCCUACUUCAGCAAAGCAUUGUCCAAGAAAAAUUUAAGCAAGUCUGCGUAUGAAAAAGAAUUGAUGGCGUUGGUGUUGGCAGUUCAGCAUUGGCGUCCAUAUUUGUUGGGAAGAAGAUUUGUGGUGUACUCCGACCAAAAGAGUUUACGACACUUGCUCGAACAACGCAUCACUACGGCUGAUCAACAGAAUUGGAUAGCAAAAUUAUUGGGCUAUCACUUCGAAGUGGUAUACAAGUCAGGUCCAGAAAAUAAAGCUGCUGGCACUCUUUCAAGAAUGCAUGAGGAGGCAGAGUUGAAAGGGAUAACUUCUUUUCCCAUAUGUAUGCAAGAGCAACAAAUUCAGCAGGNNNNNNNNNNNNNNNNNNNNNNNNNNNNNNNNNNNNNNNNNNNNNNNNNNNNNNNNNNNNNNNNNNNNNNNNNNNNNNNNNNNNNNNNNNNNNNNNNNNNNNNNNNNNNNNNNNNNNNNNNNNNNNNNNNNNNNNNNNNNGAAGUGGUAUACAAGCCAGGUCCAGAAAAUAAAGCUGCUGACGCUCUUUCAAGAAUGCAUGAGGAGGCAGAGUUGAAAGGGAUAACUUCUUUUCCCAUAUGUAUGCAAGACCAACAAAUUCAGCGGGAAGUUAUGAAUGAUCCCCAAUUGCAGAAGGUGAUAACAUAGCUACAACAAGACCCUACAUCCCGGCCAGAUUUCCAAUUAAUCAAAGGGAGACUUUUCUACCGUAGUAGACUGGCGUUAUCUUCAAAUUCUGGUUUUAUACCUUUAUUGUUGAAAGAAUUUCACUCGUCUCCAACUGGUGGCCACUCAGGUUUUCUACGCACGUAUCGAAGGAUGGCAGGAAAUCUUUAUUGGGUAGGAAUGAGAAAGUCAGUUAUGGAAUUUGUGCAGAGUUGCGACGUGUGUCAACUUCAAAAGUACGUUGCGUCCUCUCCUAUGGGUUUGUUACAGCCCCUCUCAAUUCUGGAGAAAAUUUGGGAUGAUAUUUCGAUGGAUUUUAUCACUGGUCUCCCAAAAUCGAAAGGGUUUGAAGCAAUACUUGUAGUGAUGGAUAGAUUAUCCAAGUAUGGAAAUUUUAUUCCCUUAAAACAUCCAUAUAUUGCGAGGAAGGUGGCUGAAAUAUUUAUUAAAGAGGUGGUGCAUCUUCAUGGGGUGCCACAAUCCAUUGUUAGUGAUCGUGAUCCACUGUUUGUGAGUCUAUUUUGGAAAGAGUUGUUUCGCUUACAAGGAACGAUGCUGAAUAUGAGUUCGUCAUAUCAUCCGGAGACUGAUGGGCAAACGGAGGUGGUGAAUCGGUGCUUAGAAGCAUAUCUUCGUUGUUUUGCAUCGGAGCAACCGAAUGAGUGGUCGCAAUGGAUUCAUUGGGCUGAAUUGUGGUAUAACACCACAUUCCAUGUGUCUACAGGAACUACACCGUUUGAGGCAGUGUAUGGAUGAAAACCACCCAUUGUGGUUAGAUAUUUACAGGGAGAAACGAAAGUAGAAGCGGUAGCAGUUGAAUCGGUUGAUCGUGAUGAGGCCUUACGUGAACUUAAGUAUCAUUUGAACAGGGCCCAAGAACAGAUGAAGAGGUAUGCAGACAAGAAAAGAAAAGCAUAUUCAUUUGAAGUGGGUGAGUGAGUAUUUUGAAGUUCCGACCCCAUAGACAGCAGACAGUGACUAGAAGGAUUAACCAAAAACUGGAUCCACGGUACUUUGAACCAUUUCCGAUCCUAAAGAAAAUAGGGGCAGUAUCCUACAAGUUGAAGCUACCAGAAGGAAGUAGAGUGCAUGCAGUGUUUCACAUUUCACAACUCAAGAAAGCUAUUGGAGACUAUUAUGUUGAAUCUCAACUACCAGACGAGUUAGAAAUGGAAGCAGAAGAGGGGGAAGAACCGGAAGAAUUGAUGGCUGCAAGAUCAGUGAUGAAAGAAGGACAACUGGUGCGACAAUGGCUGGUGCGUUGGAAAGGAAGAGUUGUAGAAGACACAACUUGAGAGGAUGAAUUACUACUAAAAAGUCAAUUUCCAUCUCUCAACCUUGAGGACAAGGCUGCAUUUCCUAAUGGCGGUAAUGAUAGAAUUGGUGGGCUUAAGACUAGUGAAAGGUCUAAAUCUGCAGUGUGGAGAACUUAUGUCUGCAAGGGUAAAAAAGAGAAUAAGCAGUCUAUUAAGGACAGGGCAGAGAAACUCAUUAAAUUCUAGGGAUUUCAGUUACACAUAGGGGAAUAAAUUAAGGAGGGUAGGGGAGUAUUGCUCAUGAAUAAUUAUAAUUAUCAUUGAAUUAGGAGAUACUAUUUUCUUUGGAGGAGCUUUGCUCUGGGUUAUACAUUGUUUCAGAAUUUUCCCUUCUUCCAUAAAUCAAUAAAUUUCCAUUUUAUCUAUCAUUUUACGUUCACAUAUCCCUAUUUUUCUAUUAUUCUAUCAUUAUCAUUAGUGAAAGUAAUAAUAUAGUCAUCGGACUGAUUCAUUCGACUAACUGAAAGUAAAUUAAAAUGAUAUUCAAGUACAUAGAGAACAUAUGCGACUGAAAUAGAAUUAAUAAUUUGAACAGUGCCAACCCCUUGAGACCACGUUUGAGAGCUUUUGGCAGAAGUUAUAGUACGUAAAAAACUAGAUGUAGAGAGAAGAAAAGAGACUCUUAUUACCAGUUACAUGAUCAGACGCGCCAGAAUCAAUAACCCAAUGGUCAAGAAAAGAUGAGUGAGAGAGGUAAACAAAUGAGCUACCAGUGUGUGCAACUGAAGUAGUAGAACCAAAGUUCUGAUGACUUUGAACCCACCGAAGGAAACCUUCAUAAUAUAUCGGGGAGCCUUGUGGAGAUGGUGUAGUCUGAAUAGUGGCAGAAGAAUCAAGUUAAGUUGCAUUUAUCGAAGGCGAAGGUUUACCAUGAAACUUCCAACAACGAUCAAUAAUGUGUCCAAGUCAAUUACAAUGUUCACAUUUGGGACAUGGCUUAGAGUUGGAUGGUCCUCCAUGAGAGCGAAUUUGAUUAUUAUGUCCCAGAGAUGCAAGGGCAGCAGUGUUAGUCAGAGCUGAAGUAAUAGAAGGCUCAACUGGAUAUUUUGUUGGUACUCGAAGAAGGAUCAUUGAGGUAGUAGACAUAUCCGGAAGAGUAUAAGAUCUCAAAAUCUUAUUACACUUAGGGCAAGCAAUAAAGGGCAAGAAGCAUGAAGAAGGUGAUGCAUUGAUCUAACUCCUUCGUUUAAACAACUGGACUACUUGCAGCAUGAGGGAGAAGUUCAUUAAAAUCACGAAGUGCAUUAUGAACAGUGCCAAGAUAUGUACAAAUAGAACCAUUUAUCGUCAUCGGAGUAAUGAUUUUCAGCAAGUCGUGACAAACUCCAUAGAGACGUUGAGUGUCAUUAGUGUAGAGUGAAUUUGUCUGACUCCAAAGUGAUUCACACGUGAGAUGUGCACGAAAAAUCAGUUUAAGGUCAAGUUGAAGUGUAGACUUAAUGAAACUGCAUAAUUGAGCACCUAUAUGCUUCCAUUUUGAAGUUUCAGUCGCAACCACCUUUUCAGGAUAUUGUGUGAGAUGUUCCUCGUAACCUUGACCAAGCAUCCAUAGUUUGAUGUCAGCAGCUCAACUGUCAUCAUUUAAUUCAUUCAAUUUUCAAUAGAGAGAGGGGAUGUGAUGUAGUUGGAAAAGAUGUUUUAUGUUUCAAUAGUAGACAGAGACGUCAUGGUCGGUAAAAAGUAUCAUAAAAUGUGUCUAAACCGAGGAAAUAGAGGAUGUUUGAAUUGGAACGCGUAUAUUUAUGACUCGAAACUAAAAACUCAGGGUGGAUAUGGAAUCAGAAGGCUGGGGUGAGUGCAAAUGGAGAAGUCGCGUCAACAACGGCUGUCAAACGCACCUUCACGCGCAGUGGCAGGAGGUGGCGCGUGGAUCUGACGCGCUUGGAGCAAGGUGGCACGUGUGGGCGCCUGAGAGGUUCGUUGACGAUGCGCCUUGAGGGUGGGCUGAUUUGGGGUGUACGACACUGUUGUAGUGGUCGUUCUCCAAAAAAGUUGUUGGAGGGAGCAGCAACGGUGCAACAGAGCGUGGGUGGCUGGAAAACAAUGAGAAGACAAUAGUGUAGCCCAAACAGGGAGGGGGAAACUGGAGUUGAGAACACAGUUUGUCAGGAAAAAAAAAAUUUCUCAUCGGAGACUGUGGGUCCAUCAGAUAGUUGAAGAUUAGGGUUGUCUCUCAUUAUGCUUUAGGUAUCAUGUUGAAUGAGAAGAAAAUAUUAAUAGACAUGUUGAAUAAGUGUUUCAACUACACAACGGAAAUUCUUUAUAUAGACUAUGAAUAAUAAAUACACAUCAUAACAUAAAUACUUUAAAACUUUCUAUUUAUUUAUAUAUAUAUAUUAAUAUUUUAUUUUCAAACGGUUUUUAAAUUUAUAAUAUUUGAAAAACUACUAAUUAAUUUUUAAUAACGGUUGUAUUUUUAAAUUUUUUAAAACUAAGCAUCCAAACAUCAAAAUUAUAGUACACACUUUUUAAUGUACAUAGCCAAAUGCAAAUAACUCAUAAUAAACUCUUCUUCCUGGUCCAUAAGUGUUAGAAAUCAAUUAUUGAUAUUCAUAAUUUAAAUCUAAGCAUACCUUGUUUCUUGAUUUCUCGUGACGAAGGAAGUUGAAUAAUCGAUUUGGGGAGACAUUAAGCCAAAUAGUAGUACAAAAAACCACUGUUGUUCCAAGAGGCUUAUUUGUAGUACCAUUCAUAUUAUUAUUAAUCAUAACUCUUACAUCUGUUGAACCACGAAAAGGAGCUAAUCGCAUCCAUGGAUUGCUAGCAGUAAGAUUGGCACAAAAACUUCUCAUCAUUCUAUCUGCUAGUCUCAAGAAACUUGUCCUCCCAGUUUGAGGUAUAAGAACUAUUUGCAUCAAAAGAAACAAAUAUAACUAAUGGAAGCAAUUAUCAUGCUUUAUUAAGAUAAAUAAAAAAUAUAAUAAUACUGAUGAGAAUAGUAAUCCAACUCUAUACUUAUUUAUCACUUUAUUUUGUAACGCUUUCACAUGAGACAUUAAAGAUCUACUUAGAUUGGUUUAUUCGAACUUACAUGUCAAUAUAACUUAUGAAAUCAAUUUAUAGAUUAUAUAAAACUCGUUUGAUUUUAUUUUUACAAAAAAGGACAGAACUUUCAACAGCUUUGUCGUUUGGGAACCUUCACAAGCUCUCCACAACCAUUUUACUUCCAAACAUAAAACACGUAAAAUUCUCCAGCUUUGUUUGACAACUCAACACCUAUGUAAUUAAACUAUUAGUUCUCUUUUUACCUUUGAUUGCACACAAGAUGUUUGUUCAAUUAGCUGAAUGAUUUUAUUAGAGAGAGACAGGGCUCUGUUGAUGGCAGAAUUUGUGAAGUUGAGGCAACAACAACGUAUGAUGAUAUUGAAAUUAAAACUACCCAAUAUUGGGUUAGUCCCAAUUGUCAAUGGCCGUGGGAAUAAUCUAUAAUACAUUGACAUAAACAUAAGACAUAACACUAACUUUGAUAAGUUUGACGUCGAGAAUAAUUUUAAAAAAUAAAAUAUUUAAAUGUAAUUUAUGUACAUUAGAAUAGUGUCACAUAUCUACGAAGACACUUUGAUGUAAAGUUUUAGUGCUACACAAGGAGAUUAACUUGAGAUCACAUUUUUUUAACUGAAGACUAUUAUGAAAUAUCGAUAAAAUGGUGGAAUGCAUUGGUAUGCGUUUACAAUUUGAGAGACUAAAUUGAAUUUUCACUCUCUUAGUUUUCAAAAAAGUCUUCAAAUAGAAAGUUUAGGACAAUAAAAAUAAAGUACCUCGAUGAUCUGCAACCAAUUUUGUAGAAUUGAGUGCUUGAGACCACUCAAUGUGGCGAAUAAUGGAAGAAAGCCAACGGGUUGCACCAAAAGCCAAACCAGAGGUUACUAACGGCUUGAAAAGAUCAUUCAAUUGGCUAUGGUCUACUUCCAUAUGCUCCACCCAUAUAACCUAAGUUAAUUUACUUAUUAGAACAUCAAACCAAUUAUUUAUUAAUCACAACUAUAAUAUAGUUGCUUUUAAAAAAACAACAGCAAUAAAUUAAGAGAUUAAUUGUUGUUGGGGUUAAAAGUUUUAUACAAUUACGGAUCACAAUUACUUGUGACUACAUAGAUAUAUGAUUUUAAAAGUAUUAGUUAUCAUUAAAAUCAAUGAUCCGACUAUUAUGAUUGACUAGGAUGUCAUAUACAUUAUCAAUUUUACACUGUCAAUCAAUCACAAUAGUUUGCAAUAGUUAUAUCAUUAAAAAUGUUUGAUUUUUCCUAUAACUACCUCUAAAAUCACAUUCAUGAAUAUAAAUUAUUUUAUGCUAACAGUGCAUGACACUUAAAAGUCACAUUCUUUUGUAAUUUUGUUUACAUUUAUAGAUAAUUAAUCUCCUUGAUUUUAUAAAAUAAAAUAAGUACAUUCACAAGAAUGUACUACUAUUUAUGAUAUUUAUUGGAAACUCAUUCCAUAUCAAUUGUGUGCUAAGUAUUAAUAACAAAGAGUUAUAUGAAUAAUAACAUUAAAAGCUACUUACUGUUUUUUUUUAAAUAGUCAAUACUAGUAUUUAUUUGUUAAUUUUUCAAUCCACUGAACCUCUUCAUGACUCCUAGAAAAGUUACUCAGUUUGGACAAUUAAAACAAAAUAGAGAAAAAUGGUCAUGCACUACUCUUUACAUUGUCCGUAAAUAUUAAUAACAACUAUUGAUUUAAUCAUUUGACUUCAUGAUUAUAAUUUUUAUCGAUCAAAUACUAUAUAGUCUAUGACUCAUGUUAAUCGUCGGUAUAAAAUUGUUUACACGGACUGUGUAUAUCUUUUAAACUAAAAAAUUAAUGAGUAAAAUUUCUAAUAAUCAAGAUUGAAAGGAGUAUAUGUAUAGAACCUGGGAAUAAUCAUUAGGAGGCAUUCCUAUAAUCAUACAGCCUGAAGGUCUUCUUCGAAGAUUGUUUGAGGGAGAUGAAAAAAUGUUCUCCAAAGAUACAUCAACGACAGCCCAAUUGUCAUGAGAAAGUUGCUUGCAGUACCUUGCAAAAUAACACUCCCGAGUUGGUACAGCAGGACUAGGCAAAUGAAAUUCUGCACUCAUCUACAAUAAGAAAAAAUAAGAAAAAGAAGAUAUAUAAAGUGAAAUGAGAAUAUUAACAUUAAUUUUGAAAUUCAAAUGGUCAGCUGAAUAUUUUUUGAUAAAGCCAACAUUCAUUUUUUGACAUAUUAUACGAAACAGCCCAAGACAACCACAAAGCACAAUAUUGUAUGCUCCAUUAAUUGAGUAAAUAGUCAUUUUUGGUAAUUGAAUAUGUGAUGCUCAAUCAUUAUAGUUUAUGAUUGCCAUGCAUCAUAAUUACAAAAUCAUCUCAGAAUGUGUUUUUGAUUAGUUAAGUUUUCGAUAUUAUCUUUCAUUUUAAUUGGUUAACUUAUUACUCAAAUGUUAUACAUUUUAUAAUUUCUCAAUGAAACUAGUCUCAAAUUACUUAACAAAAGAUAUACUCAUAAAUUUGUAGUUUGGAUGUAUUCUCUUUUUUUUUUUUUUUUUUACAGUAAAAAGUUAGGUAAAGGGAAAUAAUGUCACUGUGCAAGAUCACUGAGUCUAAUCUUAAAAAUUAAAUUCUUAAUAAAUAAAAAAGUAAUUUUAAUAAUUAAAAAAUUAGUAAAAUAAAUUUUAGUCCAUAUACACAUAUCAAUUUCAAUUUACAUGAUGCACUCUUCACAUAUCAAUUUACAUGAUAGACGUGAACACACCAACCACAAUUUUAUUUGUAAAACACGCUCAUAUAGAAUUCAAAAUUUAGAUAAAAUUUAAAAAAGAAUUUUAAUAUUGAAAUAAUUCUUUUGAGAAAUUUUUUUUUUCAGAUUUCUUUCUCUAUCUCAGUGACAAUAAGUCUUUCAAGACAUUGUAUCAUUUUACUUUUUCAAUUAGUUUUUAUUCUCUUUUUCAAUCGUUGAGACAUUAUAUUAUUGUGUUAGUGUAUUGUCAACUAGUUUUUAAAAUUUAAAAUUCUAAUUAACUAUUUUAAACAAAUUGAAUUCUUAAAAAUGUUAACACGAUUCAAAUAUUCUACUAUAAUGUUGGGAUUGAAAAAAUGUGAUGUAAUUAAUUGAACGAUUAAUUCAUGAAAUAUGGGAUAUUAAGAGACAAAGAUUGCUUCUUUGUUAGGUGAUUUGUGUUAAAUUGAAAUGCUAUUUACUGAGGCCAUUAAGUAAGUCAUGGAAUCAAUUCAAAUCAUGGCCAUUAAGUCAUGUAAUCAAUUCAAAUCACGCAUCUUAUAAUAAUAAAUACAUUCAUUCUCACAAAACUUUUUCAAAAACAUAAUAUUGAUACGAAAAUAAAAAGUUCAUGAAAAUAGCAGAACAUCUAAAACAUAUUUAUCUAUAUGAAAAUAACAUCUUAAAACUCACCACAUUCAAUUUUCCAUCGAAGCUUUCUUCCACUCCAUCUGAAAAACUACCUAAAAGAGUUGCCUUUGAUACAACAUUAUAAAAUGUUGUCGACCAUUCAUUCUAAUAGAAUUUAUAAAAAAAAUUUAAAGUUAAUCUAAUAUAUUAUACAAUGCAAAAUAUAUGAAAUUGAAUUUGAAUAGAAUGAAUAAUACACAUCAUGGGAAUCCGAUAAUUUCAGUGAUUUCUAAUUUUCGUAACAUUGCUAAUAAAAAAAUUGUAAAUAUAGUGUAUAAAUGAAAUAUAAUCCUAUACCUAGACUAGGGAAUUAGAAAAUUAUAAAUGACAGUAUAUAAAUUAUAAAAAAAAAAAUGAAUAAAAAACACUAACCACGUUCAUUAGUAAUUCUACAAGUUUAAUUGGAGUAAUAUUAACACAUGCCAUAUCUCGUGAAGCUUCAAUCUGCAAAGCAUCGUCACAGUCUCCUCUCGGCAUAAAAUUGGGAUUAGUUUCACAGGAAUCAAAACUAGGUAAAAUUUGAGUUUCUCCAACCUCAACUAAUUUAAUAAUCUCCCUUAAAGUUGCAUCAGCAUGACCAAAUUGUGUCAAAUAUUCAAUAUCAUUGAUAAUUUGGUAUUUGUGAUCUUUGUGUUGAUUCCAUAAAGAUUCCCCUGAAACACACAUCUUGCAUAAUUCUUCUAUUGCCGAAUGGGCACAAUCAAUUAUUUUUGUUUUGGUUGGUUCCACCAACAUUGAAACCCCAAGAAGAAGAUCACUCGCUCGUUCCAUGUUGAGUAGCCGUAAAUAGAGUUUGAGUAAUGUUCCCAGAUUUGGGAUUUAUUAUAUUCCAUGUACUGCAGUGAGAGUUUUUCUAAGGUUACCAGAGAAUUUGUUGGGAAUAAUCCCAACAAUCCCUCCACGUCAAGUACUAUCUUUAUAUAUAAUUAAUUUAAUAAAUUAUUCUACCGAAAAUUAAUUAGAAUUAUUAUAUUUUAUGAUACUCGUAAAUUUUUUUUGAUAAAAUAUUAUAAACUUGUAAAUUAUAAUAAGUUAUCUGCUAUAAACUUAAUUAUACAGGCUUUAUCUACUAUAAACUUAUAAGUUAUAAUAAGUUAUCCGCAUUAGAUAGCACUUUGGUCUUGUCAAAUAGUAUCUUAGUUUUCUAUAAUAUUUUCUUCUUAAUUUUAUUUUUUAUUUAAAUUCUUUUAAUUAUAAUUUUAAUUAUCAUUAGUUAACUAAUUAUAAACAAUUGAAUAUUCAUUCCUAAGUUAAAUUAUAAAUUAAAUUACAUUUAAUACUUAAAUUGGAACACUCUUAUGAAGUCAAAUCUAAAUUAAUUAUUUUUCAAUUUGAUUUAAAGAUAUAGAGACUAAAAUAAAAAUAACAAUAAUAUACACUAAAGUUUCAUAAAAUACUUCAGGAUUUCAUUUCAUCGUGAUGGAUGCUUAUUAUGAUUUUUAUGAAUUUUGCUCAUCUAAAAUUAAAAAUUGACAAAAUAUAUAAUAUCAAAAAUACGUUACACAUUAAUACAUUGAUAGUUGAUUUUAUUAUUCAUUUUAUUUCCAAAAAUACGUUACUCAUUAAUACAUUAAUAGUUGAUUUUAUUAUUCAUUUUAUUUCCAAAAAUAAGUUACAGAAGUCAAUUCCGAUUUUUAUUGGAGAAGAAAAUGGAGAAAGAGACACGUAAGUGGCAAUAGUGCCUAUUUGUAACUUGGUCUAUAUGUACAAAGAAAAUAUCAAUUUUUUUAGGUGGAUUUUUUGUUUCAGUUUUGCUUUUCAUUAAGCAAUUUUAUUAACUGACAAUUUUAUCUUUUUUUAUUCAAUUAAUUAAUUGAUUUAAAAAAGCUUCUAUACUAAACAAAAUUAGGAUACCAAGUGUUAGUGUAAUUUUUUUUUUCAAUUUUGUAUUUCAUUUAAAUAAUUUUAUUUAUUAUUUUAUCAUUCUUUAAUAAUCAAAUAACUAAUUUUUUUUAAUACAAUCGUAUAAAAUUAUAUCAAUAAAAACGAACAAACGGAGACAUUAAUUGGGACACCGUUUGUGCAAAAUGUAAAAUUAAUAGAAAAUUUGCUGAAAAUAAAAUAUUUUUAAACAAUUCUUAAAAUACAUUGACUAUUGAAAUAGCUAACGCACACAAAGCUCCAUUUAAUGAGAGAUUGUGCGAGUUUGUAUCUAGAGUAGCUCUGAGAUGCAUUUUAUGACGAAAAGUGUUGAUGAUUAAUGUGUAGAAUGUGUCACUUUUAAUUAAAUUGUACUAUAUUGGAUGUGUUUAUGUCAGAUUUUUUAAAAAAUUAUUAUGUUAAAAAAAUUACUUUUUUGGUUAAAAAUGAAAAAGUAGAAAUAGUAAUGCCUCACAUUUGCUCCUUGCAUAGAUGAAAGUGAAAAUAAAUUUUAAACAUACGGAUCUAAUUAUCCUUACGCUUUUUAGAAAAUCUAAAAUUAUCCUCCAUCAAUUUUUACUAAGAUUUUCUCCAUGCAUCAGUUUUAUUUUUCUCCUUCCACGAGACUGUGAUAUAAGUAAUUUUUGUUGUUUUUAUGUCUUUUAUUAGAAUCAUUUUAUUUAUACAUUAUCUAUAUGAUACGAAUUUUGUUUUUUUGCUUUUGUAUAUUUAUUUAUUGUUUUUUUUAUGAGUACUUAAGGUACAUUAUUCAAUUUUGAAAUGUGUCUAAGAAAUGAUAAUUAGAAAAGUCAUGUCUUUUAUGGUAAUUUUGUAGUUUAAAAAAUCACUUUUAUAAAAUUAUAUACAAACAAAUUAAAAAUCAUUUUUAUGAUAGUAAACAAACGAAAAUCAAAUAAUCAUUUUUAAACAAAUCUCUACAAAAUAAUCUCUAAAUUUUUUUAACUAAAAAUCAUUUUUCUUUAAAUUUAAACAAAUGCAUCCAUUAUAUUUUCUAGUAUAAUAAUCUAUGAGUAGUCCUUAAGUCUUAGUAGUCGAUAUUGUUAGAUUGGAUAUCAUAUCUUGAGUUUGAGUUUGAAAUCUCAUAGUAGUGUGUGUGAGUUUAUGAUAGUAUGUAUCAUUUUGUCUAUAGAUCCCAAAAAAUUAAUCAAUUAGUAUGUAGAAAAUGAGAUAAAUUGAUUAGUUUAAUGGAGUAAUAACAUAAGAAUAAUAGAUUAAUCUAAGUUAAUGGUUAGGUGCGUUUGUUUGAACUUAAAUAAUUUUUAAUUUAAAAAAUUCAGAGAUUAUUUUUUAGAGAUUUGUUUAAAAAUAAAUUUUUUUUUUCGUUUGUUUAUUAUCAUAAAAAUGAUUUUUUUUUAAAAUGAUUUUUAAUCUGUUUGUAUAUAAUUUUAUAAAAGUGAUUUUUUAAACUACAAAAUUAUCAUUAAUGACAUGACUUAUCUAAAUACAUUAAUUUUUCUCUUUUCUAAAAUUACCAUAAAUAUGGUGUCAUAUUUUCAUUAUGCAUAAUCAUUAAGACAGUCGUUAGUACUCGGUAGAAUAUUUGUCAUGUGAGGUGUCAAUAUCUAAAGCAUUUGUUGCUGAGGACAAUUUCAUAUUUUCAAAAAGGAUAAUUGAGUAAUUACAUCGUUUUCUCCCAUUAGUGAGUUAAGUUUCAUGUUUUUAAAUUGUACGACAUCUUUCUCUCUCAUCUAUCGCAGAGACAAUUGUGAAAAACUACUAUUUUUUACCUUUUUAUUUUUAGCCAAAAAAUAAGUUUUUUAAUAUAAUCAUUUUUCAAAAAUCUAAAACAAACAUUAUUCAAACAAUAAAAAUAAUUUAUGGUUUGAAAAUAUAAAUGUUUUCAUGAAAAAAACUGAAACUAACGCACACAAUAUAGAAUAAUCGAUUAAUUGGAAUUUUAAUUGAUUAGGAUGAUGCCCAUAAUUGUAAAACGUCUAAGUUAGACAAUAAUUGAUUAAUGAAGCUUAAUGAAUCGAUUGUGAUAAUAAUCAAAAUAAAAAAUGACAAAGUUAGGAAUUAAUCGAAUAGAAACUUAACAUUAAUCAAUUAAGAAUAAAAUUAGAAUCCGAAAAGAUCAACGAAAUUAUGAAUAAAUUGAUAAAAGACCUAGGGUUAAUUGAUUAUGUUAAGUAAGAAUGAUAACUCAGGACAUUAGCUAAAUAAUAAUAAAUAAAUAAAGUUAAGUAUUAAAUGAUUGGCUACUAAAUUAGGGUUAAGUUAAUAAGUUUAACUAAUAAAGUUUUUUUAUAUAUGUUUGAUAUACUGAUUAUAAACAUUAGUUUAUUGUAGGACACUCGGAGUGAAGUUGGAUACUGAUAGUUGAUGAUGGUUAUUAUCUCAUUCAUGUUAAGUAUUGUCGUUGUAUAGUAGGACAUGUUGGAGGUUGUAUUGUGAUAAAAUUGAAGUUCGAUGAUCAAGGAGACUUUGAGGGUGUUAUUAGAAGGGAAGUUUGACGUAAAGGAGGAGCACUGCAAGAGUGUUAUGUUGAAUAUCAAAUCACCCUUAUUAGACCUUCUUGUUCGUAGGAUUAUAGGUGGCUUCUCUAUUAGUUUCGAACCAAAGAUAUAUAGAAGGAUUUAACGGGAAGCAAUUGAUGAGUAGAAUUAUGUCGUAUUAUCUUGCAUUGUUGGUAGUGUUUAUUGUUAUAUGUUGUGAUGUUGAUUGUGCAUUUAAUUCACUUUGCUUCAGCUCAUUAUAUCUUUGAAAAUGAUGAUUCACCUUCGUUUGUUUCCAUGUGGCUACUUACACAUAAGUAAUCGCCAUCACGAGGAAGACACGGAGUGAUUGACAUGUUGCCAACAGAUAAGUUAGUUAUUUAUUUAUUCAUGUUGAAUUAACAUAUUAGUCGAACAAUAAAUUAAGAUUAUAUAAUAGAGUCAUCUUUAAUUGGUGUGACAAUUUUUAAUUAAACUCUUUUGAUUAUGUUAUUUUUCCAUAUUUUCAAAUUGUGAUAUUGCUAUAUUUAAAUGCGUUUUAUUUACGAACCAAAUUUAUUCGUGUUUAUAUUAUAAUUAUGCUUUAAAAUAUUUGUGAAGUGGAGGGAGUCAAAAACAACCCUUUCAAUGUCAAUUAACCAACCUUAUCAAUGCCAAUGAAGCAGCCCUUCAAGUUCUUGAAACAAUUUCCAACUACUAUAUUGAUGACAUAAUUAGUGUUUAAUUAAUGAAAGUUGUGGUUAUUGAGUGAUUGCAUCAUCACUUGGAUAUGGUGAGAAUUAUUGGUCUCUAAUUGGUCAAUGUUUGAAUAAUGAAAUUAGUUCUCAUGUUAAUUAAUCUUUGUGAUACAUUAUUCACCCGACACAUAGAAGAAAUGGGGAAGUCUUUGAAAAUAACAACUUUGGACACUCAAUCUUCGGAUAAGUGAAUGUCCAUAUUAGAAAUAUAUUAUGUGAUAACGACACUUAACAUAGUGUCAUUCUAGUCAUGUUAAUUAGCAAAUACCUUUAACACAGUUUUCUUAGGCCCUCCCAUUCCGAGUAAUAUAAGUGUUUUGUUGUUUGAUAACUAUUGUACAAUGACAUGGGAGACUCUUACUUAAAAGAGAGAUGAUUGAAAUUUAAGUGUAACUUGUUUUAUCACACAUCAAUUAAGAAUGAAUUAAAUGAAUAUAUAUAUAUAUAUAUAUAUUAGUACACAUCAACUAAGAAUGUCUUAAGAUUAAAAGUGAAAAUAUAAUGUCAAAGUCUCCUAAUAAUCCAAAUAGUUGACCCAUUUUUUUCUCUCAUGUGCUCCUCUAAACUAUUGAACAAACUCAUGUAAUUAAAACAUCGACGAAUGUUACAGCUAUUACAAACUAGUACUUAAAAGUCAUCAAAAACUCAUUAGAACGAUUCUUUUUGUCUUUAUAGUUGAGACAAUAACUCGAUCAAAGUCAAUUAGAUUAAAUUCAAUAAAAAUAAAGAAAAACAUAUAUGUCUCUCAAAACUCAACUCGUUAAAUCAACAUCAAUUAGAUCGUCGUCUUAAACGCAAAACAUAAAAAGUUGUUAAUUUAUAUUUUUAUUGCUAUUAAAAGUUUGAAGUAAUUUUUAGACACUUUUUACUUUUUACAGUAGGCCUUAAAAUCUGCCUUAAAACAUCACCUCUGACGUUAUAAAGGGGAAUGGGUGAUAAAAAAAAAAGUUCAAUGUUUGUUGAACUAAUUUAAUUUAAUGACCCAAUGCAUUAAAAUGCCCCUGACAUUUGUUAAUCACAUGAUCAUUAUUUCAGUUGGUGUCAUCUUCUAGCUGAUGAAUCAGUAGUGGGAUUCCACCAAAAAAUAAAAGAGUCAGAGAUACGAAAUGUUCAAAUGACAAAGAAACAUCGCCAUGUUUUUUGUCCUUUGACAAAAUAUGGUCACACAACAUAUUGAACUUUUAGAAAUUUUGCAUGUGUUGUUGUGGUCCAUGUUUUUCUUUUUGGUCAAAAUACCUUUCUCCUCUUCAUAUUGAAGUGAUCAUUAUGUAGUUUUAUUUUAAAUUGCAAGAAGGGGUCCUCCAAUUUAAUUACUGAAACUGUUUCAAUGCAAUUUGCAUCAUUUCAUGAAUAUGUCACACUGUUUGGGUAUUGGUACUUUCGUGUUGCCAGAAAGCUACCAACAGCAACUAUAGUAGUGCGCUCAGUUCUAAUUUAAAACUCGUGUCCUUUUGAUUUUAUUUUUAUUUUAUGAAUUAUAUAAAUAAUCCAAAAUGACAUUAUGGAAUGAAUUAUGCAUAAAUAAACGAUCUCUUUUUUACUUUUUUACUGAUCACACACAACGAACACGCACAAAUUAAUAAGAUUAUGUUUAAUGAAAAGAAACGUAGAAAAUAAUUAAGAAAUGGUAUGAAAUUAAGGACAUGUAUAAUUUAAUUAAUGGUAAACACUCUUCAAAUUCAAUUAGUUAGUUUAUGUAUUAUCUACUAUGAACUAAUUUAUCUUUUAUCGGCUAUAAGUUAAUCACUAUCAACUAAUCUAUAUGCCAUUCAGGGUUGGUUCAAUGUAAAAAUUAGUAAAACUAAGGUUUUAGAUUAUCGAAAAAUAAUUAAUUUUUUAUGUAUAUUUAAGUUUAAAAAACAUAAAAAUUUAAAUAUUACAACAAGUAAAAGGUUUUACAAUUAUAAAAUAAUAUAAUCGAUGUGACUUCUGUUAAGCGAUCAACUUACUUUAAAAAAUAAAUUGAGCAAUUCAUUGAGAUGAUUAUAAUAUUAAUCAUUGAUCGACUGAGAUGAAUCAAAUUCAUCAUUAACUUAUUUAAUUAAAAUAUUUGGCAUCUCAUAAAACAAAAAAUAUAUAAUUUAAAUAAAAUUAUACUAAAAUAUUGGUUAUAGUAUUAAAAAAAUAUCUAUUGUUUUUUUUAUCAAUAUUUUGCUUUAAAAUUUAUUUUAAAUCUCAAUAAGUAUUUGGCCGGUAUUUAUGUCAUCCGUCAUUUUUUUACCAAUAGAGAACCUAUAUAUCACUCCCGAAUUGUUUAUUUCGAUAAUUUUUAAAAUGUCUAGAUACGUUGUAUCUAUAUCAUGUUAUCAAAAUAAUAUUUAUAAAAUUUAUUAGUCUCCCAAAAUACUACUCUAAACAGAGUUAGUAAAAAUGACGUACUUUCCACAGGCCAAGAUAAUGAAACAAAAAUAAAGAACGUCAACAAAUACAGAAAAUAAGUACCAAAACAAACGGCUAAAGCUAACAAACGCCAAAGUCAUCAACUUUUUUUAUUCUUUUUAAAAUGAUUCCUACUUCAAUUCGAUGUUUCUUUAUGGCUUAUAAGUCAAUAGACUCAAAUUCUCAAUACAUCAUUUCAUCCAAUGAUAAGUUGCCUUUGUUUAUCCUUUUCAACGGAGAUGAUAGUGCCUCUAAAUAAAUUAAAUCAAAAUAAAAUUAGAAGAAUCUUUUUUAUUAAAAAAAUAUAAACAUACAAAAAAAGAAAAUUAAUUAAUUAGGUGAGCAAAUAAACGCUACUAGUUCUUAUGAAUUUCUCAUAGAGUAUAUUUGAAUGGAGUAAUUAAAAAUUUUAAGAAAAUUAUAAUUUGUUAUUUAAAUAAAUGAAUUGUUCUUUGAUAAUUAGGCUAUUUUUAUAAAUUUUAAAAAAUUAGACUACAAAUUAAAUUAAAUUUAAGUCAAAACUGAACUUUAGGAAAAGGGAGAGACUAUUUUGCAAAUUUUAGAGAUCAAUAGCAAAAAAUAAAAUAUAAACUAAUAUGAAAAUUUUGAAACAUAUAAAGUCAAAACUUUAAAUUUAAAAAAUUAUAAGGACCAUUUCAUGAUUCAUUUUUUAUAAAGUAAAGAAAAAAUUAAAAAAAUUUAAAUUUUAAAUGGUAUUUAAAAAUUUCUAAAUUUAACUUCAACAAAUAUUUUAUAAUAUUCUUUAUUUUAAAAAUUCUCUAAAUUUAUUAUUCAAAUAAAAUAAUUUAUAUUAAAAAAUUUAAAUUUAAAAAAGAAAAUACAUUUCGACUUUAGUUUUUAUCAUUAGAAUUACAAGAAGUAGAUGAUGCCGAUCGAUCGAGGCUUUGGUUUUUAUCCUCUUCUUCCUUUCUUAUGAUAUAGAAAUUAUUUUACAAAAUACAUUAGAGCCGUGCGUGCAAUAUCCCACAAUUAAAUAAAUUAAAUGAUGCAAAAAAUAAGUUUUUAGUAUUUGAAAGGAGCUAGUCAUCACAACGUAGUAAAUUAUUCCAUUUAAUAUAUGAUCAUAUUUCAAAUAAAAUUAUUUUUAAGUGCAGAAAUUUUGUGGAAAAGGUUUUUAGUUCAUGUAAAAUGACUAAAUUUAGUUUUGGUCUUAGUAUAUUAAUUUAGUUUUGUUCUUAGUAUAUUUUGUCAUUUUAUUAUUAUCCCUCUAAAAUAUGAUGAGUAAAUAGUAAAAUUGGUCUAUAAAAUUAAAAACGUCAAUUAAAUUAGUUUUUGAAUUUUAUAAAUUAAUAAAUAUAUUUAUAAAAUUAUAAGAUAUUAAUUAAAAUAGUCCAUAUUUAAAGUUUUAUCAUUAGAAAAUCUGAUGUGAUAUUUUAAUUGAAUAUACGAUUUGCAUGAGUUGAUUUCAUAUUAAUAUCAUCACAACAUAAAUUAAUUUUUUCUAUAAAAUUUAAAUAUUUCAUGAAUUAAUUUGUCAAUAAUCAGUUUAUAUAUAUAAUUACAAUUAUUCACAAAUUUGUCUGUGAGAUUAUAAAAUUUCAUUAACAUAUUUGUCUUCGAGAAAAUGACAUUAACGUAAAAUCAACAUUGAUAAACCAUAUAUUCAUUUAUAAUACUAUAUCAAAAUAUUUAAUAACAAAAAUUUAUUAAGAUUAUUUUGAUUAUUAUUUUAUAAUUUCAAAAAUAUAUUUAUCAAUUACAAAAUUUACAAAAUAAUUUGAUCCACAUUAAUUAAUUUAUCUAGUCAUUCAAAAUAUGACUGUUUAUUUUGGUCUACUAUCACUUAACGUUGAAUAACUUAUUUAUUUUUUCUUUUUGGUGCAAACAUUCAUUAUUUAUUUGUGUCUUACUAAAGCUCGUGUGGUUGUCCCAGAUGGCCCACAUUUGCAAAUGUGACGUUAGCAUGUAAGUACUCUCUAAAAAUUCGUUUGACAUAUUCCUUAUAUAUCUUUUUAAUUAAAAUUCUUCUUCUUAUCCUAUAUUAAAAUUUAUAUACAAAAAUAUUUUAUAUUGAAGACACUGAUGCAAUCAAGAUUUUUUUUUCAUUUAGGGAUUACAUCCUGUCGAGGCGAUCAUAUGUUGUCAUAUUUUUUAUAUUUUAACAAAUGAUUAAUUAUUAAUAUAAUAAAUAAAUAAAAUUAAAUGAAAAAAUAAUAUAUUAAAGUUAAUGCAGGUGGAUAGAUAUGUCAAAUAAAAUCAUAUGCUAUAAUAUUUUAAUAAUUUUCUUUUAUGUUGUACCCUAUUAAUUGUAAAAAAAUGAACAACUUCAUUUUAUUAUUUUUCCUCUUAUUUUGCAUCCUAAUAAAAUAAACAUAAUUAUAUUAAUAAAUCAAACAAAAUACAUGGAAUCAAAAACAAUAUAAGCCGACUCAAGACUUGUGUCCAAACAAAUUAAUGUAUUUUGUUUGAUUUGAUUAAUAUAAUAUAAUUUUUUUAUUUUUUUAUUAGGAUGUAAAAUAAGAGAAAUUUGUUAACAAAAUAUAAUAGAGUUGCCAAUUUGUUUGCUGCAAAAUAGGAGAAAUAUGUUAAAAUAUUAUAGCAUGUUAUUUUCUUUUGUACAUCUAUUCAACCGCAUUAAUAUUAAUUUUAAUUUAUUUUUUUUAAUGUAUUUUUGUUUGAUGUUAUUAAUUUAGUUUAUUUUAUUAUUAUUUAUUUAUUAAACUAACAUCCCUACAUUCUGACCUCUUAAAACUAAAAAAAUUUCAUAUGAUUGCAUACUUAUUGUGCAACUCUCAAGAAAAUGAGAUAUUUAUAAAUUUCAAUGUAGAGUAUAAUUGAGGAUUUUAAUUAUAAAUAAAAUAUAAUAAAAAAAUAUUAUUUGUUUAUGCUCUUAAAAUAAAACAUACUUAUUAGAAUAGGAAGAUAGUACUCCGAGGAUAACCUUAUUAUUAGAUUUCUCGCAGAGACGACUAAUGUGUGUUCUUCUUUUUACUUUUAUAAAUAAAAAUAAUAGAUUUUAUAUAUAAUUUUAAAUAAAGUUACUUGGUUAAAAAAAAGUACAAAAUUGUAAACAAGUAAUUUAAACAAAGAGUAAAAUUAGUAGAAUAAAUGUCACAUUAAAACUUAGUAACCUUUGCUAAUUUUUUAUUUACAAAAGUAACCUUUUGUAUAAAGAUAUAGACAUUUGAAAAAUUCAAUUAUUUAAUUAAAUUUUGUAUUCAAUUAUUGUUAGACAUUGACAUAAGGAAAUGAGUUAGUCGAAAGAACAUUUCCAAACUUGUAUAUGGUGACUGAAUGAAUGACUAAUUAAGUAUUAGUAGAAAGUUUAGUCCACGAUAAAGAAAACUUUGGCAUAUCUUUGUUGGCGCCUGCCUCAUCUGUCACCAUAAAGGUCAAACCCCACACUCUACUUAUAAUUUUUAGGUGAGAAUUGCUAUGGUACUCGUAAAAAAUAUAUCGAUAUUUUUAAUUUUUUUCUACAUGGGUAUCUAUAUAUUAUAUAUUUAAUUAAUUAAAUUAUUUAUAUUAAUAUAUUUAUUUUUUAAAAUUUAAUAAAAAAUAUUAUUUUUUUUAUUUUAAUUAAAAUUAAAAUUAUUAUCAAUUUCAGAAUUUCUUUUUCUUUUUCGAAACAAUUUUAUCUUUCUUAAUACACUAACGACAAAGAUAAACGAUGCAUAAUAAAAAAGAGAGGCGAUGAAAAACGAUAAAAAAAACUAGUGCAGUGGAUAGACGAAAUUCGAUUAUUUUUAUAUACAGUUUAAUAAAUAAAUAUUAAUUAUUUUAAAAAUAAAACAAAAAUAUAAAAUAUCCAAAAAUUCAAUGAUAUUAAAUUUAAAAUAUGAUCAAACUAUUAAAUAACAUGUCAUUAAAUUAUUCAUGAUUUAAUUUGAUAAUACUAAAAUAUAUCAAUUAUGAUUUAAUUCGACAAUACUAAAACAUAUCAAUUUUCAAUUGUAUCACAUAAAUCCCCUUUUUAACUUCCCCAACUUCUACUACUUCCCACCCAACAUUCCAACAUAUUUCAUCAUCAUAUUUAUUAUUAUUAUAUAUAUUAAUUCUUCAUUGUCAAUUUAUUGUUAUAUAUCGAAUAUACGCUCUUUAGUACUAGUCACCAAACUCCACUAAUUACAAAUAUCACAUUCAUUCUUCUUCUCUUUUGCUGGAUUUUCAAACAAAAAUACUGUAGCUUAAUUCAAUGAGUUCCAGAAGCAAAACUCCUUCCAAUUACAUAAUCAGUUCUGAAUCCUCAGAAGAAAGUAGUUGGACUAAGUACUUUGAGGAUUUCUUCAACAAUCAUAAUAAUAUUGAUAUUAAUCAUGAUGAUGAGAAAUGUUCUGUUUCUUUCUCUGAUUUUGAUGAUGGCUCAUCCUCUCUUAUCUCUGAUGCUGCUGCAAAAAAAUUAGCUGAUUGUGCCCAAGAUGGUAUGAGAUUGAGUUUCAAGAAGAGGAAGAAGAUUAAAACUAGAUUGGUUGAUGAUGAUUUGGAAGAUACUGCAAGUUCUCCUAUUAACAGCCCCAAGGUUUUUGUUUUUAUCCUGUUUUUUUUUCUUCUUCUUCUUUUCCUACAUUUGAGUUAUAUUUAUAAUUAUUCAUUUAAUUUUUAUUUAAUUAUUUUUAUUUUGGGCUUUAUAUAAGAACCAGAUAUACAAGGCAAAAGAGAAGGAAGAAAUUGACCAUCUUUAUCAGGUUAGAUUAAUUCAAUUUGCAUUGAUGAUUUUUUUUUUUUUUGGAGUGGUUGUCUUUUGGCAGCUUGAUCUAUUGUCGUUGUUCAACCACAUACAUUUAACAUCUAUUCCUCAAUUAUCGAUUACAAACAAACAAAUAUUUAACUUUAACUAUAUAUAUAUAUAUAUAUUAAAAAAUUUAACUAAGUAUAGUUAAUCUUCUUGAUUUCAUUAAAAUAUGUCAUUCUCAAAAGUAUUUGUUAACUAUAUGAGAAUAUAUUUUAGGAGAAUAAAAGAGUCGUUAAAAAAUAAAAUAUAUAUAUUAUAUAUUACAACUAUUUUAAAAACUGAAUAACGUUAUUAUAAGUAGUUAAAUUUAAGACUUUCAAAUAUAUUUUUUUGUUUUUUUGUUUUUUUGUUUUUUAUAUUCAAGAACAAAUUGAAUUUGUUAAAAGUGGUUUUUGAAUUUAAUAUAGUGUGUGUUAAAACAAAAGAUAAUUGAGUCUCUUAAACUUAUAAUCAUAAAUUUAAUUCUUGAUUAGUUUGCAUAAAGGAGCACAUGUUAUGAAAUAAGUCCCUUGAAUGAAUUUUCAUAUCUCGAAGGAUUGGUCUUCAAUUUUCGACCGAAAGAUACCUUUGACAACAAAUAUAUAAAAAAAAUAAAAUAAAAUAAAAGUGGUUUUUGGCUAAAACUAAGUGUGGUCCUUGUCUACGCUAUGAAUGGUUUUUUAGAUCCUCUUGAUUGUAUUUGUAAAAAGUAGUGUCGGGAGGCUUUGGUGAAUUGAUGAUUGAUUUCAUGUUCCUUUCUUGCUUUUCUCAUUUGAUGUUUAUGAUAUUGGGUAUUCUACUUCUAUUUGUAUAGAUGAUCAUCACUCUUUUUCAAGUACCUAUUGAGUUUGAGUAUCUCUUCUAUUAAAUAUUUGAAAAGGAAAAAAAAGUGAAUUAUGCACAAUAAAAAAAUUUAAGAAGCAUGAUAAUUUUAGUUUUUUUUUCUUAGUUUUCCUUUUCUAGUUACCUAUAUAUAGACUGAAAUAGUGUGGUUUCAUUUAAUUAAAUGGAGUUGGUAAAUUCACAAAUUGAAAUAUUUGUUUGAUAAAUUAAUAAAUUAAGGAUUAUUUUUAUAAAUCUAAUAGCUAUUUGUUAAUUUUUAUAUUUUUGAAAAGAUUAUUUUGUAAAAAAGAUUAUUUUAUUAUUUAUAAAUGUUAUACUAAUUUUUUUUAUUUUAUCGUAAAAAUAUUUAAUAUUCGCUAUUAUGAGUAAUAAAAAUUUCAAUAAAAUUAAAUUUUAUGUUACUGAUAUUUUGAUAAAUAAUAUUUAAUUAUUAUAAUGAUAUAAAUAAAUUAUUAUAUUUAAAAUAAAAUAUACCAGUAAAUAUCGAAUUGACUAAUGCAAUGUAUAGGUUCUCCUAUGUAAUUUAAUUCCGCGGUCAUGUUGAUUGUGAAGUGAUUUAAUUCAAUGCAUUUUUUUUUCUUUCAUCUAACAAGUGGUCAUUUUAAAUUGUUUUGUUUUUUUAGGAGAAAGGAAAUACCCUAGGAGAAAGAGACGAGAUGAAGGAAGUGGGGUUUAAUGAAAUGGACACUAGUAGGGACCAUACAGAACUGAAUAAAAAAGGGCUUUGCUUAGUUCCUUUGUCUAUGGUAAUGAACUAUUUAGGUUGAAUAUUAUAAGUUUCAUGACAUGUACAAGACCUUUAUGUAUGUAUUCCUUUCUCUUAAUUAGCGCACGCUUGCGCUGUGUAUAUACAUUAUGGGUUGAAUAAUUAUUUGUAUAUAGACUUUUAUAGAAUUUAUUUUUUUUAAGUUUUAUUGUGGUUACACUCAUAAACCUUUAAGUAGUGAAGUGAAAAUUUUUAGAUUAAAACUCGAUUCAUGUAUGUAUAAUAAUGUAGUCGUCUGAAACAUUUCAGAAGACUUGUUUUAAUUUAAAAAAUUAAGCUCAUAAUAAAAAAAGUAUUAAAAACUCAAAAUAUUAUUUUUUAUUUGAAUUAUAAAUAAUAUUAAAAAUUUGUUAAUAAUAUAAAUAAGGUAAAAAAAAAUUUUGCAAAUAACAUCGAAAAUCUGAUUUUUUUUUGCCCCUACUUUUUUGGUCAAAAAAGUAUGGGACCUUUUUUUCUUCCUAAAAUUAUAUUAUUAUGUUUCUGGAUUCUGAUUUUUUGUUUUGUUUUGAAUUCUUAGUAUUUUUUGAUUUUAUAGUACUCUUUAAAAAACUAGAUAUGUUGUUGUUAUGUAAGCACAUACCAAAUUUAGUGUUGCAUAUUAAUCUCCUUGUAACUACUAACUAAAAUAUACUUACUAACGAUGUUUGCUGUUGUUAAUUAAGUUGCACAACUAAAUUGUCACACGUGAUUUUAAAACGUUCACUCAUUUUUACUUCAAAUGCAAGAUUCAUAAUUGUCUUCUAUAACUUACUUAAAGAGAUCCCACAAUUCACCAUUUUUUGUUUUAAAAAUGUUUUAAUGUGAGAACACUAUUGAAUUUUUUUUCUAACAACUAAUACAAUAUAUGGCUCACCAUGGACUAAAAUUUAAAAAAUAGAUUGAUAAGUUCGAUCUUUACUUUUAAUAGAUUAACAUAAUAUAUAGUUUAUUGUAGAACAACACUUUAACAAAAAAAAGGAUACUUAAAAUGAUAAGAAAAAUUCAUUGCGCAUCCAGGGAAUCGAACCCUGGUCAGUACCGUGGGAGGGUACUAUGAUACCACUACACCAGAUGCGCUAGUUUAUUCUUUUAAACUUUAUCAUGAAUACAUAAUAAACCACCAGAUGCGCUAGUUUCCCUUUUUACACUUUAUCAUGAAUACAUAAUAAACUAUAUAGUUAAAUCUAAUCAAUGGAAAUGAACAAAUGCUUCGAGUGUGCUAUGUAUCUGAAAAAAACCCAUGGCAUCGUAAAUUGAUUUUUGUGUGUACAGCCAUACUAAGACCUAUACUUGUGAAUAUGUUGGGUGAUGAAUAGUUAAAAAAAAGUAAACUCUAGUAAAGAUGAGAUUGAGUAAAAGAAAAUGUUAUAGGUUAAAAAUUAAUUGUAAGAUAAAAAACUUGUAAUAGCUCUCGUUAAGCGAUUUGGAUAUGAGUAAAGAAGACUUGUAAAAAUAGUUUGUCUAUUACAUAAAGUGAUCUAUAUAAUCUACAAGUAUUAGCAAAAAAAGUUAAUUAUAUAGAUGCAUCUUUUUGUUGUACUUCGUUUUGAUUUAUAAUAAAUUUUAAAAAAACUAAUAUAAUCAUUUUAAAAAAAUGAAACAUCCAAUAAUGCUUGGAUGAGAUAUUAAUCUUCUAAUUAUUUCAUUAAUCUCGAAUUUAAAUUUAGCAUUUGAAUAUAAAAAAAUAUAUAUAUAUUUAUAUAAUUACAUGAUCUCAACUGUUUAAUCUUAAUCAAAUCAUUCACUAUUAUUUUAAUUUUAAAAAUGGAUUCUAAAUCACAAAUUCAGUGAGUAGUAUCUAGGGAUCAAAUCAAAUAUAUCUAUAACAACAUGAACGUAUAACUUUUAACAAUUCAUUUAAUGGUUCGAGAAAUUAGACAAUAGGAUAAACUAUAAACAAACACAAACAAAACAUAAGAAAAAAACUAAAAAUAUUUUAAUAUUUGACAAACGGACGCAAUCCAAUAAUUUAUUAAUAUUUUAAUCAAAGCAAAAAAUAAAUUAUUAAUAUUAACAAUAAAUAUAAAUAAAUUAAGUACGUUAGUGCAUACGGAAAGAGAAAGCAUGAGAUGAGUGAGAGCUGAAUAAUGCAUACUCACGAAAACGCUAACAGUUGAAGAAAAGCUCUUUCUUCUCAUUCGAUCUAUCAAUCACCGUUACAUUCACGUUCACAUUAUUUCACCACUCAAAUCUCAAUCUUCCUUGAGAUUUGAGCUUUCUUAUUCUCUCUCUCAUUUUCAUUUUCUCGUGAAAUUGAUAUCACUUUCUCGCAGCCAUGAUUACUGCAAGCAGACUCAAAUCCGUCGAUUUUUACAGGUCAUAAUCAAAUCUCACUCUCUUCAUCAUCAGCAUUAUCACUUUCUUCCGCAUUUGUGCAUUUUGGCGUUUAUCGAUCAUUUUAUUCGUUCUUUCUAUCUACGUGAAAAAUGCACCGAGUCGCGUAUUCUUAUGUGAAUCUUCAGUUUCGAUGCUGUUAAUUUGAUCAUAAACGUAUUUUUACAAAUUGCAUUUCGUGCGUCGCUGGUUAUUCUUAACCCUAUACAUUGUCUUGGUAGCAUUUGCAUGUUUCGAUGUGCCUGUAAUUUAUUUUGUUUUGAUCUUUGCUUUUGGCUUAAAGGUUUUUGUAUUUAUCGUUAAGCCCCGUGGAUAAUGAUUAACGCUGAGGACAAAAAUAUUUGUAUACGAAGGAUUUGAUAUUUAUUUACUGACACUAUAAACUCAUUUUAUACGAUCGGUAAACAUGUGCUACCAUUUAUUUAAUAAUCUAUUAAUUUUAUUUAAUGGAAGUCGAAUGACUUAGUAUAAUAAUGUGACAUUUCCUUAUAUAUUGAAAGUGUCCAAAUUUUUUUACUUGGUUUUAAAUCGUGAACUGUGAUUAAGUUGCAAACUUUUACAUUACGUGCAAAUGCCUCGAUGCGGCUUAAAUUGCAAUUGCAAUGUCGUUAGAGAGACUUCAAAAUCCGUAAUAUUGCAGCUGCAAUUACGUUUACAGACUGCAAUUGAAAAUCAUAAUUUGCAGCUGAUCAAAUUUAGAAUUGUCAAAGGAAUGGUGGUAUCAUAGUUCUUAAUUGUGGUUGCGGUUUCGCUGCGAAUUUUUAUGUGCAGAAAAAUUCGUACAAAUGUGGUCACAAUUGUUAUUGACAUUUUUUUGCGUAGACCUCUAAAAUCUUUAUAUUGCAGCCACAAUUUAGAUAAAUGGGAGGUAUAUGUGGUCUGCGCUCAGUAUUCGGUAGAAGCAAUUUAAAUUUCAAUAUUUAAUAGGGAAUACGCCAUGUCAUUUUUACUUUUUUCUAUUUUUAAAUUCAGCUGGAUUCUGGGAAAAUAUAGAUUAAAAACAGAGAAGAUGUUUGAGACCGCAAGGAGGAUAUGCCUAGUUAAAAUGAAAGAUAUGUGUAAGGACUCAAAUGUAUAAUAUCUCAUUCUUUGGGGGAGAAUGGAAUAAGGCAAUAAGUCACCCAAGCAAAUUUAAUAAAUAAAGGUGGAUUUGGGAAUGCGAAUGUGAUAUUAUCUUUUUUAUGGAUGGAUAAGUCUCUAACAGGGUUAUAUCUUAUGUCAACAGAAAAAUCCCGAGAGAUUUAACGGAGGCAUCAUUAUCUGGAGCAGGGUUAUCCAUAAUGGCAGCUCUCUUCAUGGUGUUUUUAUUUGGAAUGGUCAGAAGCUUUUACCACUUCUGUUUUACUCCUAUGUUUAUGCCAUUUCAACCCUUCACAUAUCAUGUAUGCAUGUGCCGUGGGUUGAUAUAUACUGUUUAUGCCUCAAUUUAGUUUUGUCAACGUUUAUUGCAUAAUUAGUUGUCAAGUAUCAUAUAUGUCACGCAAACUUGUUGCAGGAACUUAAUGAAUAUUUAUCUGUCAGCACCUCUACAUCUGUGAUUAUUGACAAGAGUUCUGAUGGGGACUUUUUACGUAUAGAUUUCAAUGUCAGGUAAAAGUCUAAAUAGGUAGUUUCGAUCUCUAUUUGAAUAUGAAUAGGAUGUUUCUCUAAUGAUAUGUGUGUGAGAGAGGGUUUUGGAGAGAAAGGAAAGCAUGGAAUAACAGGAUAAGUAUUUAAUUUCAAGUAAAUACUCUAUAAUUUUUUAGUUUUUAGAAUGAAACCUAAUAUCUUAAUCCCUUGUCCAUUUUUAUAAAUACUUUGUACCCCUCUCUCUUAGUUUAGAAAUAAAAAUCUUACCCUUCAUUUCUUUUCCCUCCAAAACCCUCCACCAGUACACACCCUAAGGCGCCUGCAUGUGGUUGUAUAUACAAGUUAUUUGUGGUAUCAUGUUCUCUUAAAAUGAGCUUGGCAUAGUACAAAGAACUUGGGCUAUGUAAUAUUUGUGAGUUAUGGCUGUUAUUGUGAAUGCAUAACUCUAUUAGAUAAAUUAUAAGGAGUACCUGCUUAAGUGUGAUAAGUUGUUCACUGAAAUCUUGGUUAACAUGUUGACGAAAAUGGUUAUAAGACUUCUUAUUUGACAGAAAUUAUUGUCUUCAGGAAAGUGGUUAAAACUUAAAACUUAACUUUUCAGUAUUAAUGAUGUUAAUAUAAGUAUCUUCUUUCUUCCUUUCAGGGUUGUUUCAACUGGGGGUGGAUAGGAUGUUAAAACACUGAAAAACCUGAUUUUUAUUUUAUGUAUUGUGAUGAUUUAUGAAGUUGACAUAAAAUCCAUUCCAGGAUUGCCAAUGCGAUAUUUGUUAUUUCUCAUUUUUCAUAAUUAUUUUCUAAGAGUUUCAAUUCCUUGAUCAAUUCAUGUAGAUACUGUAGCUAGAUUUAGUAUUUGACUAUGUUCAAUCAACUUUUGGCUAUUUAUAAGCUCUCAGUUGUUUCUUGCUGAUGGCUUCUACUUAUCUUGUAGUUUUCCUGCACUCUCAUGUGAGUUUGCUUCGGUUGAUGUGAGCGAUGUGCUGGGAACAGUAAGUUUCAAUUAUUCCAUUUGUACCAUCUGAUCAUCUCUAGCAAUAUAUAUAUUUGUACUUUUGCUUAAGAAAUUUUGCUCACUUAGGUUUUUUAAAUUGUUGAAUGAGUCUUUUCGUCCAUGCAUUGACUGUAAUGCAGGUAACCACUAGAAAGUGCUGUUUAUUGGUUCUCCUGGAAAUUUAUAUUUUGUUUCCUUAAGCUACCUACUUCUAGUCUUGGGAACAGUUAUUCAUUAAUGGACUUUAAAAGUUCUGUACACAUCCUUGAUAUAUUUUGCCUGUGAAGUGUGAGGCCAAGGCAUUGAAAUAUUCGAAGUAUUUGAUAUGGAUUCUGUGCUUCAUUCAUGCACUAUUCUUUAUAUUCAAAAUGACAAAAUCUUCAUUUCCUCAUGCAUUUUAUGAUUUUGUAACCUAUUUUACCUCUUAAUUUGUGACUUCUUGAUUUCAGAACAGGCUGAAUCUUACAAAAACAGUUCGCAAGUUUUCUAUUGAUUCAGAUUUAAGACCCACUGGGUCUGAAUUUCAUUCAGGCCCAGCUACCAACGUCAUUAAGCAUGAUGAUAAAGUGGAUGAAGAAUCCCUUGAAGGUGCUUUUGUAUUCACAUCAGACAAUUUCGAUAAAUAUGCUCAUCAGUAAGUGGGCCAAUCAUGUAGUUCAUUUCAUUCAUUUGAUUUUUAUGAGUUUCAGUUGUGAGAGAGUUGAAGAGUUCUUUUCCCUUCUUUUCUCAAAUUGCACUAUAGUUAAACUUCAUUACACUGUUUUGAAUGAUCUUUUGGCAGAUUUCCAAUUACUGCUGUAAAUUUUUAUGCUCCUUGGUGUUACUGGAGUCAACGCUUGGUAAUUAUUUCAUCUUCAUUUCUCUCUUUCUCCCCACUUUAAUAAAUAACGUUGCUGAUAUCCUUACUGUUGUCCAGUUACAUUUACUUAUCUUUUUCUACUAUCAAUAAUUUCUUAUUCCUUUUGUGCGUUUUAGGUAAUGAAUUUUAAUGAGAUAAUGUAGGAUUUUAAUGACUGAAAGCCAAAUAAUUUGUUUAGAUAUAUACAGAAAGAAAUUUUGACAUUACUUGAUAACUUUAUUGUAUAUUUUUUAAUAGAAAAAGUGAAUUUGAAAGAUAAUAGAAACAAAAGUUAUAUGAUGAAAUCGGUGUAUUACACAUCAGAGCUCUGUUAUAUAUUUUAUAUACACACUGAGUUACAAUAAAUACAAAGAUUACCAUUACCUUACUUACCAUAUAGAUCAUAUGCUCCAAGGUUGUUUCAAAUGUAGCUUGUACAAGGACCCCACAAUUACUUACUGACAAUAUUUAUCAAUUGAUUAUUUGAACUAAUAAAGCUAGUGGUGGUGUCUCCAAAUAAAAUCAAUUUUUUCUCUAAUGAAAUGGCGUUUGUCUCAAUGAAUGUGUUUGGUACUCCCGUGAAAUACUGGGUUUGUGGCAAUUUGCAGGGCAACUUGAUUAUCACAGAGUGUUAUCCAUGUAACCUCUCCAAAACUAUUCUCGUUAAGUAACUAGUUGAGCCAAAUGAGCACACACAAGUAGCCGAUGUCAUGACCCUUAGAUUCAUAAUUUGUUUCUGCACAUCACCUUGCAACAAUAUCACUUUUAUUUCUUUUUAGAGUGAUAAGGUUUCUUUUCUUCCAAUGAAUAUACAAUACCUGGAAGUAGAUUUCCUAUCAAUAGGAGAGCUUGCCCAUUCAACAUCUAAAUAUUCCAUAACAUGAGUAUCCUUAUCUUCAUAUAGACCUUUUCCUAGAGUUGAUUUAAUUGAAUAUACUUCAAGAUGUGAAUUAUGAUAUCCCGAUGUUCUUCACAAAGCGAGUUAAGAAAUAGACUUAUCGAGGUAACAACAAAGGAGAUAUCUUAGUGAGUGACAAUGAGAUAAUUUUGUUUAACUAAUUUUUUUUGUAUCUCUAGAUCUAAAACUGGGCUCCCCUGAUUUGCUAGAAUCGUGGCAUAAAUGUUUAGCAUUCAUCAAACCUUAUUUAUGUAUUACUCUUAUAUCUUUCCUUUCACUCUCUUAUGUAUAAUGACUGAAGGUGGUUAUUUGUAUAUCACUUUUAUCUCUUUCCUUUCAGAGACCUUCAUGGGAGAAGGCGGCUAAAAUAAUGAGAGAGAGGUACUCUUCAUUUUGCAAUGUUUUUCUCACUUCCUAGAAACCACGCUUUGGAAAUUCUACCCUUUCAUCUCUUUAACUUGACAUCACUUUACUAAUUCAGUGCCUUGUAUGUACAAUUGCAUUUUUAUUUAGAUAUGAUCCGGAAAUGGAUGGUCGAUUACUUAUGGGGAAGGUAGAUUGCACUCAAGAAGGAGACUUGUGCCGGAGGUGCCUAUUUUUCUUAUAGUUUUUGUAAAAAUAACAAGAAGUUCAUGAUCAUUCUUCAUUAUAACCAUAGCAAAAUUUGUAAUUGUAGUAUGCCAAAUUCUCAGUUGUUAAAUCUUUCUCCAUUAACUUUUCAAUCCACCUGCAGAGAGGUUGAUUUUGAUGAAAUUUAGUUUAUAUAUUCUCAGUUUAUUUUCAUUACUCGUACAUUCCUUUUGAUUUUCAAGCAAGGCAAUGUGAUUUAAUCUCAACUCUUUUUAUUCCUCCAAAAUAAUUCCCUUUUCCAUCACCUCAUACAAACAGAGUGCUGACACCAAAAAUUAGGAAAGACAUAAAUUGAAACAGCUGACAUUUUCAUUGUUUCUAGAAUUGUAGACAAUUGUUCACUUUAAAAAUCUCUUACCUCCUUAUUAACAAAAGUAAAAUGAACACAAAUUUUAAGAAAUAAAAACAGAAAAUGUUUUCACAAAGUAAAUGCCCCUAUGCUUUGUAACAAGUAGAUUUCAUGAUAUAGGUUCAUUGAUUUUCUUAGCUUACUGUGAAGAUGGAGAUUAGCUUUAAUCGUAAGUUGAGCAUUAUUUGAAGUGCAUGUUCUUCAUUGUAAUUUGAUAUUUUCUUUUUAUCACUUGCUAAUUUUUCUAUUUUUUUCUUAUCAUUUACCAUAUGUGCUUAUUGCACUAUUUUUUUGUAUCUCAUUACCAAUAUCCAGGCAUCACAUACAGGGGUAUCCAUCGAUUCGUAUCUUUCGUAGAGGAAGUGAUGUCAGGUAACAAUGAAAAAUAUUUUUUAUGUGGGAAAGAAUCAAUACCUACUCACCUGCUUGUGCUUUUUUGGAUAUUAUGUACUUUUUUAUUUGCUUAAAUAUAUUACAUUUUCCCACAAGAAUGAUAUAAGUUCUUUUUUCCUUUCAAAAAAAUUAUGGGAAUGGUCAUCAAAAUCGUGUCUAGAAUGGGAGUAGUGAUCAAAGCCCAAAGGUUGUGGCAGAGACAGUCGGAGGAUGUAAGGAUACAAGUGCUAUAGGUAGAUCAGCUUAAUAUUGAACCAAAUAUAUGGGAUGUGAAUUACUCUAACCUCUGUAGUCGUAUCGAAAGAUGACUUUGGGCUGUUUUAUUACUCCUCCUCUACGAACUUGCCGAUGAAUCAAUUUGAUAGGCUAAAUCAAUUCUAUUUCAAUAUGUGGUUCUCCCUUGUAAUUAUUAGUAUAAAUUCAUAUUUUGGUAAAACCUAUGUGAUUAGUAUCUGGAUAGUUUUUGUAUAUGUUCCAUCCUGAAUAUUGUAUCACCUGUGAUUGGGUUUCUAGAGUUUUGGAUUUUUGAAUAUAUCUAGUUUUUUUAAUCUUUAUCCUAUUUCAGAAAUGACCAUGGAAAUCAUGAUCACGAGUCCUAUUAUGGAGAUCGUGAUACAGAUAGCCUUGUUAAGGUACAAAUUAAUUUUAAUUUAAAUUAGUAUGAUUUGAAUCAACUUUACUUUGAAGUGUUUAUGCCUUUAAAUGUAAUUGAACAUCACUAUUUAUCAUUAGUGUGCAACUUACGUGAUAUGAAAUGUCUCCACUGCAGACAAUGGAGAAUUUAGUGGCGUCUCUCCCUGCAGAGGCUCAGAAGCUAGCUUUGGAUGAUAAAUCAAAUGUUACAGAGAAUGCUAAAAGACCAGCACCAUCAGCUGGGGGUUGUAGAAUUGAAGGAUAUGUACGUGUCAAGAAGGUAAACACCAAUAGGCAUAAAAGUAGCCUUCUAGCGUAAUGUGGAAAAACUUCCUAAUUGUCAAAUGUGAGGAUGAACCAAGAUUCUUUACAUUGCUCUUGUUUUUAAAAUGUCUUUUGAAUUUUAAUAGAAGCAUCAGUUAUCAAUAAUAUAACAGCAGAAGUAAAUGAAAUAAGGCAUAUGACCUCCUAUUCUUUUUCUUUCUUUCUGUAUUUUAAAUAUUAUGCUGAAAUGUAAGCUAUUUUGCACUCUGCAGGUUCCUGGAAACUUGGUGGUCUCAGCUAGAUCUGAUGCCCAUUCCUUUGAUGCUUCUCAAAUGAACAUGUCACAUGUCAUACACCAUUUAUCUUUUGGAAGGAUGGUGUCACCUCAGGUUAUGAGUGAUGUCCAGCGCUUGAUACCUUAUGUUGGUAGCAGCCAUGACAGGCUGAAUGGUCUGUCAUUCAUCAACACAGAUGAUUUAGGAGCAAAUAUUACUGUAAGUUAACAUUUUGCAUAAAAUUUCCUAAUUUAGUAACUUUUUUUAUUUGAGCUUUUGAAGUUUUAUGGUUGGCAUCAGGAAGAUUUAUUGUUAAUGGCAGAUUGUAUUGACCGGCAUCUGCAAGAGCCAGAUGCAAUAGAUAGCAUCAAUAUACAUGGCCAGAGAUGCUUUAUUUAUUUUUGGAGGUUAUAAUUGUCCUCUAAAUCUUUCUUUGAAAUUGAUACCACAUGCCACUCCAACACCUUUGUAGGACAAGAUUGGCCCUUCCCCCUUAUCCUCUAGUGUUAAUUCAUUUGGAAAAUAAUUUUGAUACAUUAGAGUCCCUUCAACAGUAACAAUCUUAGGAACUAAAAGCUUUGCUCCCUAUGCAUGUGGAAGUUACAUCAUUAAAAGACCUCCCUUAUUCUUCAGGCUUCAAUACUCUUAAUCUUUAGUUGCACUAUUUAAAAUAUGCAAGCUUGUUGAACUAAAUAUGUUUGUGUUGCACUCUUUAGGUGUUAAUGUCCUCUGAGAUGAUCAGGGACGGAGCCAGACUUUUGAGUCUAGAGGGCCCAAAUAAUAUGUAUAAAUACUUUAAUUUAUGAGAAAAGUGCAAACUUAAAUUAUUUCAUAUAAAUUAAUUUAAAUUUGGUAUUAAUAAUAUCCUAAAUAAAUAUUCUUUAUUUAAUAUAUUAUGAUUUUUUUUUAGUAACAUAAUAUGAAAUAUUGAAAAAAAAUAAAUUAUAUAUUAAUAUUAUAUGAGUGCAAGGAAAAUUAAGGAAAAGAGCACAGGUGCUUUCAAAAAAAAAAACAUGGGCUCCAUACUUGAAUUUAACAAUUAAAAUUAAAAUGGAUUAUAUGGUAUUUUUGUUGCUUGUUUCAUAAAACUUUGUGUGGAUUAAACAUAAAAUAUAUAUAAUAAAACAUAUAUAAAUUUUAAAAGACAAUAAGCAGAGCCCCUGGAGGUCGUUCAGCCCCUGGAGAUAACACAACUUCUCACUAACUAAUACAAUCUCUGUUAUCAUUGCAUGGCUUUGAUCAUGGUUAAUGUCUUUUAUGUAUGGAUGCUGAUAACUACAGAAAGAUGAGCAUCUCCAAUGCUUGCAGAUUUAUUGCUGUCAAAGUAUUGCACAUUAAUCUGACUUCUGUGUGUGCAGAUGGAGCAUUACCUUCAGAUAGUUAAAACCGAAGUGAUUACCAGAAAAGAUUAUAAAUUAGUUGAGGAGUACGAGUACACAGCGCACAGCAGUGUGUCACACAGUUUACACAUUCCUGUUGCUAAGUUCCAUCUUGAACUCUCCCCUAUGCAGGUAUGCAUAUUGGAGAUUAUCAGCUUCAAUGAGUUUCUACUUUCUUUUUAAUUUCUUGUUAAUUGACUCUGUGUUGUGAGCAGGUCUUGAUAACAGAAAACCAGAAGUCUUUUUCGCAUUUUAUUACAAAUGUCUGUGCUAUUAUUGGGGGUGUUUUCACGGUAUGUAUCUCAGAUACUGUGGCUCUAUAUACUUGUAUUGUUCACUAAUUGUUUUGUUGAUUAGUCUUCCCUAUGGUUUCAGGUAGCUGGAAUUACGGAAUCCAUUUUGCACAAUACUAUUAGGCUAAUGAAAAAAGUUGAGCUGGGCAAAAAUUUUUGAUAGAUAGUUGCAGAUUUUUUCUAGGGUAGGGCUUUUGAUUAACUAUACCUACUUCAAUGAGGAGGUCUUUCGGCAGAUUUUUAUCUAUAGAUACACUAUAUAUAAAGCAUAAAAAUGUAGUGUUUUUCUUUUCUGACAAGAAAGUGUUUUUCUUUUCAUUCGGUUUAAUGAUUAUGAAAUGGAUUGCGAGCACCACUAAAUUUUUGUUCUUGGUAGCAUUUUGGUAAAUAGAGUAAUUAAGAGCUUAUACAAUAAUCACAUUUUAUGUGACAUUUUAUAUCAUAAAUACUUACAUUCAAUAAUAGGCUGUUGGUGUUUGGAUAUACACGUUGAAAAUCAACUUCUUUUUUGCGUGUGAAAAUAGAUUUUGGGUGUAUUGGAAAAGGAAGAUUUUGGGUGUAUUGGAAAAGGAAAAACUUUAUAUAAGUUAUCAUAAGAAGUUUACCAUAACUUAAAAAACAAUUUAUAGGUAUAACUUAUAAGCUAUAUUUAAAAGAAUGAUAUAGUAUAAAUUAAUUAGUCAUAUUUUGAUAGAUAAACAUUUACUUUAAAAAUUUAAUUUGUAUCUAUGGUCAGUUAUAUCAGCUGUGGUUUUUUUCUGACUUGAUUAUUACUUUUCUACUGCUUUUAGCAUAACCAUUUUUUUAAAAACUAUGAUAAAGAAGGAAAAUAAACAAAUAACAUCUGGCAUAUUCACCCACUCUACCAUUCCUGCAUAAAAUGGCUUUAUUUAUUUCAUGUUCAACUUAUUGAGUAUUCUUACACCAUCAGGUAAGAAGCACACAAAAGGGUACAUAACUAUAUAUUCCCAGCUUAUUUCUCAGUUGUCACAACCAAAUAUCAGACAGUGCCUCAACUUUAGACCAAAGUCCCAACUCAAUAGUAUAGAAAUCCAUGAGAAGUAAAAAACUAAAAAGAAUUUAAAGAAAAAAUAUAUAUAAAUUAUACUCAACCACUCAUACUUUUUACUUGGAAACAACCAGAGCUGAAACCAUGAGUGCUCCAACAGAACCAACAAAGCUGACCAAGAUUGAAGAAGCAGCAUUAGGAGGAGGAGGUUCUGUAACAGGAGCUGGAGUUGGAGUUGGAUUUGUUACCUCAGUCACUGGUGGUGGAGAUGAACCCUCUAUCUGAGGAGGUGGUGGGGAUGAACCUUCUAGCUGAGAAGGUGGUAGUGAAGGAGCUAAUGCAUCUGAUGAAUGUGAAGAUAAAGGAGAAGGAGAAGGAGAAACAAAAACAGAAACAGAAGGAGAAGGAGAAGGAGAAGGUGAAGUUGUUGUUUGGUUGGUGUUUGAGUUUCUGUUGGUUCUGUCAGAAAGCACAAUCACCAAUAGCUUCUCAUUCUUGAGACAGCUAUUUUUGUUUCCACUAAUGAAGAAAUGAGGCCCUGAUUGACUGAGUUUUAUUACUGUGUGGCCAUCAGAGAAUUUAUCAGAAGAUGCAUCAGUGUUGCAACUAUCAUAGUCUUGUUGGCUAUUUACUUGAAUUACUGAGUCUUGACCUGAAUGGUAAUUGAACACUGCAAUCGGCAUAUGUGUAAAUUGAAAUAUUAGUGCACAAUUCUUUUAUAUCAACAAAUGAUUUUUUUUUUCUUUUCAUGAAUGAUUGUAUCAUUUUAUUUACUAAAGAUAGUAGUAACACCACUAUAUAUGGUUCUAACAAAUAAUUAAACUAUAUAAAUUCAAGUAAAACUAAUAGUUUUAAAACUAGUUAAAAAUGUUCCAUUUUUCCCCUGCCUUUGAUAAAAACAAUGAAAUAAAAUGUAGGAUAACUCACCUAGGGAGUCUCCUACUUGAAAUCUGCUCUUUUCUGCCCAUUGAUUAUAAGGGUUGCCAUUAGGGUCACUUGGAACACUCCAUCCCUUUUGUCCUCCAACUACAAAUUCAUAGGCAUCACCUUUGUGCAUCAACACCAAGAGACAUAACAAGACAAAAGCAUGAACUACUUCAUUAGACCUUAAAAUAAUACUAGCCAUUGGAAAAGGAUCAAUGAGGAAAGGACUAUUGCAACCAAAAUGCUGGAAAUGUUAGAAGAUAGAGUGAUGCAAUAAGUUGGACCAUCAUUAGGGGUUUUUGUAGGUAUCAGAUGCAUGCAAACUUUACAAACUGUGGCAGUGAAGCUUUUGAAACUUUUUGUUAUUCUCUCAUAUAUUUGGUUUACUUUGAUUCUGGUGCAAAGCAUAAGCUGUCUUUCAUUGUUAAGAGUUUGAGUCUAUUUGAAUCUUUCACUUUUAUAUAAAAGGGUUUGGUGCAUAAGUUUUAUGCUUUGCUUACAGAAAUCUUUUUUCAAAAAAUAUAAUAUAAUGUAAUAUAAAUUAGAGCUUAGAUUAUCUCAUCAAUAAUUUCAAUUUCAAAAUAUGUUACUAGCUAAGAUCAACAUGACCUUCUACUAAUAAAAGAUAUAUCAUAGCUAGGAAGACUGCAGUGUUAGAGAUGCUUUUGCAGCUUAUAUACUCAAAGACUCUGCAACAAAAUUUAGAAAAAUAGUUGGAGUAAUAAUUUUGUCACAAAUGUGUGAUAGUGGUAUAUAUUUACUUCUAUAAUUAUUGAUAUUAAAAAAAAUUAUAUAUCUCAAUAAUAAAUUAAAUAGCGACAUUUCUAUAAAAAAAAUAAUUAAUCCACGUGGAAUUUUGAAAAUAGUUUUAUAGUAAGGGAAGAAAGUGAAAAAAUACCUUAUAAUUAGGAAUGAAAUGAGUAAUAGGAAUAUAACCUAUGAUUUGGAUUUGGUAUAGGAACCAAGCUACACAAAUUUUAAUGUCAAGCGUCCUAUAUCAAAUUAAUGGUCGGAAUCAUUUUUAAAAUGAUUGUUAUUGUGUAAAUCUGAAUUACCAAUAUCUCAUAAACAACUAAGAUUAAGCGUUCAUAUAAUUUGAUGUCUAUAUUAAAAUUUGUGUGGAUCCCAUACAAAAUAUUUGUCGCCCCCCUAUUUCUCUUGUCAAUCAAAUAGACUCAUUUAUCCUCUUUUCAAUUUCUCUCUUCAACAUUUCUUGCAUACCCAAACAUUCUACAAUAGUCUGUUUUUGUGACUUAGCUAUGUAGGUGGUAGAUUGACACUGCUGCAAUAUAUUUUCUAUGGUUUGUUGGCGGAAGACAAAAUAUAGACUUCAUAUUUUGUAUCAAUUCAGUAUUUAAUAAACUAAUAAAAUAUAAUAAGUUAAUAAUAAAUAUUUUCGUAUUUUGUAUCUUUAAUUAUAAAUUUUAUUUCAAAUAUAAGUAGAGUUUAAAAUCAGUAAGAUAUGAUAAUAACAACCAUUUACUUUUUUACUCUUAUAUAAUAUAUAAAAUUUAGAAAAUAAAAGAAUUUGAUAUUAAAUUUUUAAAAAAAUAUUAAUAAUUGAUUUUAAAAAAUAUAUGUAUGAUUUUAUCACAAGGGUAGUUUUUCAUUUUAUAUAAUUUAGUAAAUUAAUAUUUAAAUUUUUAAAAUUAAAAAAAAAUUAAAUAAAUAUAAUUUUUUUACCAAGGUAGUUUUUUCAAUUACAUAGUAUAUAUAAUUUACAUCCACUUCUUUUUAUAAAGGUGUAAAUUAACAACCUACACCUUUUCAUUUUGACAACAAAAAAUAAAUCAAUUCUUGAAGGAUAGUUUUGUAAGUUUAAUUUUGUUUAUUAAUGUUUAAAAGAGGCUAAGGUUGUUAAUCUACAUCUAGGUGCAAAUUAACAACACACACAUAUUUUUAUUUGAACAAAGAAAAUCUUAUUUACUAUUUUAAAUAAGUAAAAUUAAAGGAUAAUUUUUUAUAAAUUUUAUUUUACAUGAUAAGAAAAGAAACUAAAUUAAAAGAUAUAUAAAUUACAUUUUUACCUCUCGUUGAUAUAAUUUUCUAAACAGAUAGUUGGAUUUUUUUGUCUAAAAUAAAAAAGAGCAUAUUGCUAUUUUACGUCGACUAAAAAAUAAGUUCGCAUAAAUUAGCAAAAUAUAUAUCAUUUGUUUGUUUAACUUAUUUAAUAAAUGAAAUAGAAUUAUUUUAUUAUUUAUAAUUCUUUUUUAAAUUUUAAAUUAUUUAUUUAAUAUUAUCUGAUGAAUUUAAGAAAAAAGUAUUUUAUUACUUUUUUAACUCUUUUAUUAUAUUUUAUUAAUUUAUAAUAUUUAAAUAUGUAAUGAUAAUUUGCAUCACACUGCUUAUAAAUUGUGUUAUUAAUGAUAAAAUUGAGAAUUUUAGGGAAUUUAAAAUGGUAAGAAAUUCAAUAGCUUCAAUUAAACUUAUUCACUUUUUUUGUCUAGAUUGGCAAGUUCAAAAAUAAUUAGAGUUGCAUAAUAUAUUUUGUCUUCUCAAACUAACUAAUAAAAAUGCAGGUUAUGAUAAUUGCUUCAAUGGUUAACCAUUUUAAAGAAAAAUAGGGAAAAGAAAAAGUAUUUUAGUUAAAAUGAUACUACUAAUCAAUUUAUUCCGUUUUUAAGAGAAUUUGAAAUAUAUUCUGUGAUUUGUGGUACUUCAUCUUAUAAGUCAUCCUAAAGAAAGAUGGGCCUGUUCUUUUUUAAAGCAUGUUUAAUAUAUACCGUGUUUGAUUUAAAUAGGGAGAGAAGAAUGAAGAAACAUGAAAAGAUUUUUAAUUAAAUAAUAGCUUAAUAAUUAAUGUCUUGCACGAGAUUUAUAUAUUUCUAUAUGUUUAUUUUAUUAGAAAAUUAUAUAUAUAUAUAUAUAUAUAUAUAUAAAAAUUAAAAUAUUUUUAUGUCUAGAAUUUCAGUGUAUUUAAUAUUGAUUCUUACAAAGGAGGGCAGAAGGCCCAAAGAACAAAAAAAAAAAAUUAAGGAAUUAAUGUACAUUUUUAAGUAUACAAACUCUGUAAAAUAUUAUUAAAUCAGAGUUGCAUAAACUCGCUAGGAGGGAACUUCAAAACAACAAUGUUCUAAGAAAUAAAUAAGUUAAGGUUAAACCUAAUUAGCAAGGGCAUCUAUUGCUUUUGCGUCAAGUGUGAGUAAAUUGAAUGUGUUAAUUUUCUAAAGAAAUGUUUGGAUAUGUCGAAUCACAUGAGGGGCAUGCCCUUUGAAAUUACAAUUGAUUGUGAUCAUCUUAAUAAACACCUUGAGUUGUUUUCCACAUUCAGGUGAGAUGAACCCUCUUCAUGAUAAGUCUCAGAUACAUACUCUACAAUUCAGCAUGCAAGAUAUGAUCACAAGCUUCCAUCUUUUGUCUAAAACCCUAAUCCAUUUAUCAUCUGAUCUAAGUUAUAAAGAAAACCGCUGACACGUCCGUGUCUCUCUCUUUUUUUUUAAAAUAAUAAUAAUAAUAAUAAUAAUAAUAAUAAUAAUAAUAAUUAAUUAAUUAAUAAUAAAAUAAAACAAACCCAACUCCACUCACUUUUCCCCCACUUUCUUGCCAUCCCACUUUUCCCUCUUCUUCUCUCCCGGCAACCCCACUCCCACUCCCCCAUUUUCAUUUUUGUUUCUUUUCUUUUCUUCUUCUUUCUCUCACUUAAAGCCACAAUAAACUCAUGGAAAGGAUAUACAUUCCCUAAGCAAGCUUCUUCAUAUUUUCCCACACUACGCCAAAAAUGACAUUUUAUAGCGCGUCUUUUAUAACGCUUAUUAAAUACAAGCGUUGUUGUAUGAUAUUUUAAAAAUAAUGGAGGAUACAACAGCGCUUUUUUGACAAGCGCUGUAAAAGACUUUGAUUUCACAUAAUUAAAGGACCUAUUAGAGCGCUUUUCGGAAAAACGUUGUAAAAAGGUUUUUUAAAAAAAAUAAGGAGGUCUUUUACAGCGCUUUUGGACAAGCGCUUUAAAAAGUCUGGAAAAAAACGCUGUUAUAGACUUUCAAAAAAUAAAAUAAGGAGGUCUUUUACAGCGCUCUUUAAAAAAGCGUUGUAAUAGGCUUUUAAAAAAUAAAAUAAGGAGGUCUUUUAUAGCGCUUUUUUAAAAAGCGUUGUAAUAGGCUUUUAAAAGUAAAAUAAGGAGGUCUUUUACAGCGCUCUUUAAAAAAAACGAUGUAAUAAGCUUUUAAAAAAUAAAAUAAGAAGGUCUUUUACAGCGCUCUUUAAAAAAAGCGCUGUAAUAAACUUUUAAAAAAUAAAAUAAAGAGGUCUUUUACAGCGCUCUUUAAAAAAGCGUUGUAAUAGGCUUUUAAAAGUAAAAUAAGGAGGUCUUUUAUAGCGCUUUUUUAAAAAGCGCUGUAAUAAGCUUUUAAAAGUAAAAUAAGGAGGUCUUUUAUAGCGCUUUUUUAAAAAGCGCUGUAAUAAGCUUUUAAAAGUAAAAUAAGGAGGUCUUUUAUAGCGCUUUUUUAAAAAGCGCUGUAAUAAGCUUUUAAAAGUAAAAUAAGGAGGUCUUUUAUAGCGCUUUUUUAAAAAGCGCUGUAAUAAGCUUUUAAAAAAUAAAAUAUAACAGUAAAUCGCUUCAGUUUCCUCUUUAUUACAUAAACUUCAUUACACUUCAGUGUCCUUCUCCUCCUCAUUAUCCUUCUCAUUGCGAACCAUAAUGUCCCUACGAACCAUAUUGUUUAUGAACUCUACGUAUUUCUUCGCACUCUUCAGGUAUUGUAUUCAUUUAUUCAUUUAUUUCUUAUAUAUAUAUAUAAUGUGUCUGUUAAUGCUAAUAAUCACAUUUAUUUGAUAGUGUUUUACAAGUUUUCCGAGCUCAAAUGGGUGCUACAGUGUCGAAGCAAAAAUCAAAUAAAUCACAUGGAUUCCAAUAAAGGUUUGAAAUGUAUGGCUUUAAAAUUUCAUUAACAAUCAAUCCACAAAUAUUUAUUGACUUAUAUGUUUUAUUUUAUAGUGCUAUCGUCAAACUAACAACAUAGACUGCGGAUACUGUAUAUUACGAUUUAUGAAGGAGAUUGUUGUUAUAAUCCCAAAAAUAGAUCUAAUUGAAAUAAAGGAAUGCAUAUUACAGCGCUUUUUUUAAAAAGCGCCGUAAAACUAAUACAACAAGCAGCGCGUUUUUAGAAGAGAUUUACAACGCUUUUUUUUUUUUUAAUUUUAAAGAGCGCUGUUGUAUCUUUUUACAACGCUGGAUACUACAGCGCUUAAUUUUUUGAAAAAGCGCUAUAAAUGGCUUAAAAAAAACGUUGUAAAAUACCAUUUUUCGCGUAGUGCCAAGUUCUUGGGUAUAAUUUUUGAGUUAGGGUUUGUCCUCUAAAGAAUGAGAAGAAUACCCAUCUCUUGAGAGUUGUUUAUUGAGACUCAAUGAGGUAAAUGCAUAACUCCAAUGCUAGUAUGAAUAUAUAGAAAAAUGUAGUUUUGAGUAAAAACCUUAUUUUAUGCUUAGAGUAGAUUUAAAUGAUUUUUUAGGGUUUCCUAGAGUUAGUUAAACUUUAGAAUAAUUUUUCUAAAGUCUUGGAAAUAUUUUUUAUACUCAGAUUUGUUAGCUGAGAUCCUACCGGCUACUCUGAGAGUUGUUGGAGAGCAAAUUUAGACGAUUCUACAUAGAAGUGAGUUGACGACGACCAUCGUCAUAUAUUUUUUAUAUAAUGCUAUUAUUAUUAUUAUUAUUAUUCUUAUUAUUAUUAUUAUUAUUAUUAUUAUUAUUAUUAUUAUUAUUAUUAUUAUUAUUAUUAUUAUUAUUAUUAUUAUUUUACUUGUUUUCUAUAUUAAAGUAUUUAUUGAAAAAUUUGGGAAACACAACAUUUGAAAUUUAUCUCGAUUUUGUCAAUUAUUUAAUUUAAUGGUCGUUGUUAUAUAAUAUGAUAUUAGUUUGAUUUACGUAUAAGUUAAAGUAUUUAAAUAUUAAAUUGUUAGGCGAUUGAAUAUAUUUUCCAUGAAUUACGAUGAAGUGAUUUUAAAUACGUGUUUUGAGAAAUCGUUGUUAUAAUUAUUAAAUCGUUAAUUGCGUUAGGUGCACCUAGUUACCUCGUUUUGAUUAGGGAGAGUUACCCAUUAGAUGGAGCCGCCUCUAUGAGAAAUGUCAUCUGUAGGAGGAGAGAGUUAUCAACGAGAUGUAACUUCCCUAAUUGAUACGUGAUUAUGCGUUGCGGGAUUGAGAUGAGAGAACUAUCCGUUAGAUGGAGCCACCCCUAAGGGAAAUGUCACUCUUAGGAGGAAAGGGCUAUCAAUAAGAUGAAGCCGCCUCUUGGUUCUAAAAAAAUUGUAUUUUUACUUAUUUGAUUUUUAUGAUGAUUUUAAUGUUGUUCAUUUGGAUUUCGCUUCGUUAUUAACUGAAUUCUUAAAAUUUAUAUCUGAACGGUUAAGUUAUAAGUUUAACGACUUGAUAUGUGUAUAUUUUAAAUUUAGAAUUUUUUAGAUUUUUAAGUAAUAUUGUUUAACAUAACGGCCGCCCAAUUGUAAAGCAGUUAUUCGUGCCUUUUUGUAUUUCCCUUCUAAUUGAUGGUGAUUGUUGGUUCCUCACUAAGUCUUUGUGACUUACCCCUUUAUGUUGCUUAUUUUUUUCAGAUUCGCAGACAAUUGAGUAGAAAUCUAUUAUUUGAUUCAAGUCUCGACUAUAUUUCUUUUUGGUAGGCCUAUUUGAUCGAGGACUAUUUUUUUGUAAAAUAUGUCGAGUCUAAUGUAAUUUGCAGCUAUUUUGGAGUCUAGAAUUUUUUUUUUGAAGUGUAUUAAACAAUUAGAUUAUGUUCUUUGAAUUGUAACUGAAUUGAAAAUUUAACAGGGAUUUUAUAAAUUUGGGAAUGUUGAAGUCACAGGGGAUACUCUGUCGAAAUUUCGGGAAAAAGUAUAUAUAUUUUUUGAAAUGGUUAGAGAACGAUUUAGUUGUUUAAUUGUUAAUGGUUAGAGUAUGGUUAGAUUAUGUUAUUUGAUAGGCUUGUCAGGCUGAGAGUAUAGCUUGUGCUCCGGUCACGACAUUUAAAUUUCAGGUCGUGACAACCGCAAUAUCUUAUAAUGUCACCAUACUCCUUACAUGCCCUAUCACAAUUAAAUUUCAUAUUAAAUGAUAUACUAUUAGGGUUUAUUUAAAUAAUUUUAAAACACAUUAUAUUAGUAUAAUAAAUUUAAAAUAUUUGAAAUGAACUAAAUAUUUAUGAAUAAAAUUUCAAUGUAUUUUAUAUAUACUUUCAAAUCAUGUAUUUUUAAAUUAAUUUUUUUUAAUAAAUUAUUUGCUCCUCUAUAAAGCCAUAGCUGUCAAAAAUCAAUAUUGAAUAUCAAUUUGGUUGGAUAAUCCUAAAAAAAAAUAUUAGUUAUGACAUGACAUUUGAUUAAGAAAUGUUUAUUAAUAUAUGUAAGGCAACAACUUUAAUAAACUCCCUAUCUUGCCAUAUCUUACCUUAAUUAGCUAACAUGACAACAACAGCAUUAACUAUCUCUAAGGAACAGCCCAUAAAAAAAAAAUAGAGUUAUGACAUGUCAUUUUAUUAAGAAAGUUUAAUUAAUAUAUGAAAGUUAGACAAGAUUAACGUAUUAAAAUUAAUCUAUUAUAAUAGUUAAAUAACAAUAACAUAUUAAAAUUAAUAUUAUGAAAAACAACAAUUAACAAAUAUUAAUUAUUUUAAAAACAUGUGAAAUUAAAAAAAAAAAAGAUUUUAUUAAAGUAACAAGUAUUAUUAAAAAAAUCAACAAAAAAUAGAUCAAUACAACAUCUAUCACUAAUAAUAAAAUUGACUAAGUUACAUCCGCGGUCCCUUAACUUAAUUUCAAGUAACGUUUUAGUUAUUUAUCUUUUUUUUUCUUCUCGAGUUGGUCAUUUAUGUUAACUUUAAGUGACAAUUUGAUAUUUUAUGUUUUAAAAUUUCAACAAUGUUAUCUUUUUUUAUACAAAAAUUCAAAAAAAUUAUCAAAAUUUUCAACCAAAAUCCAUAAAAUUAAUAAUCAUCUUCAAUAUAAUGCACAUUUUUUAUCAAAUCCAUAACUCAAAUAUUCAAAUACACUCAUAUUUUCAUCUCCAACAACAUCAAAUAAAGAAUGAAAAAAUGAGUUUAUUCCAAGAUUUAAGUUAUGAAUUUGAUUAAAUUUGUAUUUUAUUGAAGAUGAUAAUGAAUUUUAUGGGUUUUGUUUUAAAAUUUUGAUGAUUUUUUUGAAUUUUUGUAAAAAAAAGGACAACAUUGUUGACAUUUUAAAACAUAAAAUAUCAAAUUGUUACUUAAAAUUAAAAUAAAGGACCAACUCGAGAAAAAAAUAUAAAAGACUAAAAUGUUACCUGAAAUUAAGUUAAAGAACGUAAUUUAACCUAAUAAAAUUAUAUUAUUAUUAUUAUUAGAAAAAUAUGUAUGUAGUUGGACCCGAUUUAGUUGAAAACAAAAUAUUCAAAAUUCCAUCCACAUAAUUUUCACAAAAGAAAAAAACAUUCAAUAAGAAUCAUGUGGUUGAAUUUUUUUUUGAUUUGAUUUAUAAUUUUUAUUUAAAUCAAUUUAAAUAUAGACACCGCUGAAUUGCUCUCAACCUAUUCUACCUACUUGUUUUCAACAUGAACCCUACAAUCUACUUCUUUCAAGUAUGACAUAAUAUGACACCCACCACUAGCCGCAUUGGGAGGGUCGAGAUUAAUUCACAUGCGAUAUCUAAGUCAUUGGUUAACUCAUACCCCCUACCAGAUAGUAAGGUGACAUUUUUAUAAAAAAAACAUAAUUUUUAUUUAAUAAAAAGAUUUUUUAUUUUAAUACUUUUAAAAUUAAAAAUAUAUUUUUUUUAAAAUUUAAUAUUAUCUCAACACUAUUAAAUUAGUUAAAAAAAAUAUAUUAUAUGAUAUCAAUUAUAUUUAUUUUAAUGAUGUCAAGUUAAAAUUUAGAAAAUUCGUUUUAGAUCUCAUAUUAAAAUUCGCUUGAAAUCUCGUAUUAAAAUUAGCUUCAGACAUUCACAUGUGUUGGAUCAGUUCUAUUAACUGAUUAAUACUAAUUUGUUAAAUUUAUGUCUUGCUUUAGGCUUUAAUUUAGAAUUUCAUAAUUGUAUGUGAAUUUAUAAUAAUAUUUACUAUCUAUUUUACAUACAUAAAAUAACAUAAAAAGAUGGGAAGACCAAAUGAGGGAUAAGGGCAAGUUUUGGAUGAAUUUUGUAAGGUAUUGGUGGGAAUUAGUUGAUGAGAAAACUUAUUUGAUAAUCUAACUUUAAAACAAUUUUUUAUUAGAUAAUUAAAAAUAUUGAAAAAAUGAGAAGUAAAACAACAUUUACUUGUUUUGCUUUUCUAAUUUAAUAAAGUAUAAUAUUAAAAAUAGUUUUACAAAAUAAUUUUUAAAAACAAGUAAUCCAAAUAAAAUUUUUAGUUUUUAAAUUUAAAAAUAAAAUAAAAUAGAGUUUUUAGGACUAGAAUGAAACCCUUAAUCUUUAUAUUUUGUUUGGUUGAUAGAGUAAAGAUGGAGAAAAUGAAAAGAAGAUAAAAAAUAUAAAAAAUAAAAUGACUAUUUAUUAGUUUGGUAUAAGAGAAAAUAAAAAGAAAAAUUAUAUGAAAUAACUAUGUGAGUUUAUAAAAUGACAAAUAUACAUAAGGAAAAAUUAGAUAUGAUAACAAAAUACAAAUAAAUUAAAAUUACCAUAAAUAAAAAAUUAUAAAAUAUAAAAAAUAAAUAAAGAGAAUAUAUAUAUAUAUAUAUAUAUAUAUAUAUUUCAUAACAAUUAAAGAAAAUGUUUCAAUUUAAUAAACUAUAAAUAUUAUACUCCAUUCAAAAUCAAAUAUAAAAAAAAUGAUAGCUAAAAAAUUGAUGUAUCUAAUUAAAAAUUUAGUUCGAAUAUAUCAAUUUUUUAAUAAUUCUUUAUAUAUAUAUAUAUAUAUAUAUUUCAUUUUAGAAUAUUACUUUUAUUCUAUUUGUAAUUUCUAAUUUUUCACUAAUUGAAAUGAAAUACUUAUUUUUAUUUUUCUAAUCAUAUCUAUAUUUUGUUUAAAAUAGUUAUAUCAUUUUAUAAAUAAACAUAUAUAUUUUUUAUUUUCAUUUAGAGUUUAAAUUUAUAUACUAAAAAUACAAAAUAUUUUAGAUUAUCAUUAUAUAAAAAUUGAUAUUUUUGACACGUAAACUUAAAAUAUUUUAAUUGAAUAAAAAAAUAAAAAAAACCUACCCUAGAUGGGCAAUAACUCAAUAUUAACCAUUAUCAUCGUUGUCUCACACUUAUGCUCUUGAAUCUCUCCUACCACACCCUACCUUUCCCUUUCUGUCUUUGUUGUUUAUCAUAUUGCGUCAAAAAUUAUUUUAUUGUGCAACAAAUUUUAAAACAAAUGCAAAUAGUUUAUCAUAAUGGUCAUGUUAUAUCUCCCAAAUUAAUUUGCAAAAAUCCCUAUUUGUUUUUUAAAGAAUCAUUUAAUUUUUGUCUAAAAACAAAUCAUCCAACUUUUGAUGUGCUUUUCAUUAAAUAAAAACCAUUAUUGUUUAUAGUUUUUUAAUUUUAAUUCCAUGGAAGUAUAUUAAGAUGGUGUAAAAAAAUGGAUUAUUGUAAUUUGAUCUUGUAAAUGCAUAUAAAUUAAAUUGUUUCUUUAAUUUUUUCUAAAAUUUUAAACUCUUUUUCUAUAUUAAACUAUUAAAUUUUAAACUCUUUUUCUAAACUAUUAAACUCUUUGUCUCUUUAUUUAAUUUUCUCAAAAACAAAAUAUUACUUUAUAUUUUCAUAGUUUAAAUCGAAUCUCAUACUUUUUCUCGAAGUCUAAAACAUUUCUUCAAUCAAAAAAUUUUAAAAAAUUUGUAUGUAUCUUCUUUACAAAUUAAGAUUAUUUCACAAUAAAUAUCUUUAAAUAAAUAAAAAAUUAAUUUUCAAACAAAAUUUAAUGUUCAGAUCUUUACCUAAUCUUGAAAUCUUAAUGCUUUAAUAAUUAUCGAAUAUACUAUUUUAUGAUUAUUUUAAUAAAAAUAUAACAAUGAAAAUUAUUAUAUUAUUUAUAUUUAGUUAAAUAAAUACACAUUGACAACUUAUUUUCACCUUUAUCCAUCCAACAAAAUCAUAUUUAAUGGUUAAUUAAUAUAUUGGAGUUGGUCAGACGUUCUCGAAAAUUAAUAUUCAAAUAAUGUUGAAGGAAGAAUUUAUAUUUAAUAUUGACAUAUCUUGAAUAUAAUUACUUAAAUGAAACUAAUAACUAAAUAUUAUUAUGGAAAAAAAAAUUAUUUUUAACUAAUAACUAAAUAUUGAGUCAAAGAAACUAAUAAUAAUUAAAUGUUAAAAAAUAUGUUUUUCAGUUUUCCCUUUAUGGUUGUUCAGUGCAUAGGUUUAUGAAGCUGGGACCCAUUCUCUUGAGUUGACAAGUUUUUGUUUCUGGGUCUGCUUCAUCUUUUCAAAGGGCUCAUUUUUCUUGGUACCUUCUUCAUACCAAAAAUCCUUCCUUUUUCAUUCCUUAGUGUUUUUUUUUUUGUCUUUUCUUCCUGUAAGCUCUUUCAGUUGCUUGAGAUGUGGAGAGAUCAAGGAGUUUCAGCUGAUUCUUUCUAUGAAAUUCGACCUGAUUGCACCGAUGUUCCCAUUACUCGAUUUAAGAUCAAGGUUUAUUUUUUUACUCCCAGAUUUUUUUUUUGAAGUAAUGUGUAUCUUUAGUUAUAGGUGAAUAGGAAUAGUAUUGGAUUGAUGGAAAUUGUUGAAUUUUUAUGAGCAAUGUAUGUAAUUUAAUUUAAAUAUGAAGUUUUGUGAAUGCAUUUGUUCAUUUGAAAAUGUCAAAGUUUUUCUUUUUUUAAUUUUUUUAAAUGUUUAUGCUGAUAACUGAUAGUAACUUUUGUUUAUUUUGAGGGAUAGCUUGUGAUUUCAGAUAAUUGAUACAUGAGGGUGAAUUUGUUAUAUAUCUUUUGGGAUAGUGCCCCUCUUUUUCUUGUUAUGAAUUUCAAAUUCAGUAAUAUUGAGUAUAAAUGUUAAUGGAUGAAAUUUGAUUCAUGGACAGUAAUUUAUUGUACAAAGAUAUUAUAUCAUAGAUUCAAAGUUGAAUUUAGAUCUUAUAACGAUAUGAAUGUGUCUAUUGUUGUGGAGAGAAUCCUGAUUCUUAUGCUAGUUGCAUGAAUUACUGGCACUUAGGAGUUAAAUCAUCAAAUUUAACACUUCUAUUUAGCAGUUUUGGUAUUAAAGAAUGCAGCAUACGGUCUGGUUAUUAAUUGGUUGAUUGCUUAAUUAGAUAAAGUUAGAUCUUUCAGAAUUAGAUCUGAAUAUACUAUUGGUAAUUUACCUUGGAUUACAAUAACAAAUCCCAAAUGAUUAACUGUCCUUGUUGGGUUUUCAUCUUAUGAAUCAUUAAAUGACAUAAUUCAAUUCGACGAUUUUACACCGUAACACAAAAUCAGUUCCAUUCAGAUGACAACUUGUACAUUUAUUUGGAUUUUCAAUCUCAUUAUGUUCUUUAUUUUUAACUUCUUGUUAUUACAUGGCUCAGGCUGGUAAAACACUAAGUCCAAGAAAAUGGCAUGCUGCAUUUACUCCAGAAGGGUAUCUGGAUAUAGGCAAGACUCUGAGACGAAUCUACCGAGGGGUAUUUGCUCUUAUAUAGUUAAAAUACUAGUUCAUUAUGUUUGAGGAAAUAAGGAAAUGAUAUGUUGAUAUUUAGUGUGUCUCCCUUUUUUAUGUGUUCAAUAGUGAAUCCUAACCUUGUGCAGUGUUGUCAAAUAGCUGCAAUAGUGCUAUAGUGUAGUGGAAUUUGAAAAAAUCACUGUUGUUCCGUGAUACACGAUUUAGUACAAAGUGUUUUUAAAUAGUGGCACUAUAGCACUAUAGCGUAGCAGAACUUGAGCAAACUGCUAUUUUAUGAGAUCCACAAUUGACAACACUAGCUUGGUGGAUAAACCUGUCUGAUCUCUAGCUAUGCAAGUGCUACGAUGAUCAUAUUGUUGGUUUUCAUACACCUGAAUUAUUGAGGAUUAUGUUUUUUUUUUUUUUUUUUUGUGUACAAGUGUAGAAAGACAAUAAAUUUUCUGUAUAUGUGGCUUUCGGUUGGUGCUUAAUUUAUUAAAAAUUUCAAACUAGGGAAUCCAUCCAUCAAUAAGGGGAGAAGUUUGGGAAUUUCUACUUGGUUGCUACGAUCCCAAGAGUACAUUUGAGGAAAGAGAUCGGAUAAGACAACGCCGAAGGUAAUCAGUUUUGAGUUUCAUAAUUGUUUCAUAAGAAUCUUCUUUUUUUCAUCUGUAUUGUUGUCAUAUAUUAUAACAUGUGUAGCAUUGACACUUCAUAUUGAAAGUGUGUUCAGUGUCUAACAUCGCACAUGUAGUUACAUACAUUCAAUUUAUUCUAUUGUUCAAAUUAUUAUCGGUGUCAAAGUGUCCUUGUCAAUGUUGUGUAUAGUGUUCAUGUUUGUGUCAAUGCUUCAUAGAUCAUAACAUCCUAGAGCGUUUUAUAAUUUUUAUGGUGUUGCACUUGUCUUUUGCAUAGGCCUUCCUUUUAAAUAAAACAGCAAUGUAUAUAAUAUGACAAUAUGUAAUCACAGGCUCGAUAUGCCUAAAAAAAUAGCAAGAACUGCAUCCGCAUCCUUUAUAUAAGGAUAAUACAUAAUACUGUGCAACUUAUUACCGCUGUUUCUGAGUUCUAUAUCUAAGAGAUCAUUACUUGAAUUUCACUUUUUACGAUUAUGUCAUCAGGCUGCAAUAUGCUACAUGGAAAGAAGAAUGUUGCCAAUUGUUUCCUCUUGUCGGAAGUGGUAGAUUUAUCACAUCACCUGUAAUUACUGAAGAUGGCGAGCCAAUUCAAGAUCCAAUGAUUCUGCCACAAACAAAUCCAGAAAAGGGAUUGGCUGCACUUCCUCAAGAUAACAAUAAUAAUAUGUCUUCAAGUAUAGAUUCUGCAAAUAAUUUAGAAAACAUGACAGACAAGAAAGUAAUCCAGUGGAUGUUAACUCUCCAUCAAAUAGGUUUGUGAAUUUUUUGUUGUGCAUUGUCUAUUAUAUUUCUUCUAUUUUAAGUUAUUUAAUUUUCCGGCAUGUAUAGUCUAAGUUUUAGAGGAACCUACCUCACAAUUAUUUUCUUCGUAAAUCCAUUAUGCCUGAAAUGCAUUGUUGUACAAUUGAAAUUUGAUUUGUAAAUGACCCUUUUCUUGCUCAUAACACAUUUCAGGUCUUGAUGUGGUUCGCACUGAUAGGACAUUGGUUUUUUAUGAGAAGCAAGAAAACUUGUCGAAACUAUGGGAUAUUCUUGCUGUUUAUGCUUGGAUAGAUAAAGAAGUCGGGUAUGCUCAAGGUGUGUUUUUAGUUGACUAAUCCAUUUAAUGUUACAUUCUCUUUUUGAGAUAUACCAGUACUAUAUUUGGAGAAAUUCUGAGAAAUUUCACCAUUUAAAAUUUCUCUAAGCUUCCAGUCUUAACAAUUGACAAUUCUGAACAGGAAUGAGUGAUCUAUGCUCCCCAAUGAUAAUACUUCUUGACAAUGAAGCAGACGCAUUUUGGUGCUUUGAGCGUCUGAUGCGCAGACUUGUAAACAUCUUAUCUCUAUGCUCACUUUUAUCUUUGUUUCUUUUUGGCUUAUUGAAAAGAUGGAAAAAAAAAGUAAAGAAUUCAAGUGUUCGGUUAUGAGAUUUUCCAUCUUGCACAGGGUUUUAGAGGAUUAAGUACUGCGAUUAUGCCUUGUGGCUGAAUGAUAGAAAUUUUAUUAAUAAUAUUUAGACAUUCAUCCUUUUCUCAAUUUCUUAUUUUUUGUGUUGAAUUUUUCAAGCGAGGAAAUUUCAGAUGCACUGGUCGCUCUGUUGGGGUGGAGGCUCAACUAAGUAAUUUGGCUUCAAUUACUCAAGUAAUUGAUCCAAAACUUCAUAAACAUAUAGGUAUUAAACCGCAUAUGUGCUUUUGAAUUUAUUUAUGGUCAAAUAUGGAAUAGAAUUUUCUAACCCUAGUUGGGUGGUUUUAUGUGAUCGUUGUUUUAAUAUAUAUAAUUUAUGACCAGUUUUAUUGCCAUUGAAAGUUGUUGAAUAAAAUCCCUGUUAUGUUUAAGAAAUGGAAAGUAACAAUGUGCUGUCUUAUAAUUUUGGAGCACAGAACAUAUCGGUGGAGGCGACUAUGUGUUUGCUUUUCGGAUGCUAAUGGUUCUGUUUCGUCGAGAAUUUUCCUUUUGUGAUUCAUUGUACCUAUGGGAGGUGCGUUUAGCUUCUUUUGUUCAUUUUUUAUAUAUUCUAUUUUUUGUUUUGCCAUCCCUUGUUAUUGUUUCAGAUUGUUUACAUUAUUUUCUAUUAUAAGUUAUUGGAUCAAAUAAUUAUUGCUAUAUUUAUAGUAUCUUAAAUUAUGCGAUUGUUUUAGGUAGUUCACUUCAUGUUAAUAUGGAUUAUGUAUGCAUGGUGUGAGUGUGUGUGAUGAUUUUUUUCCCACAAAACGGUUUAUGAGAUAACUAUACCUCAAAUUUUCUGAGAAUCUUUGUAAAUUGAUGAUCGAUAAAUAAUAGUUUGAAAUUUUUAACAGAUGAUGUGGUCUCUAGAAUAUGAUCCUUACUUGUUCUUGAUGUAUGAAGAAUCUCAAUCGGCUUCUGGAAAAGCUGAGGGAUUCAAAGGAAAAGCAAAGUCGAUACAACAAUGUGGAAAAUAUGAGAGAGAAAAUCUGAAAAAUGGAGCGAAGAAUGCUGAACCUCCUCUCCCUAUGUCUGUCUUCCUUGUUGCUAGUGUGUUGAAAGAUAAAAGUACAAAACUACUCCAUGAAGCGCGAGGCUUGGAUGAUGUUGUCAAGGUUAGUCAUGUGACAUCUUUGGAUGAGUGGCAAGUUCGACAAAAUCAUGGUGACACUGUGAUUUUGUUGAAACUCCUAAGUAUAUAGUUUCUGCCAAAAUCAUGGCGGUUCAUAGUGAUUCUGCUAAUCUCAUUGCGAACCAAAUGUGCACUAAGUGUAAGUUGCACUGAAUUAUAUGUAGCAAUCAUUGAUACAAAAGAAUGAAAUAUUUUAUUUUCCUUAUUUGGUGAACUUAACUAUUAUAAAAUUCAGUGCUACUUCACUUAUUUCAUAAUGACAUUUGUGCUUAAAACAUGCCUUUUUUUUAUUUUUAAAUUGCUAUAUUCUUGUUACAAAUUUUCCUAUGCUUUUUACGUAUCCAUUAACUUGUUCCUAUGCUCCUCUGAUCUCUCUCAUACAAUUUUACUCAGAUAUUGAAUGAUACAACAGGAAAUUUAGAUGCCAAAAAGGCUUGUACUGGGGCUAUGAAGCUUCACAAAAAAUAUUGGAGAAAGGUAAUGUGUUGUUCUCUACAACUUUUCCACCCUAACAUAUUUUCAUGUCUAUAUUAUUAUUUUUACUCUAAUGUAUAGUUAUUAAACACUUGUGAUCCUCCUUUUUUAUGUCCUAAAUAUACAAGUAAAUAUAUUAAUUGCUGCAGGCCAAGAAAGCCUAGCACCAAACAUAUCCUAUGAUAUAUUUUUUUCUUCCAUUUGGGAUGAUUAAAUGAUGUGAUGCUUCUUGCAUGCUGUCCAAUGUUAUUCCUUGGGAGACAAUAAUGGAGUCCAUCAAAUUUGGAUUGUGGUUUGCUGAAUUGAGUAAAGGAUCCAAGUUUCUGACCAUUAAAUUUCCUGUUGUAUGUGAAAUUAAUUUCAUUUUUUCUUCUUCUUAUUCUUGUGUAUGAAAAUAGAAUGCUGUACAACCAUUGUACUUUGUAACAUAUUUGUAUUGUAUUACAAAAGGGGAAACACAAAUUGUUUGUUAAUAGUCUGUUAUCACCGAUUGUACUAAAGAUAGUUCCCAUAAUGUUGUUGAUGGUGAUCAACAAAGUCCUCUUUCUAUUAAUAAAAACACACUUUAAUAUUAAAUUUAAUCUAUGAUCUGAAUAGAUGUGAUGUGAUGACUAUGGUUGAAACAGAUUUAGUACUCUAAAAUAAGUAAUUCAUUUUAGAAAAUAAAAUAAGUAAUUUGAACUAUUCAUGAACGAAAACAUUGGAUGGACAUUCUAUGCACAUGCAGAACAACUCAUUGAUGUAUGUCUAUGAAUGAAUAGCCUAGUGAUUUCGAUUUUGUUAAAAAGACAACGUAGGAGUUAUAUGUAAGAGGUUUAGGGUUUAGUCUUUGUUAAUAACUUUUUCCCCUCCCCUAAUAUAUAUACUAACUACUAAUAUUUAUCUAUAAAAACAAAAUUUAUUGAUCUAUGAAUUAGAUUAUUUAUCCAUGAUUUUUCAUACACAGUUGAAAUUAUUUUUUAUAUUUGAUAUUUAUAUAAACUUUUGAAACAAAAGUAAGAAAUCUAAUAAAUCAAGGAAAAGAAAAUCCUAAGAUUGAACCUCUAGGUAGCAUUAGUCCCCUCCAUCCCAAAUUUUUUUGAAUUAAAAUCAUAUGAUCUACUAAUCUAUGAGAAGAUUUUAUUGACAGUUCGAAGAAAAAAAAAAAAAAAAAAAGAAGAAGCUAUCAACUUGAACUAAUAAUUCAUACACAAAAAGGCCAUCUAAUUUGUAAAUAUGAACUAGUUAUGUACUGAACUUUAUAAGUUCCACACAAUCUUGUAUGAGAUCAUAUAUACUGUUAUGUACUUUUACACAAACACAUGCUGCAUCACUCAUCAUCUGGUCUUAUCCAUUGUUACCAAUCUUCCCCCUUUUGUAUAGGCACACAACACCAUCUUUGAUGAGACUCAAAAUGUAGUUCCAUGUUUAGACAAAUCGAUAACAUCAACAAUGAUUCAGAAAAAGCGAUCUGUCAUGAGGAAGAAUGUCAUAAAAGCAGUGAAAAUGACUGCAAUCACACUGAUAGAAGAUUUAUGUCCUGAGCUUUGAGUAGGUCUAUGUGGAGGAAUUGAACAUUCCAUUCCAUUGAAGAACACCUUAGUAGGAAAAGCGUCGCGCACCACGUUGAAGUCUCUCAUGUGUUUCUUAUGAAAAGAAAUUACAGAUUGUUGUUUCCCCGGCACCCUUGGAUCGUUAACAUGAGUUCCAUUAGUCUCUCCAGAUAAGAAAUUUAAACCCUUCAUUCCUUGAAAGAAAAUAGUUUUGAUACCGGGAAUUCUCGUCCCGUUAAACGAAUAAACAUCUUGAAAAUCUUCGAAAGACCUUGAACAAAUCUUCAAAAGCAAAAUCUUCCCAAUUGAAAAUGGUAAUUCUAGCCGUCCAUCCUUCCUUAUGAUCAGAACUAACGUGCCAGUUAAUACUAACAGGACAAUUAUCUCCACAAGGCAACUUGUUAGGAACUUUCAUAUGUUUGAGUUUUGCCCAAGCGUGUGCUUUCAAAGUUCGAUUGACAAAAGGUACAAGAAGAGCUUCAGGCGGAAGAAGUAAAGGUGAAGCAUUAGCAUUACAUUUCCUUGUGUCAUCACAACCACAAGCACAUGUGUUACAAGGGAUAGCAGAUUCAUUGUAGAAAGCUGAGAAUGAAAUGCAGCAACGAUUCUGUUGCGGCUUUGGUUUGGUAAUGUUGCAACUUAUUUGCCAACUAGCAACAGCUGUUGAAAUUGCUUUAAGUCCACUUGGAUCAGGAAAUUGUUGUGAAUCAACCCUAAUUGGUGGUCCACAAGUGUAUUUAGGGUUAAUAACACCAUCAAUGUGCCAUUUCAUUGGUGGUGUAAGUGCUGUUCUGUUAUCAUCGGGUGGCAUUUUGAAAACUUGUAACUGAAAAAGUGAUCUAGCUCUGUUCUUAUCCAUAAUAGGUGGUAAAACAGUACCAUUCUUACAACACCAAGGUAAUUUACCAACUUUUUCAUCUUCUGCUCUUUCAACUGGAAGAUCAGAGAGAAUAGGCCUUUUUUGACAAUUUGCAACUUGUGAGAAAUCUAAGUCACCAUAGUAUUUACCUGCAGGACCAUAUAAACAUUCAGAAGGGUCUUUUAUGCGAGCGUAAGCGCCUUUUAACGAGUAUAUGAAUUCGCCUCGUUGCCAUUCCCAUGUUAAGUUCCAAUGAUCAAGGCGACCUAAUGGAUGAUUGUUGUCUAUGGUUAUUUGUGCAUAGUAGUUGGUUUGGAAGGCUUGAAGCACGUCGUAAGCUAUGGUUAGAUCCCCAUAGCGACGAGGAAGGAACUUUGUUUUCUUGUCUAUUUUGGCUUUUGCUUUUGGGUCUUUUCUGCAGCAUACAAACAUUCUUGAGCCUGCAUGAAAAUUCACAUGAUCAAUUAACAAAAUCUCAUUCUCUUAAAUAUUAUAAAACUUCAUAUUUCUAUAGACAAAAAUUGUUCCUAAUAACACAUCAAACGCAAUAUUGGACUUGGAUUAUCGCAAGCUACUCCACAAUAGUUGAAUUAAUCUAACAGCUGAAAAGAAAUGCGGGGAGGAUCCAAGCACCAUCAUAUUUAUCCAAUCAAACUUAAUUAGUUCAGUAUCAUGUUUUUUUUUUUUUGUCAAAUGUGCUCAGUAAUUUAGACAUUAGUCCCAUUUUUUAACUAUCAAAUUCAACUAAAGUAAUUUAUAUGCUCUAUUUAAAGGGAUAGGCUUAGACUGGUCUCGAGUUCUACCUCAUGAUAGAAUAAUUUAACUUCAAACUUUACUUGUCUCUCUCAACCGAUACAUUAGCUCUAAACCUAUGUUUUAAAAAUCAAAACGGACAUCAAGUCGACUACACCAUAUGAUUAUGAUUCAACUUUUUUAAAUGUCUAAACCAAGACGAAACCAUGAUUAAAUCGUUUAAAUUUUAGAUAGUAUUGGUUCAUGAUUCAACUGAUUAAACUAUCUAAGUUAUUUUUUAAAACAUUUGUUGAAAAACCUUUCUCCCAAAAUAAUAGGGUUGGAAAUUAAAAUGAGAAAUGCAUGCAUGCAUGCAUGAAGAGAUAAGAAAUAUAUUAAUAAAAUACCUUUACUACUAGGUUGGGGACAUUUAAAACCAUCAUUAACAAGUUUAAUAGUCUUAGGCAUAGGUGUAGCAUUAGCACCAAGGCCAAAUUGAGUCCCACUCAUCUGAACCCUAACAGCCAUUUGAUUAAAAUCACCCGCUGUUUCUAUCGCCGUCUUCAAGUCCGCCAUAGGGUUCCCGGAAAGUGUAGUCCCAUUCCCUACCUCCGCCGGAAAAUCCUCCGAAUCGAUCGGAACAGCGCCAUCGGCCGAGACAAGAAUCUCUCUAUGCUGAAACCCAAUAAACAUCUUCCAACCUUUCAAUUCCUCGUCUCCAACGUUCAUUAACGAUGCUUCAGCUUUAAAUGCCCAUGCUUGUUUCGACAUGUUUUUCACGUGCGGAUAUUCCUUCUCCCUUCCUGUCAAACUGUACGUUAGAAAUAUUCCAUCGCAAUUGUCGAGUUCCGUCGCAUGUGGUGGCGGCGGAGACGUUGUCGGGUCUGGAAAUGUGCUAUCUUGUCCCUGGCAUAUUAUUUCCAAACCCGACAAAACAAAUAACAACAACAAUAAGGAAGUCUUUGCUUCCUUGAAAAUUCUCAUGUCGUUACAAACAACAAUCACUAUUAUUUUUUUAUUUAUUUUCCUUUUCUUUUUUGUAUGAAAGAGAAAGAGAGAAAGAAGAGUUUUUGUGUGUUUUAUGUUUUUGUUUUAUUGGUGUGAAGAGAAAGGUGAUGAUAAGAAUAUUGCGGCCGCGGUAAGACGCCGCGGCUGGAAGGAGGGAAACUUAGAGGAGAAAGGAAGGUAAAUGUUGUGAAUUAUUUAUAUGAUGGAGAGGGAAAAUUGGAAGAGAAGGUCAAGCUGAAAGUUAUAUUUCGCUAGUUUUAGCGAUAUUUUUGGAGGGACAGGUAAAAGGUUGUCCUAUAUUUGGAAAAGGAAAGGAAUUAUUAAGGAGCUUGUGUUUGUAAGGUUGUUUCUUUGUAUUAAUAACUUUGUUAGUUGUUGAAACAAAGAAGGAACAAAAAGAAAGUUAGUAAUAAACUAUUUUCACUUUCAUGGUUAACUUAAUUGUUGAUAUGUGAACUUCCAUACUAAAUUAUGGUGGUGAUAUUUAGUUAGUUUAAACCGUUAACUAUACUCUUAUCGAGAAAUAAGGUGACAUCAAUUAAUACUUUGUUUCUUGUAAAAAAAAAAACUAAUAAUUUGUUUAUAUAAAUUAAUUAAUUAAACUAAACUUAGUAAGUUAGUUGUUUCAAUGAGGAAUAAAAUAAGGUUUCGAUUUUUUUUUUAAUAUACAAAAAACGGUUUGGUUUAUAAUAUAUCGAUCGAAAUCUUAGUGUAGUGUCUCUCCAAAUUGGUCCAUAAAGUAUUUAAAUAUACUAAAGCUCUUUGAACUAUUUAGUACUUAUGAUAAUAAUACGUUUGAGUGUCCAUCAAAAGUCCUAAACUAUGAAAAUACAUCAUCAUAAUCCAUAAUGAAUCAUAAACAAAAAUUUAGUUCUUCCAACAUUCAAAAAGCUAUUGUUAAAUGCCCUAAUUCAGUUACUGGUUUACUGGACUGAGUCAAGGUACUCCCUUUGUCAUAUUUAAUUUGUCGUUUUUUAUUGUGAUAUAUUUAAUUUUCGUUUCAAAAUUAAAUACAACAUUAACUAUUCUUUAGAAGACAAUGCCCUUGACUAUUUAUUGCACAAAAAGAAAACUUGGUAGAAUAACACAAUAAGUAGUUAAUGAUAUUCUUGUUAAAAAAGACAAAUAAUUCAAUCAAAAGAAUCAAAAUUUAUCGCUCGUCUAGGAACUUAUAAAUAACCUUAAAAUUAGCAAAACACAUAUCCGUUCACACGCGUUUUGAAUAAUUGAUAAUAUUGUUUGUGUACCAAAGUUACAUUCCAUUUCUUUUUUGUUAUCAAUGAGAACGUGUACCAUAUAACAGUUAUUUUGAAAUGUAAUGAGACUUAAUACAUUAAAUUAGGGCGAAGUGUAUCUGAAUGUAAAAGUAUUAUUUUAUUAUUAUUAUUAUUAUUAUUAUUAUUAUUAUUAUUAUUAUUAUUAUUAUUAUUAUUAUUAUUAUUAUUAUUAUUAUUAUUAUUAUUAUUAUUAUUAUUAUUUGACUUUAUUUUAGGGUUCAAAGGCAACCUAGGUCUCUCCUAUUUUCUAUUAUUUUGAUUUUCUUUUCUUUCUUUCAGCUUUUCUUCAUCAAUCAAAUAAAAUGUAAAGAAGAUAUGAACUAAGUUGUCCUGAUUUAAUUUUCUUAAAGAAUAAAAAUCAUCUUUAUUUUUUCUCGAUCAUAGACUAAAUUGAAUCUUAUUGUUUUUUUCAGAGAUUAAAAUGAUUUUUUUUAAAUUAACUAUAUUUUAAUGGUUAGUUUUUAAAAAUAGUUAAAUAAGUUUUUUUAUCUCUAUAAAUAUAUCAUAUUUUGUUUUUAAAAACAAAUAUAACACACAUAAGUUGAUGUAAAAGCCGAGACCAAAAUUAUUGACAAAAAAAAUUUGAACGACCAUUGUUUUAAAAAAAAAGUUUAGAAUAACUAAUAUAAAAUAUAAUACUAUUUAUUGUGGCUAAAAAUUAUUUAAUCCAAAAAUGAUUAAUUUUUAUGUGUAAUUAUGAUACAUAUUGGCACAUCCCCUUUGUUUCUUUUAUGUGAAUAUCCUCUUUAUCCGCAAAAAUGGAAAAGAUAAACAAAAGAGGAAAAAAUCAUAGUUGUGCAUAGAUAGAAACACAAAACGUAAGAAAAAGAAUAAUCGAGCUUUUGAUUACUUUCCCGAGUAAAUGUGAGCUUAGAUUUGGAAGAGAGACGAAACAAUUGAGCAAAAAAAAGGUAAACAAAAAAUACUUUAUUAGUUUCAGACGAAAAAAAAUAAGCGUGAACGAAGUUUAAAAUUGGAGAAAGAAGUUAAAAAUUUGCCCACGUGUGGUGGUGUUGAUCGUCACAUUCAAUGAUGUCUACAAGAAGGUAGAGGAAGAAAAUUGAGUUUGGUUGUCCUGUAUAUCUCCUGAAAAGUGAGUGACGAAAAGUGAGAUUUUUUUUAGAGUGUUGAGAAAUAUGUAAUUCAAAUUAGUUAGUUAGGGCUUAAAAACUAUAAAAGGCAAUGUAUAUGUAAGUAAAUUUAGUAAGACAAAUACAAAAAGUUUUGAUUCUCAUCUUUCUGGUCUUGCAUUGUUACAAUGUGAAUUUAAGUUUUCAAUUUCUUUCGUAAUUUGUUCCCAUAAAUUGGUAUCAAAGCAAGGUUCGAUUUUUGGCCAAAAAAAGAUGGAAAAGAAUGGUCAUUUUCCAGCAAAUCUUCCUAUUUUCAAUGGAAAGAACUAUGCGCAUUGGUGUGCUCAAAAGAAGGUGAUUUUCUGGUUUCAAGAUGUGCUUGAAGUCGUUAACGAUGGUGUUCCUGAAUUGGCAACAACUACCACUAAUGCGUAGAUGGCUUUGAAUAAAGAACAAAAGAAAAAUUAUAGAAAUGGCUUGUUCAUUAUCCAUUAAUGAGUCGACUCCAACAUUAUUGAGAAGACCAUAAAUGUUGAAACUGAAAAAGAAGCAUAGAACAUCCUCAAGAGUGCAUAUGAAGGUGUUGAUAAGCCGAGGAAGGUGAAAUUACAAAGUCUUUGAAGGCAAUAUGAGUUAUUGCAAAUGAUUGAGUUGGAAACCAUUGCAAAGUUUCUUACAAGGAUACUACAUUAACAAAUCAGAUGAAGUCGUGUGGAGAAGCGAUAACUGAGUUGAUGAAGGUAGAGAAAGUUCUGACAACUUUAAUUCCUAAUUUUGAUCACAUUGUGGUGGCUAUAGAGGAAUUCAAAGAAUCUCUCAGAAAUGAAGUUAGAAGAACUCCAAGGUUCUUUGGAGGCUCACAAAUUGAGGAUCAUGCAGAGAAACUCGGUGAAAGUGAUUGAGAAAGCUCUACAAGCUUAGACAUCAAAGAAGAAUUUCAUUGAUGGAGAAAAGUUCAAGAAUGGGAAAUGGAAGAAUCACAAAGGAAAAUGAUCAAGUGAAGGUACUAGUAUACAAGGUGCUCAAGAAGGAAGCAAGAAAGGAGGAAUACAAAAUGCAAGAAAAGAUUGACAAGAAAGGAAUUCAGUGCUUUAAUUGUCAAAAAUAUAGUCAUUUUGCAAAUGAAUGCAAACAUGACCAGAAUCCUCAAAGGAAUGAUAAUGAGGUGAAAUAUGCAAAUGAUGGAGAUGUAAAUUCACAAGAGGUGUAUUGUUGAUGGCAGUAACCAAACCAAAAGUAGAACAAUCUGAUUUUUGGUACUUAGAUAUAUAGGUUGCUCAAAUCAUAUGACUUGUGAUAAAGAUUGGUUCAAGAAUUUGAACAUGGAGGUGAAAAGAAAAUUCAGGUUUGCAGAUUGCAAUAGUGUCACUAAUGAAGGUGUUGGUAGUGUAAAUUUUUUGAGUAAAGAUGGAAAAAGUUUCUACAUAAAUGAUAUGCUUUGUGUUUCAAACAUGAAGAGUAACUUACUCGGUCUUGGACAAUUGUUGCAAAAGGGUUUUUCUAUGAGGAUGGAGGAGAGUCAACUUAAGUUGUAUGAUGCAAAUUGUAGACUAAUCUUAAAAGUUCAUUUGUCAAGAUAUAGGACUUUUAAGAUCACAUUGCAAGUGAUGGAGCAUAUAUGUUUGUCAACCACAAUAGAAGAUGAAAACUGAAGAUGGCAUAAGAGGUUUGGUCAUUCGAAUUUCAUAAGCUUGAGUUCAUUAGAAGACAAAAGGAUUGUAUAUGGUCUUUCUAUCAUAAAGGUACCAACUCAAGUGUGUGAAAGAUGUUGUGAGUCAAAGCAGCUCAUAAAUGUUUUCAAAGCAGAAACAACAAGUAGAUCAAGGAAAAAGCUUGAAGUCGUAUUUUAUGAUGUGUAUGGUCCAAAUGAGGUCAAGUCAAUUGGAGGUAACAAUUAUUUUGUUUCUUUUAUUGAUGAAUAUACUAGAAUGAUGUGGGUGUAUAUAAUCAAGAAAAAGAGUGAAAUAUUUGAUGUUUUCAAAAAGUUUAAAGUAAUGGUUGAAAAACAAGGUGAAUAUGUGAUUAGGACUCUUAAGACUAAUGAAGGUGAAUAGUAGAAAUCAUCGGAGUUUGCAAAAUUCUGUGAAAAUGAGGGAAUUGUUCAUGAAGUAAAAUCAUAAUAUACACCUCAGCAUUAUGGUAUUGCUAAGAGAAGAAAUCAGACUAUCCUAAAUAUGGUGAGAAGCAUGAUGAAUGAGAAGGGAAUGCCUCGUUAUCUAUGGGGAGAGGUAUGAAGUAGCAAUGUCAAUCACAAGGUAUGAAGUAGCAAUGUCAAUCACAAGAAAGUAGGAACGAAUUGUGAUUUAACCUUUUUAAAAUUUCCUGUUGAAAACUUAAGAAAAUAAUUCAAGAUUGAUCUUGGUUGUGAAAACGAAGAACGUUCUUGGUUAGUUAAAAUCAACAAUUUAACUUAUCUAUUUAACUUGGUAAUCAAAAGGACUUAAAGUAAAUAGAGAAAAGAGAAUAGAUAUCACACAAUGAUAUAUCUUGGUUCACCCAACUCGGGUUACGUCCAAUCCUUACAACCGUGAGAUUUUCCAGUAAGUGCUCAAACGAAAAAUGUUCUUGAUUUUACAAUAUUCUUGGUUCUACACGGUUUUUGUUAAGAUCAACCUUGAUUUGUAACAACAAUUCCUUUCCACCCAAAAAUGAUUCAAUUAAGUCACCUAUCAAUCUUGAGAUGAUUUUACAAUUCACCUUUUAACCAUAAAAUGAUUUUUACAAAAACUACUCAAACUAUAAACAACCCUUAUAGUUUUAAGUUUACACAAUAAUGAUUUAUAGAGAUUGGUAGAAUCUGAGUAUGCUCAACUCGUGUUUGAGAAUGGAUUCUUGACAAAAGAAUUCAGUGAAAUGAUUAUGAUAUUUGAAGUUAUCAAAUUUCGGCUUAGAGAGGUGGAAGAAGUUAUCAAAUUUAAUAUAUGGCCGUGUCUUGAAUAUAUUUCUCUAGUUACUAAUAUAAAUGAAAGCUCAAAUUAUGGUCAUAUUAUAAACAAAAAUUAACUUUUUAGAUCAUUUAAUGUUAUUAUUUUUAAGAGUUAAAUAUAUUUUUAAUUCCUCUAAAUAUACCAACUUUUAAUUAUAGUCCUUCUAAAAUUUCUUCAAACUUUAAUCCUUUUAAAUUUUCAGUUAUCAAUUUUAAUCUUUGUUUUUUAACAAAAAUUCACAUUGUAUAUUCGAAAUAAUUAUUUUUAUGACAUUUCACUGUUAAGACUUUAAAAUAUCAUUGUUAAAAGUACACCUGAAUUAACUAAAAUGCAAGGACCAUAGAACGUUGUAAAUAAGUUAUCCACCACCAAUUAAAAUUAUCACAUGUAUGUACUUCAUUAACUAUGUCAAACUUUAAAUUCUAAAAAAAUAAUUCAGUACACGUCAAUGAUUGAAAUUAGUUGUUAAUAAUUUAUUCAUAUUAUUUUAAAGUCAGCAUUUAAAAAGAUGGGAAAUGAGGAAAUUUUUAUUUAUCAAAUUAACACUAAUGACAAAUUCUACAAGGGUCUCCAAGGAAAUUUUAACUCGUACCGUGAAAUGAGCUAUCACCUCAAGUAUAUAGGGAAACAUUUUCCCCAAACUUAUGCUUUUAUAGAUAAUAAAAGUUCAGGUAUUUGUAGCAGGACUGAAAAAGUUAAGUUCUAAUACCCACCUUCACAUGUCCCACUCAAUUUUCUUUAGAACAAUCUUAAAGAUCUCUCAGAAAAAAGAACAAUUUAAAAGACUGGAACCAAUAUCAAGUUAAAAAGAAGAGAAAAGUUAUAAGGCAUUAUCAUUGCACACUACAUCUUGCUAUGAAAAGGCGACUCUCUACCAAGCAUUCAGGCUAAGAGCUGAAGCUUGAAUUGGUCUCUUGUUUAACAUGCUCUUGCUUCCAUCUGUCUCUUGUUUCAGAUUGUUGAGGAAGCCAAAAAUACGAAAUAACUUUCUAAAAUUGUCUUUUGAAUUAAUACGUUCUCUUUAAUACAGUAAGUACACUUUUUAGCAGAAAAUUGUGCAGGAAAAUUUUGAAAUUGGGGUAAUAUGCUAACGCUGCUCAAAGCCAUGUACCAAAUCCUAUUCAGGCCAGAUCAGUGCAUUCUUUUUCUUAUGUACAUAUAUCACAUGAUUUUCCUCCACCCAUAAGCCAAAAAACAUGUCAGUUGACAGUUAUCUCCUCCAUGUUACUUAUGUCCUCAGUAUAAUGAGUCUUUGGCUCUAAAUCAAUGAACUGGUUUGAUUUACUAGCUAAAUGGGAAAUGCUAACCCUCCCUUGCCGCUUAAUAUAAUCAGCAACAGCUUUCAUCUCUUCUGGUGAGAUGUAAAUAAAUUUCCCCCUAUCAUCCAUGACACCCGAAAGCCGACCUGACACAUAAAUAAAUCAUUAUUUAUGUUUGCCCCUUGAUUGCACAAAGUGAGAUAAAAACUUCCAUUUUUGAUACACCCAAAACAACAAAAGAACAUGCUUAGAGUAGGCAUAAAUCAUAACUGUUAGAGUAUGGACAGCCCGUAACUUGCAAUAAUGGGGUAUAAAUUAUAACAACAAAAUUAAUAAUAAUAGUCCUGAUUUUGUCACAUAUUUCUUCUACUUAUUGAAGCCAUUGCCAAUUAAUUGGCCAUCUAACAUGGUAAAUUGGCUGUAUAUGAGUUCAAAAGAGAUAGGUGAUGGAGAAGACAAAAUCUAAAAUAAAAAAUAAAGCAGGGGGAGGGUAACAUAUACUUCUUUUGAUGGAUGGAAAUAUAAAAGGAAAGGGUACACGAAAGGCUCUUACCCAUACUUUCCAGAGAUGUGAUGCGAUUGAUACAUUCCUGCAUCAAUUUACAAUGUCAUAAAAAAGGAAACCCAUGGAUGGGAAAUCUAUCACUCAGAAUUUAUUCAUAAAUAAAUUGAUAGAGUACCAAAAAAAAGUGUAAAUAAGGUUUCACUACUUCGGAAGAUUAGAAAAGGAUCUGACCAGUCAGUUUAACACCCAUAAAAUUUGAGUUGUUGGGAUAUCAUCCUAUUGAGAAAUUGUUUAGAUUUGAUUUUGCUGUAUAUUAUCCUUACAUAAUCCCAAAACUUAAGAUUGUUUCUUUUAUCCUGGUAUAUAAUAUAAAUAUUCUACAAAUCAUUCAUGUAGUACAACACAAAUUAUUCAUUAUUCAGACUCAAAUAGGUGCCAAAGCUUUCUCAUCCAGAAAACCUGGUUUUGCCUUUGGCCACUGACCCAUUUCUGUAUUGUCAUUGUGUAUCCUUGAAAUUUAAAGUACUUCCUAAAGAAUACAAGUAGUAAUUAAGUGCUUUGGGAUUAUUAGUUUUCUCAUAGUGCACAAAAAUCAAAUGGUACAAAUCAUGAGUAGCUGCAGUAUAUAAAUAUGUAAUCAUCCAUGAAUUGAGCCAUUGAUUAUUAUGUUGAGAAAAAGGGAUAUGCACUAUCAGUGUAAAACAGUUUUACAUUGUAAAAUAGUUUUACACUGACAUCCAAUAACAACCAUGUAUUCUUCAAAAUCACCCCACUUUAAUGGUAUGAUGACAUGGAGAAAUAGAAAAUUCCCAUUGGUUGUCAAUGUAAAAUUUUUACACUGACAGUGCAUGUCCAUUGAACUCUAUUAUGUUCUCCUCCACAUGUUUUCUUUGUUUCCCUUCCCCAGUAAAACUUGCCUAUAGAUAUCAUAGUGAUAUCACAUUUGGUUCUCCCUAGCUUCAAUUACAAAACAUAAAAAAAGUUCAUAAUACUUUAAAAAAAUAUUCCAUGCCUCCAGGUAGGCUGAUCUUUCUAAUUAAUAUUAACUUUCAUUCUAUAACUUUUGGGAAAAUAAAUUAGAUUUUAGGGGGGAUGGUGGUGAGUGAUCUAAGUGGCUGGUGGUUUAUGGAGUAUAAGAGUCCCUAUGUAAUACUAGUCAUGUUUGUUAAUACAAAUAGAGGGAUUAAUCAACGUGUGUAUAACUGUACAUAACCAGUCUCUGUAAAUAGUGGAAUACUAUGUUCUCUCUAUUACAUCUCCCUUUGUUUUCCCUGCAUCUCUCUUUACACUUGUUUUCUUUCCACACUGCUAAAAAUAUCUAAGACUAAAUAUAUAAGUAGAAAAAUCAAACUAGACACAAAAUAUCUUGCAUAUAAAUCAUAAAACAUAUUAGCAUAGCAGAACUUUUUAUUCUGUUACACUGUUGCUCCCAUAAACUAGCAGCAACAAACAAUAUAAAAAAAUGAAGAGGUGAUAGAGGGAAUAGAUUGGUUGAUUCAGAUAAAGGAAAAGAAUUAAAAAAAAUACCUGUGUACGCAAUUUAAAUUCUGCAGCAAGAUCUUCUAAGGGCACACAUUUGUGCUUCUGAAUGAUUACACAAAAUUUAUGUCUAAAUUAGAACAGUUAUAAAACCUCCCAAAUAGUUACAAUUAUAACCCUAGCUAAUAACAAUUAGGUUUCAAUGCCAUAUUGAAUCAAAUAAAUAAAAAACUUCGGACAAUUUAUCAAGGCAGAAUAAGAAAAGUAAGGAUAUAAAAAGUACAAAACAAAAAAUAACCUUUAUAUAUUCAACAAAAUUGGCAAGCAAGUCUUCAGUUUUAUCCUGCUCCUCUUCAAGGGUACCUUCAUCAUCUAUUGAAAAUUCGCCUUUCCACUUCUCAAACUCUAACGCAGCAGCUUCCUCUUCCUUAGCCUUCUGAGCCUUGGCUUCCUCUUCCUACAUGAACAAGUAUGUGAUUUGCCAAUCAAUACACCAUAAGAAAGCCCAUCCUAUGAUUAAAUCAGAACAGGGAUAUUGACUCACCAACAUACGCUCCUGUGCCUCACGCUCUUCAUCCUUCAACCUCCGCAUUUCUGAAUAACGGUCAUGUUUUGACUGUCUUGACUCUCGUGAUGCUUCUUCAGCCUUCCAAAAAGAUGAACCAAAAUCUAAUCAACUACUUAAACUUCAAUCAACAUAGACUCCCUCCCCCGUCGAAUAACAAGUAGGAAUACAUACAAUAUAUAAAACAAAAAAAAAAAACAUCUAGUCAACUAACCAUUAAAGACACUAGUUCAAGAUUUAAUGCUCUAAUGUAGAACCAGUGAUAAUUAAAUAAUAUUUAAUAAAAAAUUUAUAAAAUAUCCAAACAACGGUAAAAAAUUAUAAUUAUUUAUAAUUUCACAGAAUCAAAACUGACAUUUUAUUUGUAAUAUUUAAAGCAAAAUAUAUAAACCAGAAAUCAGAUAAAAAUAAGAAAAGACAACAAAUAGAUGGCAUAAUAAUUAUAUUUAGGCAAUUGCUAACAAGUGCCCCAAGGGCAUUUGUUAGGAAAACAAAAAUAGAAAUGCAUUGGAAGUUAUGUUUAGACUCUUUAAAAGUGUGAAAUUUGUUGUUUUCAAUAUAAACCUUCCAUUUUUUAUUCCUUAACAAGUGCCCUUAGGGUACUUGUUAGCAAGACCCUUAUAUUUAUUACUAGUGUUGUCAAAUCAUUGUGCCGAGUCUCAGCACACUAAGCAAUAGGGUACUGCAUAUAGCAUAGAGUCAUGGUCGCCGCAAUAGUGUUUUUUAACCACUGUACCUAUUUUCAAUAGAGUAAUGACCUAAGAACAAAAAUUAUCAAUGCCCUCAUAGGACUUGCACUUGCUCUCUCCAACUUGUUUUUGUGAUCUAUUCUCAGUACUUUUGUGAUGUGUUGUGUACACAACAGAUUUUGAUUUUUGCUAGGGGUCCCAUCCAAAUGAAGAGAUUUGGCAAACAAAUCUGCUUUGGUUUUUUUAGCUUGAGAGAGUGAGCAGAAGAAGGUUGUUGCUGGCACUCAUGGCUGCGGCAAAGAACUGCAGAAAAUCCACCAAGGAGGGUGUUGAUGACACUCCCAAGUUUAAUUGGUUAAAACAAAGACAAGAUUUGGAGAUAGAGAAAGGAAAUUAUCUCAAUCUCAGCUAAGUGGGGCAACAAUGGAAGCCAAAUUAAGCAUCCUUGGUGUUAUCUAUGCUACCUCAUUUCUCCUCCUCUUUUGUUCCCCCUUUAUAUAAAAUAUUAAACAUUAAUUCCUUUUGUUUUUUGAAAAAGUCACAACAUCAAACCGCUCCAAACAGGUGAACUGUUGGUAUUUACCAGUUCAUGAACUGGUUUUUUGGCAGAGCAAAUCUAUAGGUUAAUUGGACCGGUUACCAAGCUGAAUUUCCGUCAACUCCAGUUUUGAGAUGAUGUCUUCAAUAAUAAAAUGUUACCCAAUAUCUGAAUGUCAUGUCUGUCUAGUAUUCUUCAAAGUAAUUCUAUCAUGUACAUGACAGUUUAAACAAUAGUUUGCAAAAAUUAUAAAUGUCAGUAUCCUUAUUAAACCUUCAUUACACAUGUAUUUCAUUUCAAGAAACCAUCUGUUUUGGUUAGUCAAAUGCAAAUUACUAUGCUUUUUGGCAGAGGUUAAAGGCACGUUGCAAAUAAAAAGUGGCCACCCAAAAGUAUAUCCUAGUAUCUUUAAUAAUUAAUAAUAUUAAUAAAUAAAUGAACCAGUUUUCAACUUGUUAGAAAAAAGAAUACCUGUCGCCGAGCUUCCCUCUCUUGCCUUUUCAUUUCCUUUUUCCUUGAUGCUUUGGCUUCAUAGGACUCAUCACCACCAGCUUCAUUGUCACUUUCAUCCGCAGACUCUGUUCAAAUGUAUACAGUUGACCAUUUCACAAAUGAAAUUCAGAUUCAAGAAGCUAUCCAUGAACAUUGUUCCCACAAGGCACUAGACAGCGUAUAUUUAAUACUUUAACAUCACCUACUAGUUCAAUAAUACUUCCACAUAACAAAAACAGAGAGCCAAAUAACAACGGCAAGUAGUUGAUUCCACAUUAGAAUUCUACCCUAAACACUGAACAAAAAAAAUCAAUUAAGUACCUAGCGAAAUAGUAAAGUAAGGAAAUAUGCACAAAAACCCCCAAAUUACCACAGUUUUAAUUUUCACGUCCAUCAACCCCUCUAGUAGAAAACAACACAUCUUAACCUAAAUCACAUCUCUUAUUAUUUUUAUUCACCAAGGCGUUGUGUCAAACAUAGAAACGCACAAAUUAAUCCUUAAACCAUACCACAUUUUCAAAUUAAUUCCUGAAUAAUGGAAAUCAUGUAAAAAAUUAUCUAAAUGACCUUCUAUACGUCAAAUUAGUCCAUGAAUGUGUUUUUCAUUGGUCAAAUUAUUCUUCAAAAUACCUAAGAUGAAGGCUAAUUUGACCAACAAACUAAACAAAAUUUCACCAACUUAAUACAAAUCCAGCCACUUCAAGCAUAUUACAUAGAUUAAUUCAUUUAUUUAUUCGAAUCCAACGUCAAACAUUAUCAAAUAGAAAAAUAAAAUUAAAACAAACGAAUUACACGAAUAACCUUGUUGCGUUGCAGACGGAGCCGACGAAGUGCUAGCUCCAGAUGCAGCCGGUCUCCGACGCAUGCGGCGAGUAGCGGUGGCGCGAACCACGGUUUCUCUCUGCGGAGCCUGACGAUUUGUGCACAAUCUAACUAAGAAUUUUUAUUUUUUUUACUUAAAUGUGGUAAAAUUAGGGUUUUGGCGUGGAAUUUGCAAACCUGGUGAGGUUCUUCGUUGGAAGAAGAGGAUCGUGAAUCGUGAUGGCGUUUCCAUAGAUAGAGUGGGAUUAGUGCUGCCACGAGAAGCAUCGAUAGUAUCGCUACGAAUAGUUCAUCCAUUGAUUUGAUGCAAACAAGUGAAACUCUCUCUUUCUCUCUAUGCGGAUUUGCCUCCUGCUCCUCCUCCUCCUUCUUCUUCUUCCUUUCGUUUCUCUCUCUGGAGGAAAUGAUUUCUAAACUGUGCUCGUUCGUUACUUUGUGAAACGAUGUCGUUGUGACUUCCCUUUUCUUCUUGACUCUACGGGUGAUGCAAGAUAAUUUUCGGGAAAUAUAAAAAUAAAUGCUAAAAUUACAAAAUUACACUUUGUUUAGUCCCAUUGCUUUUUAGAUUUUAGUCUAAGUUAAAAAAAUAUAUAUUUGACAUAAUUUUCUAGUUUUUUUCAUUUCAUUUUAAUCUUUUAAGUUAAAAUAUUAUAUUUUUAGUCUUUAAAUUAUUUUAAUUUCUUUUAAUUUUUCAAAUUAUAAAGACUAAAUAUUUUAUUUUUUAAUAAAAACAAUAUUAUAUAUUUCUCUAUUCACUGUUUUAUUUGAAGAAAUCAAGGGUGCCCGACCUCAAAUUUAAUGUUUUAAAUGAUUGUCAUAUUUUAAACUAAUUUUUAAAAUGUAUUUUAAAAAUCAAACUAGAUCAAUUAGUCAAACCAAAUUAAUCUAUAAUAGGACACAUAAUUAAUUCAAUUAAGUAUUUCGGUUACUUUUGAUUUUUGAUUUAGCUUUAGAUAUGGAUUGUCGACUUUUCUCACGUUAAAUUCUUUUAAAAUAUAUAUUUUGUUAACAGUAUUUUAAAAAUAUUGUUUAAGUAUUUUAAAUAAGUAAAUUAUUUUAUUAAAAAGUUAAAGUGGAUUUUUUCUUAAAUAUCCUUUUUUUUUAAAUCAAAAAUACUUUAAUUUAAAGUAAAUAUAUCAAAAUAUUUUACUUUAAAAAUAUAAAAAAUAAAUAAAUAAAAAGGGAUUAUGAUCGAGUAACUAACUUAAUCCGUAUAUGUUGUACACUUUAUUCAUAAGAGUAUAUUUUAUGAUGAAAUAGCUCCAACGGUUAUACUUUCAUAAACUUGAGACAAACAUGGUAGAAUAUAACUGUUUGAGAUAUUCACCAAAUAAAAUAAGUCUACAAUUUUUUUUUUUUAUUAUAACAAUUUAAUAUUUUAAAUCUCCACCCCACCCUUCUCCCAUCCACACUUUCAAACUAUCUUGUUUAUGUUCCAAUGUUCAUAUUAGGUCAAUUAGUUAAUUUAUAUAUGCAAUUUAUUAUGUAUAAUUUUUCCCAUGCAUCAUUAUUUUUAUUUUGCUUAUAGUUAUUUUAUAUUUUUUAUAAAUAAUUUGUUAAGCAUUAAAAUUAAUUAAUGUCUAUUUUUAUAAAUUAUCUUUGUUUAAGUCUCUUUUUAAUUUUAACUGGAAUAUAUCAUGUAAUUAAUUGAAUCUAUAUGAACAAGGUAUAAUGUAUUACGAUACUGCAAUAUAGAGGCAUAUGAAUACUUAAUAGCCAUUCAAAUAGUACUCACAUUAAAAAUAAAAUGGACAUUGAAAAUAAAGUGUACAACGUAUACAAAUUAUCUCAAUUAUUCAGUCAAAAUCAAAAUAUUGGCCGAAUAAUGCAACAAUUCUACUCAAAUUCUUUUUCUUUUUCUUGUAUUUUUUUACUAAUUUUAAUUAAUUUUACAUUAUUAUUAUUUAAUAAUUAAUAUUUUUAAUUAUUUAUUAAUUUUUGUUUAUUUUGUCAUUUAAUAUUAUAGAAUCACCAUGAUGUAACCAACUACUAGUCCCAAAAUUACUUUUAGUCUCAUUGUUGCAUCUUGAACAUAGUAAAAAUUAAAAAAGUAGCGCAUUUUUGUUUGUUUUUUUUUUCUUUUCAAAGCAGAUUAUUUUUAAAAGAAAAUUAAUAUAUAGGAAAAAAAGAAAGUUAAGUAGUUCAAUUUUUAAUGCAUUAAAAACACAACUUUUGAUUAAAAAAAAGUGACUCAUUUUGUUUCAUAAUGAGUUAUUUAAUGUUUUUGUAGAUAUAUUAAGAAAUUAAAUAAUUAAAAGAAAGAUAAAAUUUAAAAGAAAUAGACAAUUCAUUUUACUAAACUACAAUUUUAACUAUUGAUGAUUUUUUAUUAUUAUCAAUGCAAAAUAUAAUAAUAUUUUAAAAUGUGUAUAUAGUAAUCAUUGAAUGGUAGUAAAUGAAAAAAAUAAUUAAAGUUGUAUUGAAAAUUAUAAAUGAUAUUCAUUUCGAGAUAAUUUUUUGUUACUAAAAUGACACUCAUCGUGAGAUGGAUGAAGAACUAUUUAAGAUUUAUUAUAAACAUGUAUUUAUGACACUCGUUACCGUUACAAAAAAAAUGCAAAUUUAGGUCUUGUUACUUUGUGGAAACAUUUUAUGUUUUUAUUUUAAAAAAUGUAAGUUCAUUUUAUCUUGAAGUGAGAUUCUUUAAGUGAAACAUUAUUAUGAAGAAAAGAUCAAAUGCUAGAUAAUAAAGAUGCAUUUUUGAAAUAAUAAAAACAUUUUUUUUUACAACUUAAUUAUUUUUAGAAAUGUAGACAAUUGUUUAUUUUACAAAGUCUCUUACUUUCUUAUCAAUGAAUAAAAUUAACAUAAAAUUUAAAAAAUAAAAAUAAAAAGUAUUUUCACAAAGCACACAUAUUAAAAAGUUUGGAUUUGACUCGGAGUGUGCUAACUAAAUAAUGAUUUGUUUAAGUAUAGUUACCACCUCAUCGAUACUUGUGAGCCAAUGCCAUCUGGAACGUAUGCAAGUUAAUGCAACCCAACAUAGAACAUUAUCAUUUUGAUAUUUAAUUCAUCAAAAAAAUUCAAAUUAAUCAUUGAACCAUUAAAAUGUCAAUCAGUUUAGUAUAUGACAUAUAACGAUCAAUGAUUAUUUUAACAUUAAAUUGUAUCUUUUAGUGACUUUUAUGACAAUAAAUUAUAUUUUUCAUAAAUUAUUUUAAUGACUAAUUUAGAUUUUUUGUUAAAUCAAAUUGAUUAUGUCUUAUACUUUCAAAGUCUAAAAGGGAAACUAAUUUAUUUAGUAAUAUGUUUAAAGUUCACUUAUUUAAAGUUCACUUACUUACAUCUUGAGUUCGUUUGUUUCAUUCUUAUUAUAUGCAACCAAAAUUAUCUCUUCCUCUCAUUUUUUCAUAUGCUAACAACGAGGGUUUUUCAUAGUUCGUGAUUAGUAGCGUGGAUGAACAAUAUUUUACACCAAUCACAAGGAUUUAUGUGCAUAAGAUGAUUUCUUUUUAAAAAUCAACAAACUCUUCUAAGCAAAUCACAUAUCACCGAAAUUACAAGAAAAUAUUUAGAUUAGACAACUCUAUAUCUCAUCUAAGUAUUAGAGCAAAAAAGGAAACAUACAAUUUCAUCAUCCCCGAUUUUUAUAGGCUCAUUUAAGUUUCUUUUUAUGCAAAGUUCAUUUGAGUGAGUUAGUGUCGGUCAUUGACCGUAUAAGACUAAUAAUAUAGGGUUUAGUUUUUUUUAAGAGUAGUAGUAUCUGAAAAUAAUUGCAUCAAAGCCUUCAAAAUGGUUUAAUUUUUUUUUUCUUUGAUGUAAGGCUCUUUUUGAUGUUAUUUAUAAUUUAAAUAAAGUUGAUGUUAGGGUUUAGGAUUUAGGGUUUAGGUUUUUCUAACGUUAUUUACAAGGUUUUUAUGUUAUUUACAAUUUAAAUAAAGGAUAAUUCUUUUUGAGUUUUUUGUGCUUCUUUUUAUUAUGAUCUAAUUUUAAAAAUUAGAACAAGAUUUUCAACAUGUUUGAAAGACUUUAAUUUGAAUUAUACAUGGUCAAUUAUUAUAUCAUCCUCUUUACAUAAAUAUAGUUAAAUAUGUAUUUUAUUAGUAAUUUUGUCUUUGAAUAUGUCUUUCACUAAUUAGUUUAGUCCUCAAAUAUGUUUUCUGUAAAUCAAUUUAAUUCAUAAAAUUACAAUAGAAUAGAGGAUUUAUUGAUGUGUUUAAUUUCAAUAUAUUCAAAUACUAUAUUAAUCACACCUCAUAUAUUUAGAAAACUAAAAUUACUGUUCACUUUUAUAUAAAUAUUAGAAUUUUGGUUGUAACUCCCUAGAUAUUAAUUCAUGUCUCCGCCGCUUAUUAGAACACACUUUGAUAAUUAGAUUUAUCUCUCUCAUCGUUAAAGGGCCGUAUUGAGAUUGCCAAUAGACAGUAGCAAAAAUAACUGAUAAGUGUUAUAGAAAGUUGAGGUAUUCAUAUGUUGUACAAUUGCAUAAAUUAGCUACUGAUUACAUGCUUACAUGUUUAAUUAAUGUGCGGUGCCUCAUGAGAUAUCUUGAUACUUCUUCCAAUCGUAGAGGAUAGACCCAAAUGUUUAUUUUUUUUAACAGAGGUACACUUUUAUUGGAUUCAAACUUGACGACCCUUUUCAUUAUAUUCCGUAAAUAGCCUCAUUAUAUCUCAAUUUACCCUAUUAUACGCAUUACUCGUAUCUAUUUUGAAAGCCACUUCCUCCACCUUACUCCAUGCUUUUCCCUUGGCCUUCAUGUAGUGAAUAAUCACUACACCAUGAGCGACCUAAUGAAUAGAAAGAACACUUCUAGAUAGAACAUAAAUUUUUUUAUACGUUACUAAGAUUUUAUUUACCAGAACCAAAGUCUUCACCACUAGAACCAAAAGCUUGAUUCCAAUGAAAAUAAUUUUAAGGCUUCUAUAAAUCAUCGAGUCCAGUAUUUUUAGGUCAUAAAACUUUUAAUCAGUUAAGUAACGCAUUCUAAAGGCACAUGGUGAGGCUGGUAUAUAAACACUGGUCAAGAUUGACUCCAGUCAGACAAAUCUAGACCAUCCAAUCAAGAUUAUAUGAUACAGAUUUCAAGUUAGAAUUUUAGUUUUAAAAAUAAUAAGAUCUGAACUUAAAAUCUUGAUCAUCCGUUGAUCGGAGAGUGUGCCAAUGUUGUAACUGCACUAAAUCCAAAGUCAUAUAAACACCUAGCACGGUAAACCUAAAAAUUGCGUCCAUGUAUCUGAAAUGUUAAAUGAAGUCGUAUGAAACUCUAUUAAACUCCUUUGAUACAUAUUAUUGAAGCAAAUAGCACAUAAUAUCAUAAAUUCCAUAAUCCCACAUCACAACUGUUGAAAAUACCAGAACACAAGAAAUACCACAAUCACAUAUAUAUACCCAGCUCAAAGUGAGCUAGAUACAACUAACACUUUCAAGUUUCCAGCUGCUCAGAAACCAUGAAUUUUGAUAUGCUCCUUCUUCACGAUACCAGCCUGUUCAAGUCCACAAGUGCAGAAGAAUAAGUAUUUGAUAAAGAAAAUUAGUUUGUCAAUUAAUUAUAUGACAACAUCUCUAGAAAAGUUCCUUAUUUAGAUUUCAAUACAAUGAAAGGCGUGAGUAAAUGUUUUGUCACUGCAAGGAAAAACAAAUAUAUGAAGUAAAACUUAAAGAUAGUUGUGUUUCAGUGCCGUAUCGUGCUAUGUAUUCAGGAUUACUAAAAGCUAGUUUAUAGGGCUUUAAGAACAGACUCAUAAUACCAGUGUAAUUCUGAAUGCAAAAUCAAUAAACUUAAUCUCAGACAACCACUCAUAUAUGUAACAUCGUUGAUUAUGCCACAAACAAAACAAGAUAAAUACAUGGAGCUCAAUAUAGAUAAAAACGAAAAAGGAUAAAUAAUUCAGACAGCAUACUGCAUAAAACUAAAGAUGGGAGGUCAUUAGCUACCUGAAUUAGGAAUGUAGAUACAUUCUUCCUCUGAUCACCUUGAAGUUGAAUAACCUACCCCACAAAAAAUGUUAUUUGAUGCAACAAGGAGUAAAUAGAUCAUUAUAUAACACGAGGACAUCAAGACUGACCUGUCCUUGCUCUGGGUCCUGGACAACUGUACCAUUACAACAAAACUCCUUCUUAAGGUCUUUAAGAAUCUUGUUGUAACUGAAUUCUUUCUUCAAUCCCUGCACAGUUGUCAAGCUUUUUCUACCAUUUCGCUGCUGUAUACGAAUAUGCACAUACUCUUUUGUCCCAGCACCGGAAUCCUCAGCAUUUGCCUCAGCAAAAGGAUCUAAAAUUGAUGGCACACAUCCCACACAGGAAUCACACGUUAAUAAUCAAUAGUUAAGCCUGAUUAUCACAAUCAUAGCAACCAGCUAUUUCUGAUCUACAUAAUGAAUGUUGUGUGAGGAUGUAAGUAUCAAUUUACUUUUUUACCACAACCUUCACAAAGGUUAGUACCCAAGUGUAUCAAUUCAUUAUAAACGCAAUCUUAAAUCACCUUAAGCGCCCCAAAAAACUAUUCCAGAGAAAAGUUCUGUACAAUUCUUGGCAUCUUUUUAGCAUCUUGUUCAAUGAUGGGAAGUAAUAUAAUUGACAUUUGACAGAACAAUAUUAUUAAUAUUCUGGUAAUAGUUAAAAGUGAAAGAUAGGCAACACAUGUCCAAGACAUAAUAGUAAAACCAAUAUCAGUAAGAAAGCAACAACAUUUCUGGAGUAUAGUUGAAGGUAUAAAACAUCUACAUUUCAACAUAAAUGAGCAAAUAACAUUUAUUUGUGAAAUAUUACAUAAAUAUAACAAAAUCAAUAGAUAAUUAAAGUGAGGAAAAAAUUCAAAACAGAACAUGCUAAUGUUAUAAUCUGAGACAGCAUUUCAAAGGAAUCCGAGUACUGUUUCCUGAAGGACUGCAUAUAAUGAACAGAUCAAAUAAUCUGACACACAACACUCAUCAAGAGGUAAAGAUGUUCAAACAUACCGAAGGUAGUAGGAAUUUGUGCGUCUAAUUCAGACAUGAAACUUAAUCUCCAAAACAGAAGGUCCCACCAACCAGAUAGCUCAGACCUGGAUUUAGAAUCAAAAUGUUAGCUGAACUAUAAUAACAAAUUAACAACAAGCUCCACUUUAAUACAACAUCAAAAUCACUGUCAAUAAUCAUUGUCCACAAACCCACCAUAAACAAUCUAUCUAUCAGCAGUGAAGAACAGAAGGAAAAAAAAUCCUGAACAAAUCAGCAUCCAGGCCGAUCACAAACCCUUAGGCAGAGUUCAACAUGGAUUUAAAUCAAAUUAUUCAAAAUCAAAUUCAAUAUUUCUUUAAAACAAACUACCCCCAAAGUUCAUUCACAAUAUAUAUUAAAAUUUCGAAACAAUUUCAUACAACAUGCAUAAAAAUUAAUACACAAAAAACAAAAAUUACAACUAGAUACGUUACGGUUGAAAAAAUCAGCUAUAUCAUCAAAGGCAUAUCAAGUAAUCGACUAGAUCUGAAUCACAACACUUACUCGUCAAAAAAAAACACAGACAAAACUCAAAGACUUAACAGAUAAACAAAUCUCUAAAUUCCAACAAGUCGUGCGAUUUGAAUAGAUAAGAUCUGAUCGAAACAAAUAAAACCCCCAAAAAUUUAGAGAAACUACGAUCAAAUUUAGACAAAACCUAUAAUUAAAAAAUGAAAAAUAGAUCUUUAAAAGGAUAACGCGAAAGGAACGAUAAUCUGAUUAUACCUGAUCUUAGUUUAGGGUUUCGAUGCGUAAAGCAGUGGGGUGAUUAGCGAAGAAUAGAAACCCUAAAAUUGGAUAAGGCAGGACCUUCUCUCAAUGAGAUUGCGUUGUUUGGGAGGAGAGAAAGUAGGGAAGGAUAAAUUUUAAACAGGAGGAAAUAUAGAGAGAAUCGUGAGGUACUUUUUGGGUAAUUGAUUUCUACUCUCGAAAAUGGGCGAGGAUAUUCACGCGCUGUGUAUCUAGUAGGUGGGACCCAGGAUAUGUUCGCAAAUAUCGGCGAGUGGAGUUCAAUUGGUUGGUCGAGACGGUCGGAAUGAUGUUUUUCUAUAAGGACAAAACUGUAAAUACAAAUGAAGCAAAGCAAGUGUCUACUAUGCUCAGAAGCAACUAUUCUAAAUUGGUAAAACUAAUGUACCUGAGUACUUCUAGUAUCCGGGGCCCCGAUACUAUUUUUUCCUACCACUAGAAUCAAUAACUUUUUAUAUAAAAAUUUCGUCUAUUUGAAUUUAUUUAUUGUUAUAAAUUUUAUUGUAAUUUUAUUCAUACUUUUGGUUGAUGUACUUAUGUUUUUAUUCUUAAAAAUAUUAUAUCUCAAAUUCGUAGAUAUGUUUAUGAAACUAAAGUUAGACCUUAUUUUAUAUUUUAACAAUUAAAAUAAGUUUUAGUUUUUAGUAGAUAUGACAAAUAAAAUUUUAUAUGUGUUGAUAUUUAUAAAUUAAAUUUUUUAUAAUAUGAUUAAAAUAAAUAAAUAUUUUAACUGUUGUUAGUGAAUAGAUAUGAAAGCAAACAUAAUAGUAUUUGCAUGUAUGCAUAUCCAUACAUGUUAGUAAAUUAUUAAAAGGAAAAUAAUAAUUGUUAUGAACAAUUUUUUCAAAACAUAAAUAAGAAAGAUACCGUAUUUUCACCACUACCCCCAUGUUUUAUGCCAAAUGUUAAAAAGUUAAUUUUAUAUGAGUUUAAUUGUUAUGCAUUGUUAUUGUAAAAAGUUAUAAAUUGUUAAUAUAUCAUAAUUAUUUAUGAAUGUAUUUAAAAAUAAUUUUAAUAAAAAUUAAAUAUUUUAAUAAUUUAAUAAUUAUAAUUGAUUAACAAUUUAAAAAAAAUUUACACUAACAAUAUAUAUAAAUUAGACACAAACAUUCUUGCAGUUUUAUUUUCCUCUUUGUAAUGAAGAGCACGGCUCUUAUUAAAAUUACUAAGUUAAAAUGUAUUUUAUUUAUAUGUUAAUAUAUUAGUAAUUGUUAGAAUGAACUUUGUGAUACAUUUUUAUUUAUGUUCUAAUGCAUGAAUAUUUUUAUAGGUUAAUAUCUUUUGAAUAUAAUGAUCAUACGUUGUUGAUUAAAAUUAUUUUGCGAGAUUUUCGACUUCUGCUAAUUGAUUUGUAGGAUUUCUAAACAAAUGUUAAUUGUAAUUUCAAGGAUAAAAAUAAUAUAUAUAUUUGGAUGCAACUACUUUUAUAGAUAUUUAACCGUAUAUAAUUAUAUAAUUGAUUAGAAAUAGACUAGAGCGUUCGUCAGAAUUUAUGAUGUAACUUGACGUGACAUAUUUAAUAAAAAUGUUAAAAAAACUAUUUUUAAAGUCUAUUUAUUUAAAUAGGUCAGGAUCAUGUUUAUAAAAAAGUUUAUUGAGCCUAACAGACCGGCCUACAUAUAAUUUAUUAUUUAUUAAUAAUAUUAUUUCCUAUUUUAAAGUCUAUCAAUUAUCAUUAGCCGUUUCAUAUUCGGUAGUCAUUCUAUAUUCGGUAGCAAUUCUAUUUUCGGUAGUCGUUCUAUAUUCCGUAGCUGUUCAAUUAGACAAUUACUCAAUAAUCGUUUCAUAUUUGUUUGAGAGAUAAUAAUGAGUGUGUUUGUUUGAGAGGUAAAAUUAUUUUGCGGGGAUUUUCGACUUCUACUAAUUGAUUUGUAGGAUUUCUAAACAAAUGUUACAAUUACGUUUGCCGCAUAUUGUUCGAUCAUUGUAAUUUCAAGGAUAAAAAUGCUAUAUAUAUUUGGAUGCAACUACUUUUAUAGAUAUUUAACCGUAUAUAAUUGAUUAGAAAUAGGGAUAGAAAUAGACUAGAGCGUCCAUGAGAGUUUAUGAUUUGACCUACUUAUGAUUUGACCUAACCUAUCUAAUAAAAAGGCUAGAAAGACUAUUUUUAAAGUCUAUUUAUUUAAAUAGGUCAUGAUCAUGUUUAUAAAAAAGUCUAUUAGGUCUAACAGGCCGGCCUAUAUAAUUUAUUAUUUAUUAAUUUUAUUUAUCAUUAUUAUUUAUUAAUAAUAUUAUUUCUUAUUUUAAAGUCUAUCAAUUAGGCAAUCACUCAUUAGUCGUUUCAUAUUUGGUAGCGAUUCUAUAUUCGACAGUCAUUCCAUAUUCGGUAGCCGUUCAAUUAGACAAUCACUCAGUAGUCGUUUCAUAUUUGUUUGAGAGAUAAUAAUGAGUGCGUUUGUUUCACGAAAAAAAAUAUAUUUUUAAAACUAAAAAUUAUUUUUUAGGGUAAAGGGUAUUUGUUUCAGAUUUUUUUUAUAUAAAGACAUAGUUUAGCCUAUUUAAAAAAAUAUAAAAUAUAAAUUUUCAUGUGAAAAAGGCUUAUAAAUAGGCUUUCAGGUCAAACCAGACUUUUAAAAAGGUCAGGUCAGGCCGAAAAAAAAGCCUAUGAUAGACCGUAGGUCAGACCUAGGCCUAAAAAACUAAUCGUUGGCUAAGUUCAACCCUUUCAAAACCUGAUGUGCCCUAACCUAUUCUCACCCAUAAUUAGAAGUCACUUAAAAUUAAAAUUUUAUUUUUAUAGAUAUUUCACCGUAUAUCAUUGAUUAGAAGUCACUUUAAAUUAAAAUUUUAAUAUUGAUCGACAAUUAUAAUAAGUAAACGGUCUUUUUAUUUUUUAUAAUUAAGAUAAUAACUCGAUUAAUGUCAAUUUGAUAAAAAUAAAGAUAAACUAAUAUUAUAUAUCUUGUGAAGUUCAAUUUGAUAAAUCAAAAUUAAUAAACUCAACGCCUUUAUUUAUAAAAACUUACUUAUAUAUAAAAACGAGAUGAUUCAUUAAGUUAUAUACUUGCCAAAAUAAUUGCCGAUGGUUAUUAAAGAUUUUAGUGAUUUUUAAACACCGAUUUAAAUUGAAUAAUCUAUAAAAGAAAAAUAGUCCGUAGUUGAAGUUGCUUAUAUACUCCCUCAGUUAUAUAACUAAAAUAUUAGUUCAAAAAUUUAAUAUAUUUAGUUUAAACUUUUCUUCGAUCAAGUUUUAGUUAUAUUUUAAAAAGAAAUAAUGUAUAAUAUUGUAGACACGUGAAAACAACAAUCUCACUUGAAAAGAAGAAAGAAAAAGAAGGGGAAAAAAAAAACCACAAUCCAAAUUAAGUGAUCUAGGUGUUGUACAUGCACCAAUAAAACCACCUUACCCUUGCAUGAAAUCGCUAUACGUGGAAGCUCAAAAACAAGCAAAGAAGCAAACAUAGCCACCCCACCAAUUUCCCUUCCACGUACCUAAUUAACAUGCAACACCCCAACUCCUAAAUAAAUACCACCCUCUAUAAUCUCUCUCAAUACCCAUCAAAUAAUUAAACACCAAAAACAAACAAUCAAUACACACACACCACAUUCCACAAAACAAUGGCCAAACACAUUUUCCUCGUAACUUUCUUUGUAGCUUUAAUUCUCUUCAUUGCUCACACCAACGCCUCAAAGGACGAAAAAGAAGAAAUUCCAGAAAGUUGCCACAAGCAACUCAAGAGUUUGAACCUAAAACAUUGUGAGAAAUUCCUCAUGAAGAGGAUGCAGAAGGACGAAGACGAGGACGACGAUAAUGUUAUAAAAAUGAGGGGAGUCAACUACAUUCGAAACCGCGAAGAAGGACUAAAGGAGAACUGUUGUGCACAACUUAGUGAAGUGAAUUUCUUGGAUUGUAGGUGUGAAGCUUUGCAAAAGAUAGGAGAUAAUUUGAGUGAUAAGUGUGAUAAGAAGGAGAUGGAAGAAAUGGAAAGGGAGUUAAAGAUUUUGCCUUUGAGGUGUGGUAUUACACCACCUCUUGGGUGUGACUUGAGCUUUGAUAACUAAAAAAAGGGGUAAGGGGUCAUGUGAUGGCUUAAUUAUUCUAAACUUAGUUAAGCUAUCUCUUUGCUUUUGUAAUGUGUAAUAAAGAUCAUUAAUCAUAUGAUCAUGAAAUGAAAGCACAUAUAUAGUGUGCUUUGUGGCUCUUUGCCUAUGUUAUGUUUUGUUAAUAUGUUUUUUAUAAAUUAAAUUAAAAAUCUUUUCUUUUGCAAAUUUAUUGGUUUUGCUCUCUUUUUUUGUCUUUUUGGGAAAAGAAAACAAAAACACACGGACGAUUUAACAACAAUAAUAACAAUAAUAUAUNNNNNNNNNNNNNNNNNNNNNNNNUAUAUAUAUAUAUAUGCCAAACUUUCAUACACUCAUUCAAACACUUUAUUUUUAUAUGUUUUUCUCUUUUUAUCAUAUUACAUUAUUACUAACUUAAUAUAUUUAUUAUAUCACUCUUUAUUUAUUUUUAAUAUAUUUACUACAUUUCUUUUUCUAUAAGCGUAUCACUUUUUCUUUUUUACUUUUAUAAAGUGUACACCAAAUAUUUUUUUAAACAAAAUUUAAUAGAAUUUUGGCUUGAGUUGAUUAAAAUAAUAUUAAAUAACUUUUUUUUAGUUGAACUUUGAUUUGAGUUGAUUAGAAAAGAUUUAAAGAUUCUUAGAAAAUAAUUCACACACUAUCAUCGUUAAUACUUUUUAAUUUUUUAAAAUCUCACAUAGGACUUGGACUAUCUUUAGUAGUUUGGAACGAGCAAGACUAUUGAAAUUUAACAAGUGAGGUGGAAGUAUAUUUAAGUCAAUUGUCUAUAUCAACGAGUUAAGAAAAUAAAGUGGUGUCAAUCUUGUGAAUAGAUGAAAUGCGACGGUUAUAUUAGUUACCGAGUUAAUUUUUUUUUAUAAUUUUCUACUCUUCUAUCGUUGAUAUAUAACAAUAAUUUUAAGACGAUGAUAAAAUGAUUAGUAUAUGUGUUCAUAAUUUCAUUUAAAUAAUAUUAUAUUAUUUGAAUGAAAAAAAAUAUACGUCAAAUUCAUUUUUUUUUCUAACGAUUUUUUAUUUCACCUUAGUACAUACUGUUACUUAUUUUUAACAAAUAAUUAUGGAUUAUAGUUGGAUGAAUACUAAUUGUUUGAGUAAGUGUAUAAAUGUGGAUAAAUUUUUACAGCUUAUUUUAAAAAAAAACUUCAUAAAAAUCAAGGAAAAUUUUAUUGUUGUUAAUUUUUAAAUGGAACGGUUACAUUUUGAAGAAAUAAGAAAUCAUUGUAGGAUUUGCCAUAGUUAUACAAAAUGGAUAUGGUAUGAUGAUUUAUUAAACAUGAUAAAUUUAUGAGUGUGACUACUAUGUUAUGUUACAUAUGUUGAACAUCUUAAUAUAGUUGUUUCAUGGAUGCAAGUACGUAAUUUUUUACACGUUGUUAUUGAUUGUAUUUUUUUUAUAUUUGUACGAUGAAAAAUUAUAAGUUGUUAUUGAUUGUAUUUUUUAAUGUUUAAUGAUAAAAAAUUAGGAUUCAGCCGAUAUUGAUUGUGUGUUUUUUUUUCUUCAUAUAUUUGAUGACUCGAGAUGGUGACAAUACGAAGGUUUGAAUUUUCUCUUUGUCUAUUCUUUUUGUUUUUACACACAAAUUGAAUAUUUGUUCACUGAAAUAUUUGCUCUUCUGAUUAGUAUAUUUUUCUAAUCAAUCAUCUUAUGUUUCAAAACAUUCAAACUAAAAAAAAACUUUUUUUUUCCUGAUCUCGCCUCUAACCCCUUUUUUUUUCAGCCCUUUCAAACUUAAAGAAGAUGUAUUUAUAAAGUCUUUUUAUAUGUUUAGUUGCUUUCUUCUUUGUGCCUCUGUUCUCAGAUCCUAGUUUGAUGUUUUGUUUUCUUUGCUCAUCAUCUGCGUUUUUUUGCACUACUGAUGCCUUCACAAUUUUAGAUUAUUUUGUUUUUAUCUGAUGAUUUGCUGAGCUUUUAUUUGUCCUUUAGUUUCUUUUUUUUUAAACUCAAAAAUUUGUCAUUUAGUUUUUAUCAUGUAUACUAAGACUGAUUGGUAAUAAUUAUGUUUUUCUGUUUCUCUAAUUAGUUACAACAGUACAAAUGUAUCAAUGAGCAUGACUUGUGCAUCAAUGGCAGUCAGCAUCAACAUAUCAGGGUUUGGCAGUGAGCAAAGGCAACAAUAGAGAACAAAAUACAUACAAAAUUGGAAACGACUGACUUGAUUUGAAUUAGUUUGACCUAAUUUUUAUUGCAAUUUAAUUUGACUUUAUUUUUAAUUUGUAAUUUGAUUUUAUUAUAAUUUAAUUGUAAUUGUAAUCGGAUUUGGUAUUGUAAAUUGAUGAGCAUAUUCAUUGUAAUUAUUUUAUUUCCCUUUUUGAUUUAUUUUUAGAUAAAUUGGACAAAAUUAGGGUACUACAGCUGCCCAUAUUUAAUUGUAUUUUACUUGAAAAAUAUGAAAAUAUGAAUAAUAAUGAUAUUCAUUUUCAUGUUAUCAAGUAAAAGAUAAAUAAAUAUAAGGACCUAAAUUUUGUCCAAUAACAAACACAUGUAUUAAAGUGCCCUUGAGAUUUGAAGUGAGAAUUAUGCAAAAACAAAAUUUUUGAGAUGUGCAAAAUGAUAUUAGUUACCGAUGCGUAGAUCGACAGAAAUAAAAAUGAUUGUCUACGGUUGGUUACCGAUGCGUAGAUCGACAUAAAUGAAGGUGAGAUCGACAUAAAUGAAGGUGAUCCUCUUUGGAUUGGAUGAUCGUCUUCGGGUUGGUUACCGAUACGUAGAUCGACAUAAAUGAAGGUGAUCGUCUUCGGAUGGUUACCGAUCCGUAGAUCUAUACAAAUGAAAAAUGAUCGUCUUCGGAUUGGUUACCGAUGCAUAGAUCUAUGGAGAAAAAAAUGAUUGUCUUUAGAUUGGUUACCGAUGCGUGGAUCUAUAGAAAUGAAAGUGAUCAUCUUCGGAUUGGUUACCGAUGCGUAGAUCUAUAGAAAUGAAAAAUGAUCGUCUUCGGAUUGGUUACCGAUGCGUAGAUCUAUAGAAAUGAAAUGAUUGGUUACUGAUGCAUAGAUCUAUAGAAACAAAAAUGAUCGUCUUCGGAUUGGUUACCGAUGCGUAGAUCUAUAGAAAUAAAGUGAUCGUCUUCGGAUUGGUUACCGAUGCGUAGAUCUAUAGAAAUUAAAAAUGAUCAUUUUUGGAUUGGUUACCGAUGCGUAGAUCUAUAGAAAUAAAGUGAUCGUCUUCAGAUUGGUUACCGAUGCGUAGAUCUAUAGAAAUGAAAAAUGAUCGUCUUUGGAUUGGUUACCGAUGCGUAGAUCUAUAGAAAUGAAAGUGAUCGCCUUCGAAUUGGUUACCGAUGCGUAGAUCUAUAGAAAUGAAAGUGAUCGUCUUCGGAUUGUUUACCGAUGUGUAUAUCGUAAUUGGUCCAAUCUCGAAGGUAGAUAAAGAGGGAGAAUAAGUAUAUGAUACUUGCAAUUCGAACGAUAAGGUAUGAAUGAUUUGUGUGUUAUGCAUCGAGUAUAGGUAAAGUGUCAAUGAAGAUGCAUGGAUCAGGUGAGUAUGAGUAAAUUAUGCAUGAUUUAUGUGUGUCAUGUAUUAUAGAUCAAUUUUUGUUCAUUUUUUUGAUUCCCCGAUCCUUAUGCUCUUCUCUGUCCCAAGAUUCAAUGAAUGAACAUAACAACCAUUUUUUGCAUGACGACUCCAGUAUGUCUCGUGUGACCGUUUUUUCACACGAGACAUAUUAGAGCUCCCCCAGAAAAAGCUUUUUUCACAACAUAUGGUCAUUCGUAAUUUGGGGUCCAUUUUUCACGAGCAUCUUUUUUUUAUGGGCAAUAUUUUCUUUAACACUAAGUCCCCUUCUUGAAACUCUUGAGGACAAACUUUUUUCUCGUAUGCCUUUUUAAGUCUUUUUUGAUAUAGUUGGUUGGUCGUGGCAUAAAGCUAUCAUUCUUUUUUCUUCUAUGAGAUUUAAUUGGUCAAAUCGCGAUUGAACCCACUCAACCUCUUCCCGUUUUGUUUCUAUCAAGACUCUAAUCGAGGGAAUUUCAACUUCAAUGGGAAGUACCGCUUCCAUUCCAUACACCAAUGAGAAAGGAGUUUCCCCUGUUGAGGUACGAACAUAGGUUAUAUAGCCACGCAAUGCAAAGGGAAGCAUUUCAUGCCAAUCCUUAUAUGUCUCCACCAUCUUUUGUAUGAUCUUCUUGAUAUUCUUAUUUGCUGCUUCUAUAGCCCCAUUCAUUUUUGGACGAUAUGGAGAAGAAUUGUGAUGUUGAAUUUUGUAACUAUCACACAACUCAUUCAUCAUUUUAUUAUUCAGAUUGGUCGCAUUGUCAGUGAUUAUCUUAUUUGGUAAGCCAUAUCGACAAAUCAAUUCUCUUUUGAUGAAUUUGACAACCACACUUCUCGUCACAUUGGCAUAAGAAGCGGCUUCAACCCAUUUUGUGAAAUAGUUAAUAGCUACCAGGAUAAACCGAUGACCAUUGGAAGCUUUAGGCUUGAUGAGUCCAAUAACAUCCAUCCCCCACAUUGAAAAUGGCCAUGGUGAUGUUAAAACAUUCAAAGAGGUGGGCGGUAUAUGUAUUUUAUCAGCAUAUAUUUGACAUUUAUGACAUUUCUUUACGUAACUAAAGCAAUCAAAUUCCAUAGUCAACUAAUAAUAGCCAGCACUCAAGAUUUUUCUUGCCAUUGCGUGUCCAUUUGCAUGAGUUCCAAAAGAACCUUGGUGAACCUCUUGAAUGAUCUUUUCUGCUUCUGCUUUAUCCACACAUCUGAGGAGAAUCAUAUCAUGAUUCCUCUUAUAAAACACAUCACCAUUUAAGAAUAAUGUAACACCCCAAAUUUUUCAUAUAUAUUAUAUAUGUAUCUUUUUAGUAAUUGCUAUUAUUAAAUUAAUAAUUAUUCUAUGUGUAAAUACAUUAAAUUAAAUUUUAUCACACUCUUGUCUACCUAAAUAAUUAUAAUCUACAUUUUUAUUUAAUUGUUUUGAUGUGACAAUUACAUGGGGACUAUUUAUGAUGUCAUUAUUUCAUAAAUGGACAUUUUUUAUUUGAUUAGUUUCGAUAAUCAUGAAAUUGAUGUGUUAGAUAUGUUUGUUUUAUUUUGUUAUGUGUGAUUGAUAUUCUUGUCUUGCUUGAUUUAUUUUAGUUGAUAAAAUAUUAGUUGAANNNNNNNNNNNNNNNNNNNNNNNNNNNNNNNNNNNNNNNNNNNNNNNNNNNNNNNNNNNNNNNNNNNNNNNNNNNNNNNNNNNNNNNNNNNNNNNNNNNNNNNNNNNNNNNNNNNNNNNNNNNNNNNNNNNNNNNNNNNNNNNNNNNNNNNNNNNNNNNNNNNNNNNNNNNNNNNNNNNNNNNNNNNNNNNNNNNNNNNNNNNNNNNNNNNNNNNNNNNNNNNNNNNNNNNNNNNNNNNNNNNNNNNNNNNNNNNNNNNNNNNNNNNNNNNNNNNNNNNNNNNNNNNNNNNNNNNNNNNNNNNNNNNNNNNNNNNNNNNNNNNNNNNNNNNNNNNNNNNNNNNNNNNNNNNNNNNNNNNNNNNNNNNNNNNNNNNNNNNNNNNNNNNNNNNNNNNNNNNNNNNNNNNNNNNNNNNNNNNNNNNNNNNNNNNNNNNNNNNNNNNNNNNNNNNNNNNNNNNNNNNNNNNNNNNNNNNNNNNNNNNNNNNNNNNNNNNNNNNNNNNNNNNNNNNNNNNNNNNNNNNNNNNNNNNNNNNNNNNNNNNNNNNNNNNNNNNNNNNNNNNNNNNNNNNNNNNNNNNNNNNNNNNNNNNNNNNNNNNNNNNNNNNNNNNNNNNNNNNNNNNNNNNNNNNNNNNNNNNNNNNNNNNNNNNNNNNNNNNNNNNNNNNNNNNNNNNNNNNNNNNNNNNNNNNNNNNNNNNNNNNNNNNNNNNNNNNNNNNNNNNNNNNNNNNNNNNNNNNNNNNNNNNNNNNNNNNNNNNNNNNNNNNNNNNNNNNNNNNNNNNNNNNNNNNNNNNNNNNNNNNNNNNNNNNNNNNNNNNNNNNNNNNNNNNNNNNNNNNNNNNNNNNNNNNNNNNNNNNNNNNNNNNNNNNNNNNNNNNNNNNNNNNNNNNNAAAAAAUUAGUGAGUGACUCAUUCUUUUAAACACCUUUAUGACAAGAUUUUAUGACAAUUCAUGAUGUUUUCUUGACAUAAUGUGCAUUAAUUCAUUUUAAACACCUUUAAAUUAUUUUUUAAAGGAAGAUUAUAAAUUUAAUUAUAAGUUUUUUGUGCAAUUAAGAGAGGACACAAAAAGACUAUAGUCCUUUUUGUGUUUCAUGCAUUCAUCUCUUUUAAACUAAAAUUAUAAUUUUAUUAUAAUUGUCUACAAAAAUAAUUCUAUGAAAUUUUUGGUUUCGUAACUAUUAGAUAAAAAAAUUAAAAGGGUGAUGUGACAAUCUCUAAUUUAUUUAUUUAAUUAAAAUUAGUGUGUCACACCCUUCAAUAUAUGGUGAACUCUAUUAGUUAAUCCAAAUUAACCCAUACAUAUAAAUACACAAUUUCAUUUGGCUUUGUAACAACCUAGUAAAAUUAAAGAAAUAGUAAUUAUUGGUAGUAUAAUGUUGAAAUUAAGUGCACUUCAAUUUUAGACAAGAAAUCAAUGGUAAUAGUUCAACGUAAAUAGCUUAUAUGUUCAUACAUUUCCAUUAGGCAUCUUGUUGUCACACCUAUUUGUCAUUUGUACACUCUCAAAAUAAUUUUCUGAGUCGUAAAUUCUAAUAUCUAUCGGUGUUGAAUUCAUUACUGCCUCGUGAGCUAUUUCUCGUGCAAAUUUAGAGGUGUUAAGAAAGAAAGCGCCUAAGGUAAGGGCUUUUCCCCAUGCAAUGUUAGGCUAGAUAUUAAAUUAAUAGUUUGUAAGAUAUUGAUAUAUGUCUUGAUGUCUUAAAAGAAAAAUAUUGAUUUCUGUUUGCCUUAAAGAAUUUAACUAUAAUAUUAUGUUUUGAUGAGUAAUAUGUUUGCUUUGAUAAACUUAAUUAUAAAAUUUCAAUUUUCAUUAUUAUAACAUGAGUAAUAUAUUUGAUGUCAUAUAUUUGAUGUAAAGUUAUUAUUUUUGUGUCGUCUAUGUGUACUUAAUUAUAAAGUUAUGAUUUUUAUUAUGAUCUCAUGAGUAAUAUUUUUUUUUGAUAUCUUUUAUUUAAAGUUUCGAUUUUUGUGCUAUUUCGUUUCAAAGUUUUGAUUUUUUUAGAAAUCUAUAUGAGUCUUGGGGGAAUUGGUGAAAAGUUUUAAUUUUAAUUAUGAUAAGAUGAUUAAGUUGAUUUUUGUGACGUGUUUAACGACAAACCUUGAUUUGUAUGACUAAAUAACAAUUAAUCGGAGAAAAUUUAUAGUAGAAGAAAUAAAAUUUAUAUUUGUAUGUGUUAUUUGAGUUUUGAGUUCUAUUCAAUAACACGUUGUUAAUCCAAUUUUAUAGGUUAUAAAAUGAAAGUUAUGACUGUAAGACAUUUACGCGUGUUUGUGUGUUAUAUAUUUGGGAUAACAAAUUUAUUGACUCUUGAUUGGAAGCGUCCAUGAGAAUAAAACUUUGAUGUCAUAUGUGAUUAAAAUUUUAUCUUGAAUAUUUUAUAUUUGUGGUUGCCUAAUUGUGUUUUAAAUAGUGACAUCUUUGUGGUUGCCUAAGUGGCUGGGGAUUUGUGUGAUUAUCUAAGUGAGUGGUGACAUGUACCUUUGAGCAUCAUUAUCAUUUCAUAACAUAUCAUAUGCAUCUUUGUGGACGCCUGUGUGGCUGGUUUAAUUUUUCCCCAUUGGUAUGGGUGACUUCUGUGUGGACGCCUGUGUGGCUGGUUUAAUUUUUCCCCAUUGGUAUGGGUGACUUCUGUGUGGACGCCUGUGUGGCUGGUUUAAUUUUUCCCCAUUGGUAUGGGUGACUUCUGUGUGGACGCCUGUGUGGCUGGUUUAAUUUUUCCCCAUUGGUAUGGGUGACUUCUGUGUGGACGCCUGUGUGGCUGGUUUAAUUUUUCCCCAUUGGUAUGGGUGACUUCUGUGUGGACGCCUGUGUGGCUGGUUUAAUUUUUCCCCAUUGGUAUGGGUGACUUCUGUGUGGACGCCUGUGUGGCUGGUUAUAUCCGGAUCAUAUAUAUUUAGGAGCAUGCAUAACUUGCAUAUAUUUUAUUGUUAAUUUAUUUUGAUUUAAUUAUUUGCUCUACAGUUGCUACCUGAUUUAUUUUGAUACAUUCUAUGACUUUGUAUACAUCCUUGGGAACUAUUAAAGAAUCAAUUUUUUAAAUCUUUUAUUACGAAAGGAUUUUAUAUUCAUAUUUUAUGGUUGUUAAUUUAUUAUUUAGUUUAAUUUUGUUGUGGGAUAGCUGACCCCUUACACCAACAUUUAGGUACUAAUGAUCUCAAAGAGUUGAAUGAAUGAUGUUUGAUUGGUGCACGCACGUGGGAAAAUGAGACUUUUACUUAAAAAAAAAUGUUUUGUAUUACUAAAUUUUUUGUAGUACAUUGUAAAGUUAUUUACUCUUCAUCAUUAACUUUUAAUAGAAAUGUGGAAGUGAGAUUUUAUUUACUAGUAAAUAAUUGAAUGUCAUUAAUUUCAGUCAACCUUUCUUUUGAAUUUCACUUAAAUAUAAUUUAUUUUAUUUUGGAGCAUAAAUGAAUAUUGAUCUAAUAACUGGAAUAUUAAUUUGCAAAUAAAUGAAUAAAUAAUAUUUUAGUAAAUUGCAUUACAUUCUUUUACAAAAAAAAAAAUAUAUCAAGUCAUUUUCUGACGCAUCUUCAAAUUAUUACAUAAUGAACUACUUCUAAGAAAAAAUAAUUAUAGUUGUUUCUAAAAGAAAACAAAUAUUUUUAAGUACUUUUUGAUAAAAAAUUUGGGGCGUUACAAAUAAGUUCAUUGACAACCUCAUCAAAACCCUUUUAUCGUUCUCUGAAAUACCUGAUGGAUAUUCCCUAUUCUUAACAUAGGAUUUGAUAUCAUAAAACCAUGGUUUGCUAUCAAGCUUUUCUUCUAUCGAUAAGCAAUAUGAUGGCUUAUCCUUUUGUUGAAUUUUUAUGACUGACACAUCCUGACCAACGCUUAUUUUGAACAUUGAUGACAAUGUGGCCAAGGCAUCAGCCAGUUGGUUUUCUUCUCGAGGAAUAUGGUGAAAAGUGAUAUGCUCGAAGUUUUCUACCAAUUCUUUUAUAUGUGUAUGAUACAUAAUCAAUUUGGAAUCUCGAGUUUUCCACUCUCCUUUUGUUUGAUGGAUAACCAAAGAUGAGUCUUCAUAUACCUUAAGAACUUUUAUCUUUGACUAAAUGGCUGCUUUAAUGCCCAUGACACAUGCCUCAUAUUCUGCAAUAUUGUUUGUGCAAUCAAAACACAAUCUAGCCAUAAAUGGAGUGAUCUGGUUAUCCGGAGAAAUCAAAAUUGCCCCAAUUCCAUGACAUAACGCGUUAGAAGCACUAUCAAACACCAGUGUCCAUUUUUCUUUAUCAGGUGAUUCAUUCUCUUCAAAUAAAGUCAUGAUGCCUUCAUCGGGGAAUUCACACUGCAUUGAUUGAUAAUCUUCUACAGGUUGUUGGGCCAAAUACUCUGCUAGGACACUUCCUUUUAUAGCUUUUUGUGUAACGUAUAUCAAGUCAUAUUCUGAUAACAACAUCUGUCAACGGGCAAUCCUUCCAGUAAGAGCAGGUUUCUCAAAGAUAUACUUAAUUGGGUCCAUUUUAGACAUCAACCAAGUUGUAUGACAUAACAUGUAUUGCCUCAACCGACGAGCAGCCCAUGCUAAUGCACAACAUGUUCGUUCAAGCAAUGAAUAUCUCGCUUUGCAGCUGGUGAACUUUUUGCUCAAAUAAUAAAUAACAUGUUCUUUCUUACCAGAUUCGUCAUGUUGCCCCAGUACACAAUCCAUUGACUCGUCAAGUACUGUCAGAUACAUAAUAAGCGGUUUCCCAGGAACAUGAGACACUAAGAUUGGAGGUUUUGACAAGUACUGUUUAAUCUUUUCGAAAGCUUUAUGACAAUUAUCAUUCCAUUCAACCUUUUUGUCUUUGCAUAACAACUUGAAAAUUGGCUCGCAUGUAGCCGUGAGAUGCGAUAUGAACCUGGCAAUGUAAUUCAAUCUACCCAAAAAUCGACGAACUUCUUUUUAUGUGUGUGGAGUGGGUAUUUCUUGUAUUGCUCUUACUUUAUUUGGGUCCACUUAUAUCCCUUUUUGACUAACGAUAAACCCAAGUAACUUGCCUGAUCUUACACCAAAAGUGCAUUUAGCAUGAUUUAAACAGAGUCUGAACUUCCUUAGUCGCACAAACAACUUUUGAAGGUUGAUAACAUGUUCUUCUUCGGUCCGAGAUUUUGCAAUCAUAUCGUCCACGUAAACCUCUAUUUCCUUAUGCAUCAUGUCAUGAAACAAAGUUACCAUUGCUCUUUGAUAGGUUGCCCCAACAUUCUUCAAUCCAAAUGGCAUCACUUUAUAACAGAAAGUCCUCCAUUGUCUGAUGAAUGUAGUUUUCUCCGUAUCUUUGGGAGCCAUCUUGAUUUGAUUAUACCAUGAGAAACCAUACAUGAAGGAGAAAAAAGAAUAUUGAGCAGUGCUAUCUACUAGGACAUCAAUGUGAGGCAAAGGAAAAUCGUCUUUUGGACUAGCUUUAUUUAAAUCCAGAUAAUCAACACACAUUCGAACCUUUCCAUCUUUCUUUGGAACUGGAACAAUAUUAGCAACCCAUUGUGGAUAUUUUGCCACUGCUAAGAAACCAUCAUCAAAUUAUUUUUUGACCUCUUAUCUAAUUUUAAGUGACAUAUCAUGCCUCAUCCUCCUCAAUUUUUGUUUAAUUGGAGCACAUUCAGGCUUGAGUGGUAGCUUGUGUUCAACUAUGUUAGUAUCUAGCCCAGACAUAUCCUGAUAUUACCAUGCAAAGACAUCUACAUAAUCAAAUAAAAGUUUAACCAGCUUUUCUCGUUCAUUUUCUUUCACAGACAUGCCAAUUUUAACUUCUUUCUCAUCAUGUUCAGUCCCUAAAUUGAUUACCUCAAAAGUUUCUUGAUAAGGUUGGAUUAUCUUAGCUUCCUGUUCAAUUAACCUUUCUAGUUCUGGGGGAGGCUCACAGUCGUCUUCACAAUCCUCAUCAGCGUGAUUAAUUGGGGGUUCAAAAUUACAAGGAAGUGUUCUACCGUUGCUAUUUUCAACAUACUCAUUUUCGACUUUGCAUGGUUUAAAUUUAAGAAGAAAAAGGAAAAAAAAAAUAUAUAUGAAUAAAGAUUGCCAAAAAACAAAAAGAAAAACAAUUGGAGAAUUCAAAAAUGCGUUUAUUGAUAAUAAGUAGGAAAUUGGAAUACAUGCGCCCUAACUAGUUAUCCUUAUAGCCUUGGGCAGAGCAAAAGGAGUUAAAAUAGAUAAUUACUUUGAACAUGAAUUAACAAAUACGGGAAACUCGAUGAUCUUCCAAUUAUUGUGAUUGGUGUUUAGAGAACAAGGGUACACCAAUUUGAGGGUAUCAUCAUCAACACGAUCCUCUUCUACAACAGCCACUUGAUCAUCAUAUAUUAUUCCAGUACUUUGAAAGGUUUGAUGAAUGUCACAAAUAGGGAUCUUUUGUGAAUUUGGUACCCGAUUUUCCCAACGAGCUAGCUUGCUUUCUCGUUUUUCUUUUGCAACGUUCUCUUGAUCAGCUUUGGUAGGUAUAUAUCUCAACCCGUACUUAUCCUUCUUUUCUGGUAUUUCUAUCAAUUUCCCGAAUUUAACAAAAGCUCCUCCUUCCAACAUGGAUUUUGUAGAUUUCAAUGAUGUGGUAGAUAGUUUUGGUUCUUUUAAACGAAAUCCUUCACCCAUGAAGACAACAUUGGCGAUUUCUAUUGCUUGGAAGGAAGUCUUUAUGGCUUCCUCUGUGUCUUCAAUGUAACCCGUAGAAGAUAGAUGACUCAAUAUCAUAUCUUCUUCCCCAAAUAUUAUCACCAGCUUAUUGUUCACUAUAAACUUUAGCUUUUGGUGGAGAGUGGAUGUCACUGCUCGAACAGCGUGAAUCCACGGUCUCCUUUAAAGGCAACUGUGCGCUGGCUUAAUAUCCAUAACUUGGAAGGUUAUUCCAAAGUUAUGGGGUCCCAUUUGAAUCGGUAGGUCAAUCUCACCAACAACUUGUCUUCUGGAUCCAUCAAACGCUUUCACCACCAUAGCACUCGGCUUCAAACAAGCUCCAUCAACAAAUUUUUUUGAAAGUGUCGAUUUCGGCAUGACAUUUAACAAUGAACCGUUAUCAACUAGCACUCGUGCAAGAAUAUGAUCAUGACACCUCACAGAGAUGUGUAGUGCUUUAUUAUGCUCCAUCCCCUCAGUUGGUAAUUCGACAUCGCUAAAACUCAACCUGCUAUUGGCGGUGAUAUUAUCGACAACUCCAUCAAACUUUCACCACCAUAGCACUCGGCUUCAAACAAGCCCCAUCAACAAAUAGUUUUGAUAGUGUUGAUUUUGGCAUGACAUUUAACGAUGAACCAUUAUCAACUAGCACUCGCGCAAGAAUAUGAUCAUGACAUUUCACAGAGAUGUGUAGUGCUUUAUUAUGCUCCACCCCUUCAGCUGGUAAUUCAACAUCACUAAAACUCAACCCGUUACAGGUGGUGAUAUUACCGACAACUCCAUCAAACUGGUCCACAGUAAUAUCAUGAGUAACAUGGGCCUCAUUUAAAACUUUCAUCAGUGCUCUUCUAUGUGCUUCAGAGUAUAAUAACAAAGAAAGAACAAAUAUCUUAGAAGGGGUUUGAUUUAGUUGAUCUACCACCUUAUACUCACUUUGCUUGAUAAACUUCAAAAAAUCGUUAGCUUCUUCUUCAGGCACUGUCUUUUUGCAAGUUUCUAAUCCUUUUAUGGCAUGAUACACAACCUCUUUCUCUUUUUCUCCACGACCUUCCUUUUUCCUGAGUUGUUCAGGAGUGUAUACUCGACCACUACGGGUCAUCCCACCAAUCCCUGAAAUAUUGGUGAUAUCAGUACCUUGAGGCUUAAAGAUAUCACAUGAUUGAUGAUUUACUGAAUGAGAUGUGACUUCAUAACUCCAUGGAACCUCUUUGUUAUUUUCAUAAGGAAAAGAGGUUGGUGCUUGAACAUUAUUGCAUUUUUCCCACUAUGAGUUGGCUUAGGAUUCUCUUUUCUAUAGAGGAUUUCCAAUGGUCUUGGAAAAGAUCUAUUUUUUUCCAUGCAUGGCUCUAUGGUCGAUACAUAAUUAUCUUUUGUGUACUGGUCUAUCUCUUCUUCAAUGAGAUUGACAGCAGCAUCUCUGUGACCCGACAAAGGAUUAUUCCCUAUGUUGGGAUCGUCUUCCUUGAAGGUAAGCCAUUUUGAAUUAAUCAAUUCUUGCACUUUAGUUUUUAAGGCUUGACAAUCUUCGACGGAAUGCCCCACGGCUCCGGCAUGGUAUUCACAUUUGGCAUUUGGAUUAUAUAAUUUUGGGAAUGGUGGUUCUAGAGGUUUCAUUGGCCUCAGGACUACCAUUGAAUUUUGAAGUAAGUGAGGCAACAAUUGGCUGUACGUGACAGGAAUUGGGUCAAAACGGAUUAUCCUUUUUCCCGAUUGACAGGUGGUCUGUAGUGAUUUGAGAUUGGAUUUUGGUUCCAUUGACUUUUUUGGGAAAAUACGCCAGGUGGUGGUUGAUAAAAUGGUGGUCUUGAAGGGUGAUAUUGAGGGUAUGAAACUUGUGUGGUUGCGGCCACAUAUGGAUAAGGAAUGUAAGGAUUUUGUGGUAUCGGGGGCUGGAAGUUUGGGGGUUGAUAAGAAUUGAUGGGUGGAAAAUAGGAGACUGUGGGGUUUACCAUUACAGCGUUAUCGUCCCCUUCUUUCUUUUUUGUGAAUGUCGUUUGGGGUCUUUUUAUGCCAGUUGCUGCACAUACGAUUUUGCCACUCCUCAUCCCACUUUCUAUCCUUUCUCCUAUCAUGACAAGGUCAGAAAAGUUUGAUGACAUACUCCCAAUCAUCUUAUCAUAAAAAGGCGACUGGAGAGUAUCCAUAAACAUACCAACCAUUUCUCUUUUAGAUAAAUGAGGUUCUACUUGUGAUGCCAUUUCCCUCCACUGUUGCGCGUAUUCUUUGAAAGCUUCGUUGUCCUUUUUCAAUGAAUUUUGCAAUUGCAUCCUAUCAGGGGUCAUGUCAACAUUGUACCUGUAUUAUUUCAAAAAGGCAUCAGCUAGGUCUUUCCAUAAACGAAUUUGAUUUCGCUCGAGAUGCAUAUACCAACUUAACGAUGCCCCACUCAAAUUGUCUUGGAAAAAGUGAAUGAGAAGUUUAUCGUUAUGAGCAUGAGAAGCCAUUUUUCUGCAAUACAUAAUUAGAUGAUUUUUAGGACAUGUGUUGCCUUUGUAUUUUUCAAAGUCAGGAACCUUGAAUUUUGGAGGGAUAGUCACAUCAGGAACCAAACACAUGUCGAAAGCUUCGAUACCAUAAACAUUAUGCCCCUCAAUUGCUUUUAUUCGCUCUUCUAAGACAUGAAAUUUUUCCUUUGAUUGUGUAUCAUCCCCAAUGUGAGGUUGAUGCCAAUUCCCGUUAGCAUCAAAACGGGGCACUUGAGGUACACUAUAUGAAAUAUUUUAUGUGGGUAUAGUGUUUUGGGGUGGCACAUAGCCCAGAUGAGGUGGGAUUUGUGAUUGGUUUAAGUUUUGGGGGUUAACAACUGAGUGGUUUUGGUUAUUGUCCAUGGGGUUGAUUACUACAGGCGGAGUAUAACCAGGUGGGAGACCAUAUAUAGGAAAUUGCAUAGCCGCUGUGCGAAAUUGUUGGUUAGUCGGGGUAAAAUCCGGUGGGUGAAAAGGAGCAGUUUGGUGUUCUUCAUUCACAGUCGGAGGAUCCCCAUAUGUAUUCUCCUUCCUUGUCAAAGCCUGUAUAGCUUCCAAGAUUCGAUUGACCUUUUUUCCUUUAGUUGGUUGACAUCUGCUCUUAUCACCUCUUGUUUUUGGUCGAGUUCAUCCAUGAUCUUGGAAUUCGUGUGCGUCCGAUAAGGGUGUCGGGGAAACAGUUUUAUUGAUUUUUUCUGUUUUUUUAUUUAAAAAAUAAUAAUAAAUAAAUAAAUAAAAUUUCUAUGAGUAUUGAAAUAUGAAUGUGAUGGAAAUGAAAUAAAUUAGUUAAUUAUGAUUGUUGGAUAGUGGGGCAUCAUACGCCUUAGGAAAUAGCAAGAACAAAUUAUUAGUGAAGAAAAUAUAAGGACUGGAAAUCAAAAUAGAAAAUCCUUCAUUGAUAAGAAAAAGAGUACAUCAUAUUCAAAUUAAAAACUACAUUGACUAUGAGAUUUCAAUCUUAUCUUUUAAUAGGACAACCAAUCUUCUCAUUCAAUUCUUAUACAAAAUUUUUGCAAUAUUCAACGAACUUGUAGAUUUUGACUGGAGUUUUCAACGGAUGCAUUAUCGCAUCAAUCUCUCUUAGAUGCUUUGGAAUUUUUAAGACUGCUUGAUUAGCUAGCAUUGCUAAUUUUGAAAAGCAGUCUUUCCAAUGUCUUCCUUUAUCUUCCAGCUCUUUAUAGAUCUCUUGAUUCUUUAAUUGACCUAGCAACACCAUAAACCGAUCCUCCCAAUAUAAGGUUUCGUCCUUUAGGUCACUAUAGAUCUUUUCUUGGUAAUCAAUGUAAUUCUUUAGCUCACUAGAAUUCUCCAUUUCUAUUCUUAGUGCGUCUUGAUGUUUUGAGAGUAGUUCUUCAAUUUCUUCUUUGUGUUGCCUCUCAUUCCUUACUUGACUCUCAUACUCAGCUACCAUUUGCUUCAUUUGUUUAUUUAAAUCUUCAAACUCUUUUUUUAUCUUCUUUUCAGAGCUUGCUGAUUUUGUCCACAACUGCUUCCACAUAUAGGCCUCUUCGAUAGCUGCAUUCUUUUCUUGCUUUCGCACAUCUAACUCUUCAUUUGCACCUCUCAAACAAUCUUGUAUGUCAAGUUUAUUUUCUUUUUCAAUUUUUAACCUCUUGUUACUUCUUUUAAUAAAAUGACUUUUACAUGUGUUUUCUGAUCGUAAGUUCACAUUCUCUUGGGAGACUUUUUCUAACUUCGCAUGUAGCUCUUUUUUCUCCUCAUCAGAUUUCAAAAAUAAUGCUUUGAGUUCUCCUAUUUCUUUAUUGGUUGCAAGGGUAGGUUCAGAUAUUUCCUGAUCACUCGAGGGUGUAUUGUGGAAAGGCAACUUGAUUUCUUGGACUCUAUUUUUUACCCAUUUUUGAUAGGGUUCUUUUGUGCUGCAACUUCUGCAUCCAAGUACUUUUCCUUUUCUGAUGAUCUUUUUCCAAGCUCGACUUAUCCUUCGCAACAUCGGUAGGUCUACUAUACCCGUAUUAUGCAAAAUAAAUGCUUCCAAUGACUUAUCAUCUGGUUUAUCCAACAUAGGGUAGCCAAGUUGUCUCAAAGCUACCGUUAGAUUGUAAUUAAUACAUCAUUUGGUUCCCAUGAGAGGCACAUUUGGGAAAUCUCCGCAUUAACAUAUUACUUCCUCCACCCUUUACUCUCUAUGAUACCAUGAAAUUGUGUUCCCGGUAAGGCUAGCUAUACUCUGAGCCCAUUCACGAUUAUUUUAAUUCCAACAUGAUACCCUCUCUUGAACAUAUGAGACAUAAACCAAAUAUACAACACUGGAGCACAACACAAAAUUGUUUCCCCUUUCUUCUCAUGUCGCAUAUGUAGAGAGUAGUAUACAUCAGCAAGAAUCGCGGGAACUGGAUUUUGAUUAUGUUUGUUAAAGGCUAAGAAGACAUUGAUGGCAGCAAAAUCUAUAAAAUUAUCAAGGUUUGGAAAUAAAACAAUACCAUAGAUAAUUAGAGCCAAAACAUCUAGGCUUAAUUGCAGUUUUGGUCCCUCUAUUUUAACUGAAUCGCGAAAGUAGUCCCCCCAUUUUGUUUCUCCUCAGGUUUGGUCCCCUAAACAGAGUUUUGGUCCAAAACUUGAUGAAAUUUCAUUUUUUUUGUAUUUAUUUAAGUCACACAAUACCUCAAGAUCUCAUUUGCAACAAUUGUACCUGAAAUAUAUGAUCAUAAAUGGUGUAGUACGACUUUAAAAAAUAAAAUUUCAUCAAGUUUUGGACUAAAAUUCUGUUUGGGGGACCAAAACUGGGGAGAAACAAAAUGGAGGGACUACUUUCGCGAUUCAGCUAAAAUAAGGGGACCAAAACUACAAUUAAGUCAAACAUCUAUAAAAAUACUUCAUUUUUUUUUAACGGCUAAAUCCUGACACUUUUGCUCUAGAUAUUUUCUUGAAAAGCCAUGAACGACUCAUUUUUCCUCUUUUGUACUGGUCAACUCUCUUAUGUCGAUUUUCAAUUCUUCAGAUAUUGCAUCCAAACUCGGUGGUUGUCCAGUAUAUCGAUAAGGAUUUCCUUUCUCUAGGGGGUAACCCAAUAUUCGCUCAAAUUCCUCCAAUGUCGGGGACAACUGAAAGUCUUGAAAGGUGAAACAUCUUAAGAGAGGGUCGUAAUACAGAGCCAACGCCGUGAGGGCCCCUAUUUGCACAUUCACUGGCAAGGGAUUUAGGAUUUCCCAUAUUUGCGAAAGAAACUCUCACGUUGUAUAGUUUUCAUUUGAUUGUUGAUGUCUCUUAAACUUUUCAAAUCAGGUUGCUUGAACUUUAAAAGUAAAGUUUUUCUCUUUUCCAAUACCAUUGUCCAUUUUAAUUUUAACACGUGACUAAGGUUCUUAUGAUUCCCCAACAAUCCUGAAAAAUUGAUGCAAAAUGUCAUUUCAGUUUCCAAAAGAAACAAUGUCAUGUCAUGAGAUAUGAAUGCAAUUAUGUAAAAUGAUUGUUGUGAGUAUAUAACAUUUAGAAUGAAUGUAUGAGGUGUUUUUUUUGCUUAUAUGGAUAUUCUAUGAUGAAAUGAUCUAUUGGCUUAUGUAAUGAAGCUCUUACAAGGGUGGCUCUAUAGUUCUAAACACGGUCCCUAGAGCCAAUAAUCUCAUUUUAGAAUAUUAUCAACAACAAUAGGUAAACUAUUUGGAGUGACAAUAUCCUCAACAAGAUCAAACUCUAGGUGAGAUUUUCAUGCUAACCAAACAGGAUGUACAUCCAGAAGGCUACCACUACACAACUUCGAAACUAAACUUAAGUUUUGUUCAAACCCGGGUGUAAGGUUCCACUCAUAAGUGUGUGUCUUAGUAAAAGUGUAGGGUGUAGAAUAAGUAUGAUUCAAUAACUCCAUAACGAUAAUAAAAUAUAUAAUAAAAAUAAAAAAAUAAAUAAUAAAUAAUAAAUGAUCUAUAAGUAUAAAAAUGAAUAAAUAAAUAAAUAAUAAUGUCAACUAACACUUAUUAAGAAAUAAUAAACACAUAAAAUAAAAAAUGAAAAAAUAGACAAAUAUAGAAAAAGUUAAAAAUUAUGCACAAUUAAUUUCUUAGGCUUGACUUUCUAAAUUGUCCUCAGUGGAGUCGCCAGCUGUCGCGGCCUAAAUUUUCUAGUGUUUCUCGAAUUUAAUGGAGUCGCCACCAAAAUUUAUUUUAAAAUAGGGAAAAUACUAGAAAACCCUUAAAAAUAGAAAAAAUGGUCUUUGAAACCAAAUUUGAGUUCGGGAGUCGAUUAUGCGUAGGAAAGGUAUUAGCACCCUACGACAUCCGUUAAAGUACAAUUACCUAUAGUUAAUUGUGCAAGACUAUUAUUAACUUAAAUAUAUUUAUUUCUCAUUAUCAUUACAUAUGAAUAACAAUUAUUAUUAAUUUUUUAAUAUGAUUUUGGAAUAAAUGUGUGCUUAACAAAUAAAGGACAAAAAAAUAAAUUUUUAUUAAUGUGUUUGACAAGAAUGCGAUAUUGCUCAUACGUAUCUCUCGGUGAGAUGGAGAAAUCAAAGUUACGUAGUUCUUAAUUAGAAAAUAUUGAUGUGUCGAUUUUGUUCAACGAAAAUGAGUUUUGUUAUAUUUAAAAAAUGUAUUGACGAGAAAAGAAAAUAAAUUUGUCGGACUUAAAAAAAGAAAUUGAAAUACGGGUGUUAAGACUAUCAAGUUGUACAACUUGUGUCUCAAAAACUCAAAAAAUAAAAAGAUGUCUCAUCUAAUUAAUCCUUUUAAGAAUAUUUUAAAUUAUUGUUUGGUUAAUAAAAAUUGAGUUCUAAAACAACAAGUAGUACAACUUGUGUCUCAACAACUCUCAAGUUUAAAAUAAAAUAAAAUCACAUGUAACUAAUCAAAUUUUAAAAAGUUGAUUUUUAUAUUUACUUAUUUAUAAAAAUAAGUUUUAGAAUAAUAAAUUUGUAUAAAUUGUGUUCUGCUACUCAUGGAAUAAAAGAUGUUAUCUUUAGUUAACCUCUAAUAAUUUUUAUUUAUUAAUUUAUUUAUAAAUUUUAAUUUAUUAAUUUAUCUAUGAAGAUAAGCUUUAGAAUCACCAAGUUGUCGCAACAUCUUAAUAACUCAAAGAUAAAAAAAAUAAAUAAAAAAACAUCUAAAUAAAUAAAUUUAUAAGUCUUUUUUAUAUUAAUUUAUUAAGAUAAAUAAAUAAAUAAAUAAAACUAAAAUAAAAUAAAAAGUUUUAGAAAAUAAUUUAUCGUUAAUAAAAUAUUUAUUUGUAUUUAUGAAACAAAAUAAUUUUGAAAUCAUAAAAAAAAAAAGGAAAAUAAAUGGGCUGAAAUCUGAAACAAAUAGGUUUGUUUUUUUUUUUUUUGUUUAUAAUGGGCCCAAGUUGAACAAGGUUUAAGAUAACACAAAAAAAUGUUAAAAUAUAAACAUGUAACCCUAAAAUAAACCUAGAUGCAGAACUUGAAGAGAAGGGGCGGCCGCUGUUGAACAGAAAACACAAAUAGGGAGCAUUGGAGAGAAUGAAAAGCAAAGAAAGAAAGAGAAAGAGACAGAUAGAUACCGAGAUGAGGCCGUGAGAAGCAGAAGAGACCAAGGAGGAGGAUGUGGCCGCAAGAUGAGGCCGUGAGAAGGAGAAGAGACCAAGGAUGAGGGUGCGGCUGCUCCAAAAGGCACCGGUUCCAACGGCGAUGGUGACAAUAUGAAGGUUUGAGUUUUCUCUGUCUAUUCUUUUUGUUUUUACACACAAAUUGAAUAUUUGUUCACUGUAAUAUUUGCUCUUCUAAUUUGUAUAUUUUUCUAAUGUAAUCAUCUCAUGUUUCAAAACAUUCAAACUAAAAAAAACUUUUUUUUUUUUUUUUUUUUUUUUUUUUUUUUUUUUCUGAUCUCGCCUCUAACCCCCUUUUUUUUUUUGCCAUUUCAAACUUAAAGAAUAUGUAUUUAUAAAGUCUUUUUAUAUGUUUAGUUGCUUUCUUGUUUGUGCCUCUAUUUUCAUAUCCUAGUUUGAUGUUUUGUUUUCUUUGCUCAUCAUAUGCGUUUUUCUGCACCACUGAUGCCUUCACAAUUUUAGAUUAUUUUGUUUUUAUCUGAUGAUUCGUUGAGCUUUUAUUUGUCCUUUAGUUUCUUUUUUUUUAAACUAAAAAUUUGUCAUUUAGUUUUUAUCAUGUAUACUAAGACUGACUGGUUAAAAAUAUGCUUUUUUGUUUCUCUAAUUAGUUACAACAGGUACAAAUGUAUCAAUGAGCAUGGCUUGUGCAUCAAUGGCAGUCAGCAUCAACAUAUCAGGGUUUGGCAGUGAGCAAAGGCAACAAUAGAGAACAAAACACAGACAAAAUUGGAAACAGUUGACUUGAUUUGAAUUAGUUUGACCUAAUUUUUAUUGUAAUUUAAUUUGGCUUUAUUUUUAAUUUGUAAUUUGAUUUGAUUAUAAUUUAACUGUAAUUGUAAUCUGAUUUUGUAUUGUAAAUUGAUUAGCCUAUUCAUUAUAAUUAUUUUAUUUCUCUUUUUAAUAUAUAUUUCCUUUUUGAUUUAUUUUUAGAUAAAUUGGACAAAAUUAGGGUAUUACAGGAUACAUCUUAUUUGUACUCUAUAUUUUUUUGUAUAAAUGAGAUAUUAUGAUAUUGUAUAUUUUGAUUAUUAGAUGGUUAUAUAAAAUUGUGAUUGUAAGUACAAAACUCUUAUUUGAAAUUUAAUAUGAAAUAUUGUAUGAGUUAGGAGCAUGAAAACAAAAUGAGAAAUUUAUAUAAAAUAAAAAAUAAAAAAAUUAUUAUUUUAACUAUAUCUAUUAAGUUAGUUGGUCAAAAUAUCUGACUUAAAAACAUGAUGUGUUGUACUGAAUUUAUGAUGUUUAAGUCGAUUAAGCUGAAUCGACUUAAUAUGAUGAAACUCUGUUACGUCGGUUCAUGAAACGAGUUAAAAAACAACAUGUUUUUUAAGUCGUUUGCCGUUAACUAGGGCACAUAACCAACUUAAAAUGUACAUUUUAACCGAAUUAAAAAGACAAAAUUCUACUAGUGUAUUAAAAAUACUAUUUUAUCUUAUUAUCUAUAAAAAUCUCUAAAAAAAUUACCUUUAUUUUUUUCUUCCAUUUCAUUCGAAACUUUCAAUUGUCUGAAUCACAUAUUUGCGAAUAGGGAUGAGAAUAGGCUAGAUUGUCCGUCAGGUGCCUAUGGUCUGGCCUAUUUGAUAAAAAGACUAGACUCAGACUAUUUUUAAAGCUUAUUUAUUUAAAUAGGUCUGGGUCAAACUUAUAAAAAAGCUUAUUAGACCUGACAGAUCAACAUAUAUAUAUUUUAUUAUUUAUUAAUGUUAUUUAUUAUUAUUAUUAUUAUUAUUAUUAUUAUUUAUUAACAAUAUUAUUUCUUAUUUUAAAGUCUAUCAAUUAGGCAAUCACUCAUUAGUCGUUAUAUAUUUGGUAGUCAUUUCAUGUUCAGUAGCGAUUCUAUAUUCGGUAGUCGUUCUAAAUUUGGUAGCCGUUCAAUUAUACAAUCACUCAGUAAUCGUUCCAUUUUUGUUUGAGUGCGUUUGUUUCAAGAAAAAAAAAAUUCUUUAAAAGCAAAAUUCAUUUUUUAGUGUUUAAAAAGUGUUUGAUUUAGAUUUUUUAUAUAAAGACAUAAUUUAGCCUAUUUAAAAAAUAUAUAAAAUAUAACAUUUAAAUUUUUUCAUGUGAAUAAGGCUUUUAAAUAUGCUUUCAGGUUAGGCCAAACUUUUAAAAAGGUCAGAUCAGACUGGAAAAAAAAAACCUAUGAUAGGUCGUAAGCCUAAAAAAUUAAUCGUAGGACAGACUCAAAUCUUUCAAAGUCUGGCUUGAACUGACCUAUUCCCACCCAUAUUUGAGAACCUUCAAACUUUUGAAACCUUCGAAACACAAAAGUAAGAUCCCCUUGAAAAUAUGAAACUUUCGAAACCAAAUUUGUUCAAAAGUUUCUAUCAACAUGAAACUUUUGAAAUAAUAUUUUUUUUAGACCCCACAAAUUUUCGAAAGUUUCUAACAAACUGAAACUUUUGAAGUGCAUUUUGUCCCAGAUUUUUCGAAAACUUUCGGAAGUUUCUAUCAACAUGAAACUUUCUAAAUGUUCAAAGUUUCAAAACUUUCUAACAACUUGAAACUUUUGAACAUUUGUUUUUCAGAAAUAUGAAACAUUCGAAUGUUUCAAAGGUUUCGAAAUUUUGGAAUUCAUGAAAAGUUUCGAAAUAGGUUCGAAAGUUUGACCUUCAAUAAAACUUUCGAAUCCAAUUUCAAAAAUUUGGAAAAAAUAUGAAAGUUUUGAAAUGAUUCUUUUUUUGUUUAUUUAAUUUUUUUUAUUAUUGAUACAUUGUAGUGCUUAGAAUGAAAGGUGCAUUUGGUCAAAUUAUUCACAACAUUGCCCGAAGCGUGAGAGGUGAUAGUGCUGGUGGAGCAGAGAGAAUUCCACCAACAACAUCAAACAGACGACGGAAUGAAGCAAACCGUUCAAUUACACUGCAACAUGGGAUUAAGCAUGUGCUAAAAUUAGUUAUAAUAAAUGUGCACAAUAUAGACUGCAUUGGUUGCGUGAUUUAUAUAGUGGUCACAUUCAAGCUAACAUGUUUGAGUGUGCAGCUAGAACAUACCUGUUGCAUUUAGUUGACAUCACUAUUUUCGCUGACAAAACACAGACGCGUGUGGAGGAAAAAUACCUUACUUUGUUUAUUGAUUUAGAUCGUUGUCAGGACUAUUCGUGGGGUACUGCGAUAUUGGUUGUCCUAUAUGAGAAUCUAGGAGAUGAAGUUGUCCACAACACUCGACAGAGUGGAGGUUACAAGACCCUAUUAAAGGUAUAUAAUUUAUAUUAAGUUGUGUUAUUUAUUUAUUAUUUAUUAAUUUAUUAAAUUGUGUUAUUUAUUUAUUUAUUUUUAGUGAAAUGCUGAAUUUAUGAGCAUUUCCCUAGGAUCUGUAAGUGGGACGAUAGAUAAGUGGAUCAUGCGCAUAUUCUAAGAGCAUGUAGGUGGACUGCAAAACACGCUGUUGAAGGUGGACUGAUCACAUAUCGGCGGAGACUUGAUGCUUUGUUGCUAGAGAAUGAAGUGUUUACACCAUCUGAUGAUGAUUGAGCUAAUCACAUGUUUGCAUCAGCUUCGAUAAUCUUCAGAUACCUUCGAUGUGGUGGAUUCUCAGUCUCAUAUCUUCCGGAUCGAUGUCUUCGAUAUUUUGGUCGUAUUUGGUGCAUUUUGUGUGAUGUUCCUCGGGUGCCGAACAAUAUAGAUCUCUUUAGUCACAAUAACUUUAGAAAUUAAAUUCUCAUAGACGAACAACUGUCUUACCUUUUCAAAUAUCCAGAUGAAGUUAUCUUGUCGUUGUUGUUCCAAGUAAGCAAACUCAACCGAAAAUGUCAAACUAGUAGAUGUGACACCGAUAAUUUCAAGUAAUGGAUGGUAACCAAUAUCUAUUUGUUUUGUAUGUGCUAUCACAUAUCAAAACAAAAUAAAACGUGUUUAACAACUUUAUACAAUCAGGAUGCGUUCAAAAUAUAUCUCUCAGAACAUUUGAAUGCUUCGUCUACUUGUCCAAUGCACAUAAUUUUCUCAACGAUGAUCGAUAAGUACUCAUUGCUUUAUAUAUUUGAUUGAGAAUUGUGAGAUUAUCUUUUUGUUUCUCUAUUUUAAAGCAUUCAAAAUGAAUCUUGGUGCAAGCUUAUAUUUUGUCAUAUCAUUGACAAAUUUCAUCUCUUCUUCGUUUAAACACCCCAAUUAUGAAUGACCGGUUAAAGCAUCCAGUAAAUCAUGAUUGUGUGUUCCACAACGGACACUAAUUUUUCAUCAUUCAUUGAUACUCAACGAUAUACAUCUGAGUUUAAACGAACAUUUUUCAUUAUGAGAACAAGAUACUGUUGAUUUUUAUUUUGAUUUAUAUUUUCCACCUCUUUCGCAUCCCAAAAUUAAUUUAUCUUUUCUUCCUCUCUUUUUGAUUACUUAUUUGAUCGAAUGAUAACAAUUAAAAUUUCAUUUUGCCUUCCAAUAUUUUUUGCUCAUUCAAAUACAGCUUCUCUGGAGGAAAAUAUCUACAAAAUAUGUUUCAAAUAAAACAUCAAUAUAUAUUUAUAAUAAAAAAUUCAUCGGUAGUCAAUUAUCAGUAAUAAUACGUGAUCGGUGAUGAAUUUUUCUGUAGAAUCUAUAAUUGUUUUUGAAGCAGAAACAUCAACUCUACUCAUACCUAAUUUCAAAAAGUAUACUAAAUUUAAUUAAUAAUAAUAUUAUAAAUCCAUUUUUUUAAAUACAAAUUUUAAUUAUUACUAAAAUAAUUAUUUACAUUUCUAAAAUUUCAUCUAAAUUGAAACUUUCAAAAAUUUUAAAUUUUUUGAAAUUAUAUUACUUCAAAAAUUUCAAAAAUUAUGAUGUUUUCUGAAAAUUUGUGUUUCGAAAAUAUGAGAAAUUGUGUUUUCAAAGAUUUUAAAUUGAUCAAAAGUUUCAAAACUUUCAAAAAAUCAUAGAAAAUUACAUUUUAAAACUUUCAUGUUUAUUAAAAGUUUCGAAAAUGUAAAAAAAUUCACUUUUUUAUAUUUCAAAAAUUUAAAAAUUUUCAAAUGAUAAGGUAGAUUUUGUAAUUUUCAAAAGAGGGGAUGAAUAAUAGAGUAGUAAUUUUUUUGAGUGUUUUAUAAAUAAUAAAAAGGGCAAAAUAGUAUUUUUAAUGAGGAUAGGGUGAGAAAUGCAGGUAGGGGUUUACAAUACACUUUCAAUUAUAACCCUACUACGGCCCAUUUCUCUUAACAAAAUCCUAGUCUCCACCCAUGCAGCCCAACUCUCCUAGCUACCAAAUGUUUGUCUACCAAAUAUUUGAAAAUUAUAUUUUGUACUCCAUAUUUAGAUUUAUGUCUCUAUAUUUAUAAUUUUUAUUCAUUAUUUUUUCAAAAAUAAAUUUAUGAUUAAUUCUUAAAGUAAAAAAAUUAAUGCAAUUCACACACACUCUCUUUGAUAAAAUUCAGAAAAAGUAAUUAAUUUUUUGAAUUUUUAGAUAAUUAUUUUCUAAAUUGAAAAUUUAAUUUUCUGAUUUCUAAUGUUUUUUACAAAUUUUUUUGUCUAUUAGAAAUUUCGAAAUUGAUUUUCUUGUCAACCAAAAAAUUUUAAAAUGAAAAAUUUGAUAGAUAAUUUUUUUUUGUCUACCAAAAAAUUUCAAAAACCACUUUUUUGCUUACCAAAAGUUUUAAAAAAUUAAAAUUUUGGCAUGCAAAAAUUUAUCUCGACUUUUUAUUGCCUAUCAGAAAUUUAAAAAACGAAAUAUCUGGUUAUCGAAAAUUUCUAAAACAAUUUUUUUGCCAACUCGAAACAAAAAAUUUGAGUUUACUUGCCUUUUUGAUUUCUUGCUAUAUAUUUUCAGUGUGAUGAUUCAAUUGAGUUCUUCACUAUUCUUUGAUAAUCUUUGCAAACGAACGAGAGUAGAAUUGGUAGUCUACACAUAUAGUUUUCGCAAUAUUAUAGAUGAAUGAGAUUUUUUUAACGUGGUUCGUAUAAUGAAUAACUCUUCUACUAAUUGCUCCCAUUUUAGAUUAUUUAUUGUUGAAAUAUUUGCAAUCAUUUAUAUAUUUGUUUAGUCAUACAUGUGAAAAGAAUAUCAAAUAUUUUUCCAUAUCUAUUAGCUAAUUUUUUUUAUUCUCAGUUAACACUAUUUGGAUAGAGGAUUAUCUUGUUAUUGCAGCUAUUUGGUUAUUUAAUGAAAUGAUAAAACAAAGGAAAAAAAAACUCUUUAAUCUCUAAAAUUAAUGUUUGUUAGUUAUAAAAGAAAAAAGAGCUAAUAAAAUUGGUAAAAAAUUUAUCUCUUUUUAUUUUAAAUUUUUAUUGCUCCCCUCGCACAAACUCACAUUAAAGAGAGAUAUAAUUUUCUUAUAUAAUAUUUAUAAUAUUUAUAAUAAAAAAAUCAUUCAAAAUAUUAAAUUGUACAGGGAAUUGGGAAUCUAUAAAAACUUAGGUAUGUUUGAUUUUUUAUCUAUGAGAUUAUAUUUUAUAAAAGUUUAUGAUAUUAUUUUUGUUUGAAAAUAUUAUGAAAUAUUCUUUUUGUAUUCUUAACCAUAUUUUUACAUCAUCCACCAAAGCAUGUCGUCUUUUAUAAUUUCCACAUAUUAACGGUAAAUUUAAAAAUAAAAAAUAUUAUUUUUUACGUAAAAAAGUAAUAAAUAUCAUCAGAGAUUUAUGUAUAUAAUUGUGAGAUUUUAAAUUCUAACUCAAAACAUAAUAUUUAACAUAAAAAUUUUAAUAUUUAUCGAUUGAUUUAAAAUUUAAAAACAUAAAAUACAUUUUUCUUAGAGCUUCAUUCACACAAAAUUGUAUAGACUAGUCUCUUUAAUUUAAAGACUUUACAAUAAGCGCGGGUGUGCAAGGAUUAUAUAUUAAAAUGGUGAUUUUAUAUACACACGAAUAAGAGAUCAAAUUAGUGACCACAUGAUUUAGAGUUGGCUUGCAAAUUUUUAUACCACUAAGAUUAAUGGCACGUUUGUUUUUAGAUUUUUUUUUUAUAAAUAUUUAUAUUUUUUAAAAUGAUUUUUAUGAAAUUUUGUUUAAAAAUAACAAAAAUUAUUUUCGAUUAAUUUAUUAUCGAUUAAAAAGAAAUUUUUAUAUUUCAUAAUUUAGAUAUUCAUUAUUAGAGAUUUUUAUAAGAUAAAAAUCAUAUUUUUUUUUAUAAAAAAAUAUCUCUCAAAAAUUAUUUUUAUGAAGAAAUUCUCAAGAUAAUUUUUAAUUUUAAUAAUUUUUUAAAAGUUUAUUAUCUAAAAAAAUUGUGAUAAAUGGAUUAAAUACUUAAAGGGAUAUUUUAAGAUAAAAUAUUUAAACUAAUUUUUUAUUUAAAACUUUAAUUUUAAAAUUCUUUUUUUUAUAUUAUAACAAAAAGAAAUAAAACUAUAAAAAUUAUUUUAUAAAAAGCUUUCACAAACAGACCCCAAAUCUAUUUGUAAAUAGAGAAUAAUAUAUAGAAUAAUACUCCAAAGACUAUAUAUGUUUUGAUAAACUUGACAUAAAAUAUUAUACUAUAAUCGAAUGAGAAAAAAUAUAUUAUACAGUUUGAACCCAACCAAAAUCGACAACAAUAAUUAGUAAAAUAGUGUAUGAAAUAACAUAAUUCAUAAUUUAAUUGCUCAUCUCUUUCUCAAAUAUUUGUUUUGAAGCUCUGUCGGGAUUUCCUAGAAGUUCCUAGAUGUAUUAGUGCUGCCAUUUCAAUUUGUCGAUAAUUGAUUUGGGAAAAGACCUUAGAAUUGAUGUUGGUGUCUUAUAUUCUUCAUAUACUGUGGAUCAUACUUAUCAAUACAUGAUUUUUCAAUCAGAUUUAAAGUUAGUUAAAAGUAAAUAUAAGUGAACAACAAUAAAUAAUUUUUCAAAGAUAGAUUAGAUUUAAGACGGUGAAAAAGGCGCAUAUGGUCACUCGAUAGCGUAUAAAGGACUAUAUUUCCAAAAAAAGUAAAAUCAUUUUUUCGAAUAAAAAAAUUUUAUAAAUCAUUUUUUAUUAAAAUUAUUUUUGAAAAAAUCAAUUUUUCUUAAAAAAAGUAAAAAAUAAAAAAUAAAUCUGAAAAAGUAGAUUUAUAGAUUUUACUUAAUCCACAUAACUUUAGAAUUUUUUUAGUUUUGCGACUUUUUCUUUUUAGAUCUUAAUAACUGCAAAAUUUUUAACUUCUACAAUAUAAGUUGAGGUCAAUAAUUAUUAGGUAUGUGAAAUUGACAUUUAAGAUGCAUUUCCUCUUGUAAGUAAUUAUAUAAGAUUUCUAAAAAAGAAUUUGUUAUGGGAGAUAAAAAGUAUUGAAUAGCGAUUUUACAAUAUUAUAUAUAAUAUUUGCUGACGCGUUUCUUAAAGAUGAGUUUGUCUUCUUAGAAAAAAAGAGAUUAUAUAAUGGAGACUUCUAAAAAAAAUAAAAAUGGACUCGGACCAUUUUUAAUAAAAAUAAAUUUAUAAUAAUAAAAAAUAGAAAAAUUUAUUUUUAUUUUUAAUUUAUUUUAUUAAAAUUUACUAAAAGUAAGAUUAUUUUAUAUAUAGAGAGAUGAGCGAUCAAAUUAUAUUUAAUGAGUUACUCAUUCAUUAAUAUUUUAUUAGAUAAAUAUUUUUAAAAAUUAACUGAUAGAUUGAAAACUACUAUUAUAUAGAUGAUAUCGGUAAGUUUUGACAUUAAUCUAUCAUAAUUUCUUGCUUCUGCCCGGGCAAAAUCUUUAUGCUUUUUUAAUCUUUCAUUUAGUUUUAUGUCCAAAUUUCCGAGUAGGACUAUAUUGUGUAAAAGAACAUACUUAAUGCAUCGUAUUAUAGUCGUAUACAAUAUAAAAGAUCUAACUAUUAUAUACUUUCUAAAGUUUUGGACUAUUUUGACCCUUUGUUGACAUUUAAUAAACACAUGCGAUUCAUGAUAUGUGUGUGAGAUUGACACAAAAAUUAGAUAGAAUAAAUAAAAUUUUAAAACAGGAUAAUGCUAAAAAGAGUCUUAAGAGUAUUGAUUCAGAAUGCAAAAGAGGAAAAUUUAUGUUUAAAAAGACUGUAUUUAAUAUUAACAAGUGCUUAGCUUGGAUUUUUAAGACAACGUUUUAAUUUGUGAAUUUCGUAAUUCUAUAUAUUCUCAAAAAAAUUUAGCAGAGACUUUUAAAAAAAUGCAGAAAUAAAAUGCAACUGUUCAUUAUUACAUCUGGCAACAGGACGAGAGUGAAUUUUGUCUUUUUAUCCUCGCAUUCGAUUACAGAGAAACUCACAUCUGUCUCCAUAUUUUACUUGAUGUAAAAUUUAGGUCUACGUCUUUAACCGUAACAGAUUUCAGAUUUUUUCAUUCACACUCGUACUCAUUCAAAUAUAUGAAAUUAUAAAUUUAAAAAUUAUAUUUAUUAUAAUUAAUAUAAUAUAAUAAAAUAAUUAUUAUUAGACAAAUAUAAAAUUAAAAAAGUAUUUUUUUUAUAGAGAGGAGAUUAUAAUUUUUAACAUUUAAAAAAAUAUUAAGUAUAUUCAAUAUGUACAUUUAUAUAAAUUUUUAAAAUUUCAACAAUAUUAUUUGUGAGUCGGGUGGAUAUCACCCAAAACCCGUUUCUGCACCCGAAUUUUAAUUUCAGCAAAAAUCACAUUCGCACCCGUAUUUUAAUUUUGGGAAAAAUUUACAUUUGCAUCCGAAUUUUAAUUUCAGAGAAAAUUCGCACUUGUAUUCAAUCAAAGUGAAUUUUUUCCACCGAAAUAAGGACAAAUCCAAGCGGGUACUAGCAUAUGCAUGUUAUGUUGUCAUCCCUAGUCAUUAUAAUUAUUGCAUUUGCAAAAAAUGCAAAAAUAUUUAGUAAGAACUUGAUAAUUAGGUUUCAUUAUAAUUAUCACAUUUGCAAGAAAAAAUUGUCACAAAAUAAUAAUCUUUUUUACUUUAAUUUUUUUCCAUCAAUUCUAUUUUAUAAUUAAUACUACUUUGGUCACUGUUAUAAACAAAAAAGUCUUAAAUAUUGGUCAGAAUUGUAACUAAUUAAUUACUUUUAACUCAUUUAAUGCUAUUAUUUUCAAUACACUUUUUAUUUAACUUAAAAUAUUUAAUAUUUGAUAAUAUAAAAAGAUAACUUAGUGUUUCAGAUAAAUGUCACUGAUAUUAUUAAGUUGAACGUCUAUCACAUAUUCGAAUAUAAAAUCUCAUAUAUGUGUGAGUUAUUUAUAAUGGAAUUUAUCAUUUUUUCUAAAAUAAAAGAAAAAAUAAUUUAGUAAAUUUAAUUUAUCUUCAUAAAAAAUAAAAAAUUAGUUGUAUUUACUAUAUUUUUUAAUAUCUCGAAAUUAGUUUAUUUAUUUAUAUUAGUACUCGAGAGUACUAUAUACAUCAAUCCUAAUUUAUUAUUCCGUAUUUUAUAUUUAUAAGGAUAGUCUGAUAAAUUAUAUUAUAGUUUCAUAGUUCGUGUGAAAUAUUAAAUCCAAGUAAAAUAAAACAGGAUGAUGGUACGAGUUGACGUGCGAGUUAUUGGGAUGAUGAUGUGGAGCCAUAUCAAUAAAUUGACGUUAAACUUUUUCUCUUGCCGACAUCCAAAAUAUCACGACUGUUAAGGCAUACAUGAUUUGUGGUCAGACUUUCCUUAUUUGGUAUGGAAAACUAGCAAAGCUGUGUGUGUUGAUUUUAUUUUAUUUUAUAAUAAAAAAGUUAAAAGAGUUGUAUUAGAAUUGAUCACUCCUAUUUGUUAUGAGCAAUUAUUACAAGAAAUAAAAAAAUACGAAAUUAGUUAUGAUCACUGCUCUUAUAAUUGUCAUAUUUUAAUAAUUAAGUAAACAUAUGAAAGAAUUGUUGAAUUAUAGGAUUAACCUUAAAUAGUCUUAUGCACUAAUUUUAAAUUAUAAAAUGAAUACUGUGUUUUUGGUUAUAUUUUAUAAACAGUUUUUAUAAUAUGUCAAGAGGUAUAUAUAAUAUAAUAUAUUUUAUGAAUCUAUUUUAUUUUAUUAAAGAUAUUCAAGAUUUUUAUUUUAUUUUAUUUAAAAUGUUCAUUUAUAAUGAAAAUGAACUUUAAUAAUUUAGAGUUGGACUAAGAAGUAAUUACUAUCUAUGACUCUAAUUAUAAAUAUCAUUUAAGAAAAAAAAAAUUCUUAUGAUCGUGAAAAAAAAAUUCUUAUUAUCAUUUAAGAAGUAAUUACUAUCUUUUAUUUAUGAAUACACAAAAAAAAAAAUAUUCAAAAAGCUUCUCAAAGAUAAUCUAUAAAUUAGGUAGAUUGUACUUAGAUUGAUCAUGGAGAAAAAUUUGACGAUGAGGAAAACAUAGCCUUGGUUUUUAAUAAAUUCUUUUAAGAUCUUUUCUCUACUAGUUAUCCUGAAAGAAUUUAUAAAGCUCUGGAAGUGGUCAAAGAUAGACUGUCAAAAUCUAUGUGUAAUAUAUUAGAAGCAAAGUUCACAGAAAAUGAAGUUUUCUUAGCUGCUAAAAAUUUAAAGUCUUAUGCUACUUGAGGUCCUAUCGGAAUGCCAAAUUUAUUUUAUCAAUAGUUUUUAAGUAUAGAUGUUAAGGACGCAACUUCUUUUAUUUUAGAGAUUCUUAAUGAUGGUGGAAAUUCAAGUAGCAUCAAUUAGACUUAUAUUCUCAUUCCAUAAAAGAAAAAGUUGAAGGUACUAGACAAUUUUUGAUCUAUUUAUCUUAGCAAUGCCAUUUUUAAAAUAAUUAAAAAUAGGUUAAAAUUGAUUCUUCCUGAUAUCAUUGGAAAAAUUCAAAGGGCUUAUGUGCCAUGACGUUUAAUCAUUUAUAAUGUCUUACUAGUUUUUGAAUCUUUUCAUUAUAUAAAGAAAAAUAAAUAAAGGCAAGAAUGGGUGCGUUGGCCUAAAGUUGGAUAUGUCAAAGGCAUAUGAUCGCAUUGAGUGAUAUUUUUUGAUUGAGUUUUUCAGUCAAGGGAUUUUUUCUAAAAAAUGCCAUAGCUUGAUUUUUAAUUGUACUUCCACGAUAUUUUUUUUUUCUGUUCUGUUUUGCUUAAUGGAAGUCCUUGUAAGAAGUUAUGUCCUCUGUGAGGUCUUCGUUAAAGGGAUCAUUUGUCUCCUUAUAUUUUGAUCUUAUGUACAUAUAUAUAUUUUAUGGUCUUCUAAAUAAGGCACAUGAAAAUAAAGUCUUUCCUAAAAUUCAAAUUGCAAGAGGGGCUUCAAAAAUUUAUCAUUUAUUUUUUGCAGAUGAUAGCCUCAUAUUUUGUAGGGAUUCUCUUCAAGAUGCUUAUACCAUUCAAUGAUUAUUUAAUACUUAUGAAUAUACUUCUGUUCAACUUAUCAAUUUGAAUAAAUCAGAAAUCUCUUUCAUCCAAAAUAUGUCGGAUGAUUGUAAAAUCUUGUUCCAAAGGUGGAUACAAUUAAAGUUGUUGAGUGUCAUUUAAAGUAUUUGGGGAUAUUUUAUUUUGUUGGUAGGUCCAAGCAAAAUGUAUUUAAUUUUGUCCAAGAUAGGGUGUGGACGAGCUAAAGGGUUGGAAAUAAAGUUUUUUAACAAUUGCAGGGAGAUAAAUUUUGAUCUGUGAUUCAAGCAAUUCCUACAUAUGUUAUG
RNAcentral lists this long non-coding RNA (118300 nucleotides) under Cicer arietinum (chickpea). Its description in RNAcentral is "long non-coding RNA (CARI_LNC000126)". The record is from RNAcentral. Lineage: Eukaryota; Viridiplantae; Streptophyta; Magnoliopsida; Fabales; Fabaceae.